Molecule: long non-coding RNA, 97901 nt
Filed under: Lynx pardinus (Iberian lynx)
Lineage: Eukaryota; Metazoa; Chordata; Mammalia; Carnivora; Felidae
Source: RNAcentral
AAGGGAAUGUUAACGACUUUCAGAAAGAAUGUUUGUGAAUACAUUUGGUGUGUACUAAAAAGCUGGAGACCCCUAAAUAAAUGCAGUAUCGAUAGAAAGCGAGUUUCUUGAAGAGUCACCUGCUACACUCCACUAGCAUCAUCUCUACAGUAAGUAUUCCUGGCUCUUGCCUAUGAAACCAGACACCUCCACCCCNCCCCCGGGGGGGGGGGGGGGGGGGGGGGGGGGGGGGUCUUUACAUUCAUAAGGCAUAUUUCCAGUGUUUGUAAUACUUAGACCUGCAGUCCUUCCCAGGUAUAGAAAAAAAGUUGAUCAUAAUACGUGGCCCAAUGGAGGCUGAGUGAACAUGUGCCUGUUCCUAUGAUAACCGGGAAGUUGUACCAUUUAAAUAUAUUUCAUCUAUUUUAUUUUGGGAUUAAUUAUGAAUUAAUGUUCUUUUGGGAUCAUCUUAAACAUAAUUGAUAUUGUCUCCUUCUUGGUAACGUUUGGGAUGCUAUUGUGGUAUAAUAUCUUGAUUAAUGAUAGGAUUAUAGAGAUUCUGAUAUAUAUAUAUGUAUAUAUAUAUAUGUAUGUAUACACACACACACACACACACAAACAUCUUUUCACAUCCUCUCUCUGUGUUGAAUUAGAAGGAGUUUUCUAGAGGUGGUGAAUAUUGCAGCCUCCUGAGGUUUUGCAGCAUUUCUUGAAAUUUCCUCUCAAUCUUUUUUGCAAAUAUUUUUGUUAAUCCAUACAUACUUUGUUUAAAUUCAAGGCAUAUACAAGAGAGGGAGAAACAAAGUAAUCUGUAACAUCAUUGAAUAACACAAUAAAAUCUUAUAACAGAACUUCCUGUAAAUUUAGAAACAUUUGGCUGGGGAAUGAGAGCCAUUUGCCACAGGUACUUUAUAUAAACAGAGAACUUAAACUUCAUCCACUAAAGUCUGGUUACCGUAUAUUUUAUUUAGUCAUCAUCUUCUAACAUUAUAUAUUUUAGAAAAUUUAUUUUUAAGGUAUGAAAUUGCUUUUAUAUUUUUAAAUGAAUGUGUUAAAUUGUCAUGUUUUAAAAAUUACAUAUUACUUAAACUUGGAAACUUUUGGCAUAUCAAUAUUAAGUUCUAUCACAGACAUAAUUUUUGAUGUAGACAAACUCCAUAGGAAUUCUGGGUAUAACAUGGUUUAAUCAAUUAUUGCAAUUUUCAAAAUAGCUGUAGUAUAGUUUUAGUUCAUUAUUUUAUUGCUUUCAUAAAUCUUCAAAAUUGUAUUUAAUAUCACAAUCAGUUUAAUUUUUGAUUUCGAAUUAAAGGAUUUAUUUCCUAAUUAAAAAUAAAUUUGUUGAGCUAAAAAGUUUUAAACAUGGUAGCAAUUAAUUUAGGUUAUAGUUUUGUUAGAAACAAUAUUCCAGUUUAUUUCUUGUGGUUCAAAUAAAUAAGUGAUGACAACUUUCUACCAUUUACUCAAUAUUAAAGAUAGCCUGAGAAGCCAUCAUGAUGGUUUACCGCUAGGUGUCUCUAUAAACUGCUGUGCAGGAAAGUGAAUUUGGAGAGAAUACAGUGACAUGCAGAGACCAAACAGAAUUCCGGAGGAAAAACAUCACAGAAAUAAGGAAAAUCCUCGUUUGCUAGUCUUUGAACUCUUAUUUUCUUUGAAUAUUGACUAUGGCCAGAAAAGAAAUAAAUUAAUCAUGUAACAGGGAUCAAAUUUAAGCCAAGACUUUCACCUACACGAGCAAACAUAUCUAUGUUUCAGUCCAUACUAAACAAUAUAGUCAGAUGAGAUGUAUUCCCGGUUUCACAUAAUACUCCAAAGAAUGCACAGGAUUUCAUAAACACUUUGGGGAACUAGAAAAUGAAAUGAUUGAUCAAAUAGAUCCCUCCUGAAUUAAGGGCAUGAUACUAAAUUAAACAUUAUUUGAUUGAGUCGGUUGGAUGUGAAAAGUUGAGAAUCUGUGUCUAAAUAUUUGUGAACAUACGUGUGCAUAUUAUAGUUAUUAAUGAUCUAGUAUAAUCAUAAAUACGUUUCAUAUAUGGUAAUACAUUUGGCAAUAAUUAGUGUGAAUUAUGGACAUAAUCUGAUACCUCCCUAAUAAAAUUUAAAUUCAAACCACAACUAGCAUACUUAUCACUUGAAAUUGGCCAUAUAUCUUGGUGAAUAUGAAUUCACCAAUGAAUUCAUAUUCAUUAUUACCUGGAAUUAUCAUUUUAGUGUUUUAUCAACUCUUUGGAUGAAUUCUUAUAUUAAAUAAUUUCUUAAGAUAUCUCAUCAUAUUACGUUUGUGUAUUGUUGUGUGGUUUCUUUAGAAUAUUAAAAUGCUAAGUCAAGAAUUAUGGUCUCUCAUGAAAUAACCUAAAAGAGAUUAUAAACAAGGAAAUUCUUUCAUGAUAGUGAUGAGAUCUUGUAAAUACUAACCAACGUUAUUGAAAUCUAAAGCAAGUAGAACUUGCAUUUCUUCUUGUUAGCCUAACUGGUAAGUUAAGAUUAUAAAAUCCAAUGCUAGAUUCCAGACUCCUCCAAAAUCAGCUCUAAUAAGAGUACUUUUGUGACAGUGUAGCUAAAGGUCUAUACAACCCUAUUUGGCAAACAACACAUUUUUCAGAUAUAUAUCUUUUUAAUGUCUUUGAAAUUAAAUUAUAUAUGUCACAUAUUCCUAAAAGCAGAAAAGUUUCUCCUCGAAGGGAAAACAUGAGUCAUCUCUUAUGAUUGUUUCUCUGUGUAAUUGAUAAGCUAAAUAACUGUAGUAUAGCAUAUUUUUUAUCAGUUUGGUACAUUUGGAUUUACAACAAUUGAAAUUAUCAUGCAGUGAUAUUUAUCAAAUUCAAAUGACUAGUUAAGCUGAUUAAUUUCAGCAAGAUUAUUUAUUCACUUUUAGAUUUAAUUUGUUUUUUAUAGUCUUAGAUAUUUGCCGUCAGAGGCAUAAGAGAAAGAUGUACAUAAAAUAGACAAUUUUCUUCCUUGCUUCUAACACUUACUUAUAAAUAUACUCUGGUAGUCUUUUGAUAGAUUAGGUGUUAAAACCCUGUCUUUGGAGGACAAGUUGGAAAUAUCUUCCAGAAUUUAAAAUGCAUUUAUAUUUUCAACAAUUAUAUUUUCAGAAAGUAGGCUACAGGUGUACCAAAAUAAAAAGUACAUAUACAAUAUAAUGUACCUGUAAUGUACAUGUACAUGUAAUAUACAAUGUAAUAUGUGAGAAUAGUCACAUUUGUAAGUGACUGAGUCUAAGUGAAAAGUGGUACAUAUCUAUCUAUACCUGGGAAUGCUUUUCUGCCUUUCAUAACAGUGUAUGUAAGUAUAUGUUCCUGUCAUUAUUAAUAGCGUCCAUAGCAUCCAUCUGUGUACAUUGCUGGGGAGGAGGAGAGAAUCUUUCUGGAAGGAUACACAAAUUCAGUAACGGAGUUUGCCCUUUGGGGGAAGACUAGGGAGUGUUUAGUAGGAUGAAGGUUUUUCACUUUACAUUCUAUUUUUUAUUUUUUCAAAAUUUCAAUUUACAUGCACAUUUCCAAUAAAAAUUUUCAAAAUACAUGUACUUGAAAAAUAAGGAUAUUACAGAAGAUCCCUGACUUGAAUGGUUCGACUUAGGAGUUUUCAACUAUAUGCUGGUUUGAGAACAAUACACAUUUAGUGGGAACUACUUGGAAUUUUGAGUUUUAUCCUUUCCUGGGCCAGGGAUAUGUGGUACGAUCCUCUUUUGUGAUGCUGGGCUGUGGAGUAGCAAGCCUCAGUUCCCACUCAGCCAAGCGAUCACAAGCUAAACAGCCCAUAAACUUAACAACCAAUCUGUACCCAUGCAGCCACCAGUUUUCACUUUCAGUACAGUAUUCGAUAAAUUACAUGUGAUAUUCAGCCUAUUUUUAUAAAAUAGGCAUUGUGUUAGAUGAUUUUGCCCACCUAUAGGCUACCUAAGUGUUCUGAGCACAUUUAAGGUAGGCUAGGCUAAGCUGUGAAGUUUGGUGGGUUAGGCAUAUUAAAUUCAUUUUCAACUUACAAUGGGUUUAUCGGGACAUAACCUUGUUGUAAGUCAAGGGAAAUCUGUAUUUGGAACAAUGAUAUGGGAGGUGGUAGAGAGUUGAAGAUGACGUUACCAAGUUAAUCUCUGUCCCGCACUUCUCAAAACUAUUUUUUCUAUGACACAUUGCUGUCAGUGAAGACACCAAAUAUCUUUCUAAAUAUGUGACUAUAAAUUAAUUAGUUAAAAUGUUUUUUCUUCGUAGCUGUAACAUGUGACAUUGAAUUCUAGCUGCUAGUCCUAACUAUUAGAAUAAUAAUUAAUAGAAGCUGGCUUCCCUUUCCUUCUUCCCUGUGUAGAACCAUACUGGGUACUGGUGACGUUACCUUUAUUUGAUACUGUGGUGGGUGAAGGAAAGAUCAAAAUCGUUCUCUAAAGAAGAUAAGUGCUUGUGCUCAAAAUUGUCAGCAGCAGAUCUUUACUGCUAUGGGCAGGAAGAUGAGUGAGUGUGUAAUUGUGACAUAUUUUAAGUAUACAAACUAUCAUCAGGCCCUGUUAGAACAAAGGCUACUGCCAUUCUGCUUAUACUCGCAUUGAGAUAUGCAUAGUCCACUGGAAAAGAAACAGUUUUAUUAUAUAGCUAGAAUAGCUUUUCUAUGUAUCUUUCUAUUAGAGAUAGGAUUUGUCUCUUAAGGUUUAUCCGUUCUUGGGUCUCACAUAUCUCUAGUCGUUCUUAGGAAACAAAUCCAAACAGGCAUUAUGUAUAUCUGUAUUUCCUGUAUCCUUUUCAGGUUUUCAAAGAAAAACAAUGAGCCAUCCUAAAACACAGUUUCAUUACAAAAUUUUCAGAAGGACUGUUGUUUAUAGGAGAAUGUCUAAAUUGACGAUACUUUAUUCAACUUUUAUCAGCUAGGAUCUUUCAUUCAAGGGGAGACUCCCAUAAUCUCUCUAUCCCCUCAAAACAAAUCAGCUUUCCCAACUCCAAAAGUUUUGUUGUACUGCUCAUUCAUCUAACUGGCUCUUCCCUUUUCUUUCAGCUAUUGUUCUAGAGAAUUUACUGUAAAUCCUUUCUUCACCAAAAAAUUCCUUUCUGUCCACUCUAACCAACACCGAAGACUUCCUUACCUGAACAUUUUCUUCCAUUAUCUAGCACUUGCCUAGCACGAUGUUCUGUUUCCUGAUUAAGGUUGCCAUUUUCUUCUGGGCUAGAUUAUCAUUUCUUAUUAAGCAAAGAACUUGAGUUUCUUACCCCUCAAACAGUGGAAAACUGAGCUUCAAAAGACUCUUUGUAUACACAAUAAAUGCAUGUCCAAUUUUGAAUUUUUUCAUUCAACAAAUAUUUAUUUGCUAAAUAUGUUAUCCUAAACCAUAUUAUGUUUGAUAUAAAAUAAUUGACUCAUAUCAGGGUAGUUGAAGGAUUUCAGGGUCAUUUUUACUUUUUGACAAGUCACCUGCAUUCUCCAGUCAAAAUAAGUGGAAUAUAAUAUAUAACAAUACUAAUGCAUAGGGGCACCUGGGUGGCUCAAUCAGUUAAGCGUCUGACUUUGGCUAAGGUAAUGAUCUCACGGCUCGUGAGUUCAAGCCCCAUAUCAGGCUUUGUGCUGAUAGCUUGGACCCUGGAGCCUGCUUCGGAUUCUGUGUCUCCCUCUUCCUCUGCCUCUCCCCAGCUCACACUCUGUCUCUCUCUCACUCUCAAAAAUAAAUAAACAUUAAAAUAAUUUAAAAAAUACUAUUGCAUAAGUUGAAUACUUGAAUAGUAUUUUUUGUGACAUAUAUUUGCCAAGCCUCUAUAAAAAUGUUCUCCAACAGAACGUUCUGUGAUGAUGGAACUAACCCCUAUUUGCAGUGUCCAAUAUGAUGGUCAUUAGCCACAGGUGACUGUUGAGCAACCGAAAUGUGGUCGGUCUGACACAGCAAAUACAAUUUUAAUUCUUAAAAUUUUAGCUUAUUUAUAUAUAAGUAACCACAUGUGCCUUGUGGCUACCAUAUUGGACAGUACAGAUCUAGAGGAUAAAUCCCUAGAAGGCUGCAGCUGUGUUUCUCACACAAUUUCUGGGAUACCUUGAAAGUCAAUCAGUAUGAACAGCUGUACUCAUGAGUAAUGAUGGUGAUUAUGACACUCUCAAUAAAUAAGGACAAUUAUGAUUCACAUUUGGCAAGGGGCCUGAUUUGCAUUCUGUUGAGGGUCUGUAUUCAAUUCAUUUAAAUUGCAUUCAGUUGAAGACUCCUGCCAUUCUUUUAAAGAUUUCAAGGCAUUUUACAGGCAUUUCAAAAUUCCUUAUUACAUCCUUAUUACACCACUAUAAAGAAGGCAAGGUAGAUUAUUUUAUAUCAAUAGAAUUUUAUUAGAAGAUAAGUGCCUUUUUAUGUAUGAUGAAGUAUUCUCUAAGGUGCUUUUCUUCAGAUCACACAGUGGGAUGUUAGUAGAACUGGAGAAGAAAGUCCUAAGAGGGUAUUUUGCUUCAAGGAACUAUCCUGGAAUAGGCUUUUUGUACAGAGAAGUCUGUCAGUCAGUAACAAAACAGCACUUGAACUCUUACAUUCCACCAUUUGAAUACAACAGCUCUAUUUUGAAGUUCAGUGCUGUCUUGUACAAGUAGAGUGGGCAGAGUUUGGACAAGAAAUUAUAAUUAAUGAAUUUCUAGAAUGCAAAUAUGUCCUCUAAUUUCCAUGAAGAUCUGAAUAAAUCUCAGUUUAAAUAAAUUCAUAUUUAUAUAUUUGAAACAGAGAUGUAAUAGCUUGGUAACCAGUCCUCAUUACAAAUUAUUAUAAUAUUUGAGAUUAAUUUUUAUUUGUUUUCGAUCAGCUUAUCUAAAAUAUUAAUAAUAAAAUUGACCUAUAUUUCCAUUAUUGUAUUUCUUCUUUGGACAAAAUCAAUAUAGCUUCAAAAGAAGCAUGAAUUGCUUGAGAGCUUAAGUCUAAAAUUGAAUGGAAGCCAUCUGAUCCAUAGCAGUACAGUGGCGCUCAGAGACUUCAACGCCAUUCUUGAUUCUGGCUUGGCAACAACUAUACACUUGCAUUUCUGCAGAAACCACUCUGGGUAGAUCACAUAUUUUAUAUAUGAAAAAGUUACUGUGCUUCUCUUCAAUGGACCUUAAAAAAAACCACGCUGGUUAAUCAGAUGAUAAGUGUUAAAAUGUCCCUGGAAGAAAUGUAGUAUUAUUACCCAAAAUGUAGACUUUAAAUGAUUCACUUUAUCCUAAAAUGUAAAGUUAUUUUCAUUUAAAUAAAUAUUAAUAAUAGAAUGAUAAUGACAAUGGUGUACAUUUUGUGAUAAAUGGAUCUAAGGCAGCUAAUUUUUAUUUAAUAUUACAUGAUGCAUUUUUAUCCUGUGAUCAAAAGCAUUCUGUCAAUCUAAUGAUGCUUCUCUAGUGAAACUAGAUUCACAGUUAUUGUCAUGUGACCUAUUAUAAUGUAUGCUGCAAUUUUAAUUGAUUGUUACGUAUCCCAAUGAACAAAUAACCAGUUUGGAUUUGAAUCACUAGUAUAAGAGGCAUGCUUCGUUGUACAAUCAACUGUGUCCUUAACUGCAAUAUUAUAUGGAUAGUGACUGCGAUGAAGACAGACUUUGAUCAAUGACUAUACUGCAACUUGAUUGUAUGUAAAUACUAAAAUUUGUUUGUAGGUAUUUUUAUAUUAAAAAGUUUUCAUUAUAGUAUUGAUACAAUAGCAUUUAGAAGUCAUCUAUUAUAGAGAGAGAGGCUUAAAUUGAUUUGUCCCAAAGAAUAGGAAUCUAUUUGAUGAGGUUUUUCAAUUUGUAAUUAUAUUUACCAGCCACAGUUAACACAAGCAUCAACAAGCGAUUCUAACAUCAUUUAUAAUUCAAAAUCAAUCAACUAAAAUGUAUGCAUGCCUACAACAUACAUUCAUUUUCUGUUUGCCUGCUAUUUUGUGAGAUGGUCAUAUUCUUUCAUGUAAUUAUUAAAACAACUUCAUGUUGCCUCAAGGUAGUUGGUGAUAUUCCAUGUUUCAUACAGACAGUAUAGAGCAGAACCAUACCAUGAUAUGAAUUACAGGGACUUUUAGCAUCUUUUUUCUUUUUAUUUUUUAAAAAUUUGUUAAUUUAGAUGCACACUUUUGGACUUUUACUUCAGUUUAAAGGAAAAGUGAAAAUAAUGUCUAGCAAUACUUAGUAAUGAGCUUUAACAAGCAUACCUUCUAAGUGAUUAAUCAUUUCUAUAAUGUUGAAUGUUUUCUGAGAAAGUCAGCAGUAAGAAUACCUUUCAAAUUAUUAAUACAUAGUGUUACUCUUACAAAUAAAAUAUAUCUUAAACUGAUCAUUAAAUAUAUUUACAAAUAUAUUGUUCUACCUUAAGAAUAAAAAAAAAUUAUUAGCUACCAGGAGUUAUUGUCACAGCAACUAGAAUGCAUAAGGUUCAUAAAACAAUAUUUUUGAAUACAUAUAGUGUACUUUUCUAAUGUAAAAAAUGUCCAUAAUAGAAGGUUUUUCUAUUUUUGAGCUUUUGACUAAUUAUUAUUUUAUAUUUAGUAAACCAGUAGUCAAAGCAAGCAUUAUAUACCUGCUAAAAAAAUCAAUAAUACAAUACUAAAAUGGCUCCUUUGAAGAGCACUCAUACCAACCCUUUCAUGCAUAAGUUUAAGGAUACAACCCAUAGCCCUUUGGCAUAUGAAUUUGUUAUAGAAAUCAUAUAAAAUUGAAAAUGGCAUAACACAUAGUUUCUAAGUUUUCCAAAGAGUACAUAAAUGAGAUAAUCUCAUUGCCUAAUGAAAUGUCUUAAUAAUUGAUAAACCACUUAGGUUCAUGAAAAUAUUAAUCACAAAUGACUAAAACCCACUAUAAAUAACUAUACUUUAUUGACCCUUAAUAUUUUUAUCAUCCAUGUCUAAUAGCCCAGUUUUGUUAUGAAUGUCACACAGGUGUCUCCAUAAAACUCAAAGAAAAUAUUUGAGUUUUGGGGUAUGUUAGUACUUCCUCAAUGUAAGUAAAGUUGAACAUGGAAUGAUUUGACGUUAAGUAUGAUACGUCUUCAAAUAUUGAAAAUUUAUAAAUAUUAGAUUCAUAAUUGGCUAUUACUGCAUCUACUUAUAGCUAUACUGAAAUAAAUAUAUGUAGAAAAAAUACAGGUUUCUGUCCAUGCUAGCAGUUCAUGACGUUUCUGACCACCUUCUCCUAACAUGCACGCGGGGAGUCUGCAGCAGCCCUUGAGAAUGCAUCUUGGAGUUCUUCCAGAAACUCUGAGUCAAAGAGCAAUGUCUGCAUUCACAAAGAAGCAUUCACAGCUGUCAGAAGUUAAAUGUCCAUGAGACUCAUAGUACAGCUGCAGUCCUUCCAAUACACUGACAAUGCCUGUGGAAACUAGAAUUUGAUAACUAGUUCUUCCAUGGGAAAAAUAUCACAGAAGAAUGAUUAAUCUUUGCCCAACUGAUAAUGAAUAAUUAUGCAUUCACAGUACAUGAAGCAUCAUUGUCCUACAUUACUUAGCCUGCAGUGCUUUUGCUGCUGUUUUUCACUACCAGGGAAGGUACGCUGGUUGCAAUAAACUGUCAAUGAACAUCUUGUAGGCAAACACCUGCAGACACCUGCUAGCAGCGGGUGCCUCAGAUCCGGGACCAUAGAAAUUGCAGCAUAAACCAAAGUCUGCAAGGCAGUACUGGCUCUGAGUGAGUGUGUGAAAGCGUGCAUAACUGAAGAAAUGCAUGCAUGAACAGGUAUAUUGUCUUUCCAUCUAUGCUUAAUAAAAUGAAUAAGCUGAAUUGUUUCCCCCCAGAAAUGUGUAAUACAGUUGAGCAGAAUAAUAGAAAAGCAAGCUACAUCUGCAAAUAAGGUUUUCAAUUUGGGAUGAUUUAUCCUGAUUUAUGAUCAGAUGAUUCAGGACAAAUGGUUACUAUGCUGAAAAUGUUGAGCAUAUACUCUCUAUGCCCAUAUGGUGAUAACAAGUCAUUCAGAUUUUGAGUUACUUAAAAAAAUUAAUAUAAUACAUUUUGAACAUAUAUGAAAAAUUCUGAAAAAGGUUAUAAAACCUUUUCUGGAAUGGUUUAGGUGAGGCCAAAUGGAGAUAAGGGGAUUAGCUCAUCUUGGUAACUAUUCAACUUUAUGAUUGAAUGGAGAAACCCAUUUGAAAGUUUAUCAGUUUUUAAUUAUUGAGUCACUUAGAAGGCCAAUAGUCUUUAAAUAUAAAGAUCUGGUUCCUAAAAUCUAGUGAAUUAUUGAAGAUUUACUUCAAAGAACUUUUUAAAAUUACAUCUAAAAGCAAAAACAAUUAACUUUUUUAAAAUGUUAGUUUUUAAGUGUUUUCAGAGUUGUGGAAUGAGAAAUAAUGAAGAAAAAUAGAAAGCUAAUCACAUUAAGUUUUAAAAGGAAAACGUGGGGUACUAUCUCCUUAUUUAAAGGACCCAGACAGUGUAAAUAUUUGAACCAAAGUGCACCUCUGGUUAUUGGAGAAUUAGACUCCCAAUUUUCUGACUCCUUAGUGUACACCAGAAGGAACAGAAGUGGAGUUAACUUGAUAAUUAACGUAUUCUGAAAAGCACAAAAUAAAAAUAAGACACUAACAACCUCAGGUUCCAUGUUGCUUUGGCAGCAUUUCAUGUCAUUUGCAUAAGGCUUUCAUCUACUGAAUGGAUUAUCAUGAAAAAAAAAAGCUUGAAAAACUUCAAUAUAUAAUGAGAGCAAUAGGUAAGCUAUGAAACUGUAUUCUUACCAUGUGUGUUCACUGACAGAAAAAAAAAUGAAGCCAAAAGAUUGAUUAACUUUAUGGGGAAAAAUAAAGUGAUGACAGUGCCCUAAAAAUCUGGCUACAUGCAUAUUAAUUUAUGCAUGUUGGAGCAUGCUCAGGGUACCCUUAUUCCUAUCAGAGACCUUGUAUCUGUACAUUUCUGAUGUUACUAAUGUACUAUCAGGGCAUCAUAGUUUGGAGGUUUUUGUGAAUUUGAUAACAUUUUGACAGAAGAUAUAAUUAAAAUGUGGAAUAUUUUCCCCAAUGUCAUUCAGAUAGAUACUUUAAACGAGGAAACUGAACAAAAAUCUGAAGUGUAUAGAGGUUUCUUUUAUUCCUUUCAAAUCAUUGUUUAGGAGACAAACAGGUUUAAUGUGUUUAGAAUAUAUAUUCAUCUACUGUUUUAGAACACAGAGUUAUGGGUCCUUUUUGAUCGCAUUGAUAGUUUUCACCGUGUGAGGGACUUUUUCAAAGAUAGUGAGUGCAGUGAUUAAAAACAGAGGUUUGGGUAAAUCAGUUCCAUUUUUGCCUUUUAAUGACUGCUUAAAAUAUUGUGAAUUUAUUUACAUCAGGUAAUUACUUUCAUUUGUCAUGAGGAUUCAAUGAGUUAAUUCAUACAAAAUGUUUAGCAUACUUCUUUGCACAUUGUAAGCACUGAAUAAGUGUUAGCUGUUGUUUCAUGUUAUAUUAUUAGUUAUUAAAAGCACCAACAUGCUUUGAGUCUACUCUCUAAAUCAAAGAGUUGGAGAAGCCUACAUGGGAUUGCAGGAAGAUUUUUACCCAGAAUAGAUGUUCAAGACAAGUUGCAUUCAUUAUCAGCUGAUCCUGAUUAGUUAUGGAUUUAUAGCACCAAGAGUCUGCCAUAGAUUAAGUGGUUGCUGGCUUGCAGAUUUCACUAGCUCUUUUUGGCUACCGGAAUAAGAAAAUGGGAAUGCUUGCCAGACAGCACUUCCUAGUGAUGAAUUUUAGAAAACUCAUGCAUGUACAUUGUUCCAAAAGACCUGGAGGACAAAAUAGAGGAGAAACUAUGUUUUGUUUUUUUUUGGUAUCCUGACUUUAGAGCAUAAGUAACGAAAAACUCUAGUAAAUUGUAAGGAAAAUUAAGUAAGGUUUGAAUAUGAAACAUAUUUACUACACUAAAGAAAUUAUAAAGCAAUUUUUAUAACUGUCUCCAUGAAGAAUAUAUAAUUUAGAUUUAUUUAAAAUAAGUUUGUAGCACUACAGUCAACAGCUACAUAUGAAAGUGAAAGUUGCUUUUGUAGAAAAAUACAGGACUGUCAAUUUAAGUUACUACGAAUAUAAACUCUAGUGUAAAUUAGUUUAUCAUACAUAUAGAACAUUAUAUAUGCAUACCAUUAAUUCAUAUUAGUGCUCUGCUGUAUCAUCUAUUAAUUUUUGUCAGUAUCUAUGUAAAUAUAUAUCAGGAAUGUUAUUGUUUAAUUGCUAAUUUAAUAUAUACAUCUAUAUAUACAUACACAUACUUUUUGCUUGUAUAUUUUGAAUGAUUUCUGUCAUACCUGAAUUUAUAUUUUAGCACACAACCUUAUUAACUUUGAAUUCUGUUAUUCAAUACUUUGGGGUUUUUUUGUAACUGCCCGCCCCUAUUAAAGAACUUUUGUUAAGGUGCAAUUCUGAAAUCCAUGAGUAUGAUCUUGAAAGUCACAUACAAGAAAAUAACUUGUUUCUUCUUGAAGAAAAUAUUUUCACCAUGGGUAUUGUGUUUGAUUCUACAAAGGUUGAUUUUGGUGCAUUUCACUUACAAAUAUUAUUUUUGAUAUGAUAGCAAGCCAUAUAAUAACUGCUCUCAUAGCUGUGGAGAUGCAUAGCCUAGGUUACACACACACACACACACACACACACACACACACACACAGCCACACACACUAGCAGACAGUGAGUGAAAAUGAUAAAUGUAUAUACUAUAUAUGGUGCGUUCAAUUUUCAAAUAUCAGAGCAUAAUAAAAUGCACUCACCUUGAAUGUCAUCCUGAAAACAGUAAAUUUAAAAAAGUUGCUGCCAAUUUUAACAGGCACUUGCCAUAAAUAUGCAAAUAUACUCUUCAUGUGUUCACAAGAAUUGGUAAUUUUCUCCAUGGUAGGUAGUAACUUUAUUAUGCUAAUAUUUAUAUCUCCCAGUAGUUAGGCUACUUUUUGACUUUCACAUUAAGAUUGUGAUUUGCUUGCUACAUCUGCCUAUCAUUUCAAAUAAUGAUUAUUAUAUGAAUAUAUCCAAAUGUCAGUUAAUAGGUACUUUUUGCUGGGAGAAAAUCUGAUGACUCAAGAUUUUACUGAGUGUUGGGAAUUUAGAUGUUUAUAAAUAUUAUGUUGCUCUAUUUAUGUAAACCAAUGUCAUAUGUUAGGGAAGUUUUCAGAAGGGAUGUUUAGACACAGUCCCUAUGCCUGUUUUAUCUAUCUGUUGCUAUUUUCUAAAACCUGAGUGGAAGGAUUUGUGUGUUUGUUUUUAUUUUGUUGUUUAUAAUUCUAUUCCCUACACCCCCAGCCAUAUUGUCGCAGAAUGCAGAAUACCCAGGGCUCAGAGCUUGAGCACACGUGAGAGGAGCCUGGGGUCACAGUAGAUGUAACUUCUGGGACCCAAGGACCCCUUUAAUCGUGCAGGGGGCUUGGACCAGAAGAAACCUCUCGGAAAUUAUAUAUAGCUAUGUAAAUCCUGGUUGGUUGACGAGGCAGGUCGAAGCUGACCACUGAAGCCGUUCUGUGCUAGCUUUAAAGACUGCAGAAUCCUUCAGGCAGCUAUUAGAGCAGUUAUUUCUAGAAGUCCUUUCUUGUCUGCGAAGGUGAUUCUAAAGUGCUCUGUUCUCUGAAGUUCCUGAAUUUGCAGUGUGUAGUGUUAGGAGAGUCUGAUGAAUGAUCUCACAAAAUAAAACACUCUGAAAUGGAUUUGGGUUUGUUUGUUUGUUUGUUUGUUUUGUUUUGUUUUAAAACUCUUCUGAUUGUGAGAUACAAAAUGAGAGCUGCAUGUCUGCCAACAGGUAUAGACUUUAUGAAGAAAUUUGCACUUUAAGGGGAAGCAUAACCAGUAGGUGGAUAUACUAUUAUUUUAAAACUAUCUACUGCACUCAUAUUAGUAAAAGAUAAUGAAAUUUAAGAGCGAAAUGAUUAUUAAAAAGAGUACAUUUGGGUAAAUUCACUAGUCAAAUUAUAUAGAUGCUCAAAAAUUAGUUGAAUUAGGGGCGCCUGGGUGGCGCAGUCGGUUAAGCCUCCGACUUCAGCCAGGUCACGAUCUCGCGGUCCGUGAGUUCGAGCCCCGCGUCGGGCUCUGGGCUGAUGGCUCAGAGCCUGGAGCCUGUUUCCGAUUCUGUGUCUCCCUCUCUCUCUGCCCCUCCCCCAUUCAUGCUCUGUCUCUCUCUGUCCCAAAAAUAAAUAAACGUUGAAAAAAAAAUUAAAAAAAAAUUAGUUGAAUUAAAGAUGAUAAAUAUUUAAUCUUUCUAACCUGAUAUUCCUAAAGAGCUGGAUGCAAACUGCCUAACUUAGAAUGGGACAUGUGUGGAGAUUUUACUUUUUGCAUCAUCUGAUUUUAAUAUGAUACUCUUGGGACGUCUGCGUGGCUCAGUCAGUUAAGCAUCUAGCUUCAGCUCAGGUCAUGAUCUCACAGUUUGUGGGUUUGAGCCCCGUGUCAGGCUCUGUGCUGACACUCCAGAGCCUGGAGCCUGCUUCGGAUUCUGUGUCUCCCUCUCUCUGCCCCUCCCCUGCUCACAUUCUGUCUCUCUCUGUCUCUCAAAAAUAAAUAAAUGUUAAAGAAAAUUACUAUGAAACUCAGGCUUAUCUUCAACCCCCCACAGUUCACCCGUCAUCUGACCUCAUUUCUUAUAUUUGCUUUUCAACAUAAAUUAUACAGGAACUUCUCUUAGCAUGCAAUGACACAUGUAGAUUCCCACCCUCCAAAUAUAGGUACUUCAUUAUUACAUGCAUAAUUAUUUCAUUUCCUCAAUAUAAAUCUUAAGUGAUCAGGGUCCUUCUUUCCCUUCCAAGAUAUGUGUCAUGGUAAUAAUAUAAGCAGGUUUUAUUUAUAGUUGUUCAUGAGAAUAAUGUCAAAGCUACAUAAUCAACGAUCCAUGUGCUAUUUUUUGUAUUUUGUCUUAUUCCCUUCCUAUUUUGUAAUUAAGUGCAAUUGUGAAAGCUUUAUUUUUUAAAUGUUUAUUUAUUUUUGAGACAGAGAGCGUGAGCAGGAGAGGAGCAGAGAGAGAGGGGGACAGAGGAUUCGAAGCGGGCUCUGCUCUGACAGUAACAAGACUAGUAGAGAGCCUGAUGUGGGUCUCGAACUUGAGCACGAGACCAUGACCUGAGCCCAAGUCAGAGGUCCAACCGACUGAGCCACCAAGGUGCCUCCAAAUUGUGAAAGUUUUAAAUUUAAUAUCAUGUAUUUAAUACUGUUUUUUUCUGAGUCAGAUAUCUUUUGAUAUCUAUCUUCCAUAUUAAGGGAUUUGAUUAGAUGUAUACUAUUAAUAUGUGUUUAUGGGUUUUAUUUGUGUGUGUGCUUAUAUUUUCAAAUAUUAAAUUUUCUAAUAUACUUAAGUAUUUAACUAUCAUUUACUAAUCCCUUAACAUGUGUAAGGUUCUUUGUCAAUUUUCAAAACAAAUAGCAUCAAGAAGUAUAAGAUCUCACUUUUACGGAAUUCACAGUUUACUGGAGAUAACAUACAAAAAAAGAAAUAUUAAAAUGUAGUAAACUGUGUACUUUUAGUAAAAAAAUAUAAUUAACUCUUAGUUAACUUAAUUGUGAGUUAACAGCAAAUGUUCAUUAGACUUCUAAUCAUUAAAAAGUAUUCUAGUAAUUUAUUUAAAAAAAUUUUUAACGUUUAUUUAUUUUUGAGAGAGACAGAGUGUGAGCAGGAGAGAGGCAGAGAGAGGGGAAGACACAGAAUCUGAAGCAGGCUCCAGGCUCUGAGCUGUCAAUGCAGAGCCUGAUAUGGGGCUUGAACUCACAAACUGUGAGAUCAUGACCUGAGCUGAGGUUGGAAACAACCAACUGAGCCACCCAGGCACCCCAAAAGUCUUCUAGUAAUUUAUGAACAAAUGGAAGAACCAGAAUACUCUUUAUUCUGCUUUAUUCUGCUAUAAAUUUAGUGUAGAAUAAAUUCUGGGGUUGGGUAUUUUAGGAAAGCAGAGUUCUAGCUUUUGACAGGUUUGGAACCAUCUAGGAUUUGAUGCAUAAUCACUAUUCUAGAAGGGACAGAGUUUUCACUUGCAUUUUAAAUUAAUUUGUGAUUUAUUUUGCACAUUGAAUUUGUGAUUUAUAGUUUGUUGAGGGUACACCAAAUUCUUCUCUGUAAGUAAUUUAAGGUGAACAUCAUACCCAAGUGUUAGAAGCUAUUUGUGCAUGGUAGCUGAAAAGUAAGUCAGUGCAAAUACGAAGGAAUGAAAUAAAUCUAGUACGAAAUCCAUAGAAAUUCAUAGUGAGACAACAGAUACCUCUUCUCUCUCGUCCUCAGUGUCUCCUGUCUCUGUCUCCCUCUCCCUCCCACACUUUCCCUCUCCAUCUCCGUCUCCAUCAUCUCUCUCUAUGUGUAUUUCACCAAAUCUAAGGGGAAUUGAUGUUGACUCUUGCUUGAUCUUAACAGAAGACAUCAAUGGAAGUUUUUACACAACUUUUUAAUAGUCAUCUGACUGAUAGUGAUUAUAAGACAUUAUUGACUGCAAAAUGAACCCUCAUUUCCAUGAUGUAAAAAUGUGAAAAAAAUAUAUCUUAUAGGGGCGCCUGGGUGGCGCAGUCGGUUAAGCCUCCGACUUCAGCCAGGUCACGAUCUCGCGGUCCAUGAGUUCGAGCCCCGCGUCAGGCUCUGGGCUGAUGGCUCGGAGCCUGGAGCCUGUUUCCGAUUCUGUGUCUCCCUCUCUCUCUGCCCCACCCCCGUUCAUGCUCUGUCUCUCUCUGUCCCAAAAAUAAAUAAAAACGUUGAAAAAAUAAUUAAAAAAAAUAUAUCUUAUAAUUGAUAAAAAUUAUAACUAAGUUGAAUCUAAGCUAGGAAUUAAUACUCAGGCUCUACAGGAAGGCUUUUAUGUUUUUCACAGGCUUUCUGCUUUGUCUGUACUUUCUUGCUACAUCUUGAUCUAGCUAUUCUUCUGUUCAAUGUCCUUCAAAACUUAAAAGGAUCAACUCCCUUGGAGAGUCUUUCUCUGACUAUCCCACAGAAUUUCUGUCUGCCUUUCCUUUGCUUUCGAGAAACUGUGCAUACUUUUGUGAUUGUACUUACCACACCAGAACAUGAUGACUGGUUUGUCUUAGGGACUUAUUCUAACCUAAAUUAUUUGAACUUUAAGAUGCAAUAAAAAUUGUGUCUCUACCAUCAAGUAUCAUAUGUCAGCAGCUUAUAAUAAAGGAUCAGUAAAUAUUACCCGGAUAAAAAUUCAAUAAAUAAGGAAAUCUAUGAAUGUUAAAUAUUUUUAUCAAUAUAUCAUAAAAAAGAAAAAUGGAGAGUCAGGGAGGUUGAAUGACUUGUUCAAUAAUGGUCAGGCUUCAAACCCACCUCUUCCGUAUUCUAGCCCAAAAGCUCUCUCCAUUGUUCAAACCUAAUAUUGUGCCACCUCUUUUUUAAUUACACGACAUCAAGUGAGCACACACCAAUUAUUGGCUUAGGAACAAACAUGGUGGAGAAGAAGCCAUAUAUUUUUAAAUUUUUUUUUAACGUUUAUUUAUUUUUGAGACAGAGAGAGACAGAGCAUGAAUGGGGAAGGGUCAGAGAGAGAGAGGGAGACACAGAAUCUGAAACAGGCUCCAGGUUCUGAGCUGUCAGCACAGAGCCCGAUGCGGGGCUUGAACUCACGAACUGCGAGAUCAUGACCUGAGCCAAAGUUGGACGCUUAACGGACUGAGCCACCAAGGUGCCCUGAGAAUAAGCCAUAUUGAGAAUUAAUGUUUUGGCAAAUUAGGUCGUGCAUAAAUGUUGGACAAUUAUGUCCAAAUAGCCAUGGCAGUGAACCUGGAUAUUGUACAAACAAUCUUAAAUGGAUAGAUGUUUAGAAGUUAUUCUUAGUGGAUUCCAUCAUGUAAGGCUUAUUUUAGAAUAAAUUUUGGGCCUAAAAAUCAUAUUGGAAUAUAUCAACACGAGAUUUGGGACUUCAUUUAAUUAAUAAACAAUAAUUUUAUAUACAAUUCCAAAUGUUUGAUAUUACUUAACCUAUUUUCCAUAAUUUAACAGGCCUAAUUUAAUAUUUCCUUCAACUAAAAAACUGUGUAAAAUUGCACAAGUUUAUAAGCAUCUGUCUUCCCAAUGUCUCUCUGUUUUAAGUCUUAGCUUAUAUGUAUGUCAAUAACAAACAUUUUUAUGAUUAAUAUUGUAUUUGUAAGCAAACAGUAAUAUCUCUGAUAAUUCCUGAUAUUUUCACCUACAUAAAAGCACAUAUAUAUUACUAGACAAAAAGUGAAUAAUUUUGCUUUCAUUAUAAGUUUCAUAUAAAUUAUAAACAUGUUCCUUCACAAUUAUUCCUUAAGACAUGCAGGUACAGUCUAUGGAACCGUUGUGAAAUCAUCAGCCUGGUUUAUCUUUCAGGAAUUAAUAAAUGUCGGUCCAUAAUACAUUUUCCAACAUGAAUGCCAUUGUCUUAUCAUUAAAAGCAACAAUAUCAAUAUAAAAAUUAUAGAAUGACAUGGCGAAAUGUCCAAAAAUAUAGAUUGAUUAGAAUUUAUAUUUUGGAGGUUUUGUAGCUAAUGUAUAAUUUUAAAAAUUCAGUAAAGAAACUUUUCUCCAAAAUUUGGAAGGAUAUUAUUGCCACAAAAGAAAAUGUGUAAUCACCAGAAGAGAUAAUUGGUAUUGAUGGCAUAGCUUUGUUUAUGAAUGUUAUAUGUUGACUUGCAGUUUUAAAAAUUUGUUAUAUCUGAGAAAGCAUAUCAAGAUAUAUGCAGGGAUACCCGGGUGGCUCAGUUGGUUAAAUGUCUAUCUCUUGGUUUCCACUCAGGUCAUGAUCUCACAGUUCAUGGGUUCAAGCCCUGCGCUGGGCUCUGUGCUGGCAGUUUGGAGCCUACUUGGGAUUCUCUCCUCUCCUCUCUCUGUCUCUACACUGCUUGCACUCUUUCUCUCUUUCUCUCUCAAAAAUAAACUUUAAAAAAAAUAUGACAUAAAUAAAGCUGUCAAUAGGUUAAAUUAGAAAAAAAUUUCAAUGAACUUUUUUACAAAAGUGAAGCUUUAAUAUUAUUUGUAAGUAGAAAGAUUUUACUUUCCCUUGAGGAAUAUCUCUGGAAACCAUACCAUAAUUUAAGUACUAAAAAUGAAACCCCUGUCUGCAUUUCUGUACUAGCAAAUAUGUAGACCUCUAGGGAUCCAUUGAAUGAGUAUUAGAGAAAGAAUGUAGCCUUUCUUAUUUGCGUUAAGGUCUAGUCUGUGUUUAUCUUGAGGUGGUGGUGGUAAAGAUUCUCUGGUUGUAUCUUAAAGGCAGUAAGGAUUCCUUGGCCUUUUCGGAGGAAGUGCAAAUUGAGAUAAACAGGUUAAUAAUGAGAAAAAUAAACAAGAUAUGUAAAAAGUCAUGUUCAAUCUAGGGUCAAUGAAAUCUGAAGCACUACUUACAUAAAUGCUGUAUUUGUGCCAAAAGACCUUGUCUUUUAAGCUUUUGGUUUAGCAUAGAUAAAUCAGAUUCAUCACUGAUUAAACUAGAUUGAAAUUAUCUUUAAGGUAACAAUUCCAUAUACAAUCUUUAUCAACAGUGUUUACUUUUAUUUUUAAAGUUUAUUUAUUUUGAGAGAGAGAGCAUAUGCAAGCAUGCAUGGUGGUGGGCGAGGGGCAGAAAGAGAGGAAGAGAGAAUCCCAAGCAGGCUCCACCUGUCAGUGCAGAGUGACAGCUCAGAGCCCUAUGCAGGGCUCAAUUCCAUAAACACAAACCUUGAGAUUGUGACCUGAACUUAAAUCAAGAGUCGGAAGCUCAAUAGACUGAGAUACCCAGUUGCCCCAACAAUAUUUACUUUUAAUAAUGUAGUACAUUUUAACAUUAUUACAAAUUUGAACAUAUAUCUGUAGCCCAUGGUCUUUCAUAAUUCUCAUAACUUUUAUAAUAAAUUUUUCCUGUAUACCCCUACCCAUUCAAUCCCCAGAUUUAUGUUGUGGUUAAUAUCACACAACAUUUCGUUUUAGCCACAAUAUUUCAGAGUGCACCUCUAAGACAUUCAUUUUUUUAAGUAUAACAAUAAAAUCAUUUCACGCUUUAAAAUUAACCAUAAUUCCUUAAUGCUCUCAAGUAACCAAUCAAGUUUCCUUGAUUUUUCACAAAUUUUAUUGUUUUUCAAAUUAAGAUCCAAAUAAUAUUCAUAUAUAACAGUUUGUUAAUAUACUUAAAAUUUUUUUAAAUGUUUAUUUAUGUUUGAGAGAGAGACAGAGUGUGAACAGGGGACGGGCAGAGAGAGAAUCUGAAGCAGGCUCCAGGCUCUGAGCACAGGACGUGGGGCUCAAACUUACUAACCAUGAGUUCAUGACCUGAGCUGAAGUCAGACACUAAACCGACUGAGCCAUGCAGGUGCUCCAGUUAAUAUGGUUUUAAGCCUCUUUUAAUUUUAUGUUCCUAUUACAGCAUGCUCAUGCUUGCUGCCUUCUUCCCUCCCCCAAUCUUUCUCUCUCUUUUCUUCUCUCUCUCUCUCUCUCCCUCUCCCUCUUGGUUUUAUUCUGGCAAAAUAUCUGAUGAAGAAUUUGGAUCAUUCUCCUAAUCUGGAUUGUACAGAUUGCCUUCUGUAGUGUCAUUUAAAAUGCUCCCUGUUUCCUUGAAUUUUUGUUAGAACAGUAGCUACAUCGAGAGGCUAAUAUGGAUAUUUUGAAAACUCACCAAAACAAUGAAAAAAGCAAGGAAAAAUUGGACUGUAGAUUUAAAUAUUUUUCAGAUGUAUAGCUUAAUCAACAUAUUUUGUAGAUAAUGAUACUGAGAUCCAAAGAUACGUUAAAACUCAUAAAGCUUGUAGAUGGCAUAGUUUCUAUUAGAAUCCAGAUGUCCUGAUAAGAGAGAACAGAAAUUGAAAUUUCAGAACACCUAAUAAAAAGCCAUAGGAUAUAUUAGCAAUCAAGUAGCAGUUUGAGUCAGGAGAUUUUUGUCUUCCUUACUAUAUACUAACUCUGUAAAAUUAGGCAAGUUGUUGAUUUCCUGGACCCAUAGCAGAUAUCAGAAUAGUUAUUACUUUUUUUUCACAGAAAAAGCACAGAGAUACAAAUAUUUAGCCAAAUAAUAUUUAAUCGGGUGAAGUCAUCUGGACUUAGAGGGAAUUUAACCACUGUAAUUCAGAGAUGUGGCUUUGGGAAUAUCCACACUAGCAGAAGCCAUUGGACCUCUUACAGUGUGUUUUCCAGUGAGUUUUCCUUAGAGGCCAGAAAGACAAGCAUUUUGAGGUAUUUGUUUGUUUUUUUAAUGUUUAUUUAUUUAUGUUUGAGAUGGGCGGGAGGAGGGGCAGAGAGAGGGAGACACAGAAUCUGAAGCAGGCUCAGAGCUGUCAGCUCUGAGCCCAACACCGGGUUUGAACUCACCAACCUUGAAAUCCUGACCUGAGCCAAAGUGGGACGCUUAGCCGGCUGAGCCACUAAUCCAGGCGCACCAGGAUUUUGCGGUUUUGACAGUUUCGACGUGUGCUCUAGGGAAAGCUGCUAGCUAUAGUUCCAGGCACAGGUUUUGUUUCUGUCAUUCUGCCCCUCUUAAAUGUGUUUAUAAGAGGUAAUCACUUGUGCUAAAUAUUAUGUCAUCUCAUGGUUAAAAACUGUCACUUAAGGCUGAUGGAAUUUCUCCUUUUAGAUUUCCUACUAAAGGGAUGAACUUCCUUAGCUGGAUAACCAUUUAGAAAGUCGGCUAUCCUCAACAUCCCCAUUGUAUGAAACUGCCCCAUGGAAUUCAUGUUUCUCCUUUAUCAAGGAGGCAGGUGUGCAAACUGCAAACGCCCCGUGGCCUCUGGUUGUUACACCUCUGCUGUCUCACCAGGUGAAGACUCCGUGACAGUGUUACUGAAGACAAAAUAAAAAGAAAAAAAUCAAGGGCCAUUGCUGUAAAGGUGAACACCAGAAUUUGAAGGGUCAAAAAGUCCAUGCCUCCAGAUAUUUUCCCCCACAUCCUGAAUUAAGACCAAAAAUUUCAGGGGCGCCUGGGUGGCGCAGUCGGUUAAGCGUCCGACUUCAGCCAGGUCACGAUCUCGCGGUCCGUGAGUUCGAGACCCGCGUCAGGCUCUGGGCUGAUGGCUCGGAGCCUGGAGCCUGUUUCCGAUUCUGUGUCUCCCUCUCUCUCUGCCCCUCCCCCGUUCAUGCUCUGUCUCUCUCUGUCCCAAAAAUAAAUAAACGUUGAAAAAAAAAAAUUAAAAAAAAAAAAGACCAAAAAUUUCAGUAAUUUAUUUUAAGGUGUUGCUUCAAAAAAAACCCUGUUAAAUUAUAAAUAUUCACUUAAAGCUCCUUGUAAUUGCUUAUAUCACAAUAAUAUUAUAGGAAAUUUCAGAUUGAUAAGAUGUUAUAUAUUUGCUCUCUGGGGACCCAUAAAGUUAAAAAAAAUAAGAAGACUGGAAAAUGAGAAUCUUACAACCUGGGUUCUCCCUGUUCACAUGAGAGAUGUUCAGGUAAUUUGAUGGCACAGGGUAUGUGUAUAAGGUGGAUUAGACAGAGUUGUCAAAUGGCUGGCAAAAGUUUAUAAAGACAAAGUAAACAGGUAAUUUUCAUCAUAUUUGCUUACUUUAUAUUAACAUUUUUAUCUAAAUCCAGGUUUUACCUUUCUAGGAUCCCUUUAGUUAAUCAGAGCUGACUUCACUGACAGCUUGCUCUGGUUAAUUACUGAAGUGUUUUAACUGAAUGCCCCAAGGUAUUGAUGUACUCAACCACCACUGCAAGGCUCAGAACAUGAGAAAUCUUGGAAGAAAGCUGGAGACAGUUUAUCAAUAUCUCAGGUAUUUAGUAUUUAAAAAACUACACAGUCUAUAGAUACAUGGGUAAUGAUACUACAGUGUUUAAAAAGUAUGGUUUAACUGAAGAUUUCUUAAAAAAAAACGAAAAUCAUUCUCCUGCUAAUACUCAGGUCAUGUACUCUGAACAACUAUUAGCAUAUGCCUUUUGUAAGAUAAGCAUAUGCCUUUUAUUGUACUUCAUACAACAAUUCUUAGGAUUUUCAUAUAAUACAUAAUAUUUUAUUUUUAAUAGUUACUGGAACACUUAAUUGGGAAAACAUGUUUUUUCAGAGUAUAUAAGAUACAUCCUUGGUCUGGGCUUCAGGACGUAUCAACUUGUAGUUUCAACCACCUGUGAUCUGUGUGGCUCUGGGAAGAUACCUGGAUCACUCAGAGGUUUUUAUCCCCUAUGUGAGAGAUCAGUUUGCUCCCCUGCUUGUCUGUGCAGGUUCAUCUCUACGUUUGCCAAACCUGCCAUCUGCCAAACUCGAGGCCAGGGUACCCUGGUCCCAUAGCAUGGCUUGCAUUGUCUGAUCUGGAAAUGGUCUCUCUUGCUUUUAGGUCUUUACACCUGCUAAUUAAACCAUAUAAUUUAAUACUUAAAUAUAACAUUUUAAUAAAUAUGAUGUUCUAUAACUCUUUGUAGUUAUAUAUAAUCAUAUAUAAUAUAUUCUAUGUUGACACAUGUAUUAUACAUAAAAUAUAUACAUGCAUGUUGUUAUUAGGGUGUACAUAUAUAUAUCUCCUAAUUCUUUAGAGGGCAUGAAAUGGAAAUCAAUUUACAGUUUAUGCAAGUGCAUUACAGUAUUUUGCAGAUCUUUUAUGUAAUAUUUUGUGGAAGGAUUGGAAUUGACAGCAACCAUAAAGAAAGUAAAUCUCCAUAUAAUAGGUAUUCACAAUAUUUAACUACUGAAUCCAAGAUUUUGAAAAAAAUGCAUUGUCCUUUCUUAACUUGAUUCUUUCUCUACUCACCUUCCACUGCAGAGACAGAGUCUGAAAGGCAAUUAAUUUGCUACUUUUGCAUUUUACAAUAUAAUCUUCAUUGAAUAAAUGAAAAAUGCCACCCAGUUUUAUUUUUUUCAAUUUUUAAUGUUUAUUUUCUUUUUUUAUUUUUAUUUUUUAAGAUGAAAUUUAUUGUCAGAUUUAUUUCUAUACAACACCCAGUGCUCAUCCGAAUAGGUGCCCUCCUCAAUACCCAUCACCCACCCCCCAUCAACCCUCAGUUUAUUCUCAGUUUUUAAGAGUCUCUUAUGGUUUGGCUCCCUCCCUCUCUAACCUUUGUUUUUUCCUUCCCCUCCCCCAUGGUCUUCUGUUAAGUUUCUCAGGAUCCACAUAAGAGUGAAAACAUAUGGUAUCUGUCUUUCUCUGUAUGACUUAUUUCACUUAGCAUAACACUCUCCAGUUCCAUCCACGUUGCUACAAAAGGCCAGAUUUCAUUCUUUCUCAUUGCCACGAAUGCUACCCAGUUUUAAACUGACAGAAGAAGGAUCCAGGAUGUCAUUUUAUUCAGGCAAAGUAAAUGUGCAUUAAUAAUAAUAAUUCUAGGAUUUAUAUUUUAUUUAUCAAUGUAUCAAUAUAUCAGUAUCAUAUUUUUCUAAUUAUGAUAUGAAAAUGUAUUUCAUGAUUUUAUUUAGUUUAUGUUUAGUUUUAUAAAAUAGUUACAAAUAUUUGAAACAAUUGCUGGAAUAGCAAUGAUAGAGAAAUCCAUAGUUGCAUGUUUUAUUUAUCAAUAUAUUUAAAAUAGAUACAGUGUUUUAACAUCUCUAUAUUUGCACUGAACAAAAAUUAAAUUAUACUGAAACGAGGUCAUUAUCACUAUUUAUACUGAAUAAUGUAAAUAUAUACUUUCAUCUAACAUCCUAGUCCAUGCCGAUAUGUCAGCAUUGUAGGGCAAGCCAGCAGGCUUUGAGGAAGUGUGCCAUUUUCUUUUUUAUUUAAGUGUCUACAAGACAUAGAUUAAUGUGUGCUUCAAUUAAAAGGCUUAUUUGAUCAUUGUCUGUAUUUCAGUUCCAUGCUUAACUUAAAUUCACAUGUCACGAAAAUCACGUAACGAAGGACAUAUGGAGUGUGCUAUGCUUCCUUCCUUCAAAAAUUUUUCAUACAUUCCCUUAACUGUUCUGUCUAUGACUGUUUUUUCUUUUUCUAAGAGUCUACAUUUAUUGCAUUCUUCCUAAACUUUCAUGUAUAUGGAUGUAUUACAUGUGGGUUUAAAAAAACAAAUUUCUCCGUGGAACUCCAUACUUAUGAGAGCAUUUCUGGGUUAUACAUUAUGACAGUUUCACACAGAUCUCUGUCUUCCUUCUUUCUUCCAUUCUAUGCUUGUCUCCCUAUAUGUCCUUACUAAUGAAAAUGCCUCUUUCUUCUUUUAGGCAGCUAUACUUUUUCCUUGCCCUUGAUUUAUCACAACUACCUGCUCAAAAACCUUCCCCAGACUCUAUUCAUCUCUUCAUUUGGAUCUUACUAUGCACCUGAAAAAAUGUGACACACACAAUGUGAAGAAAGCCUUUAAAACUUGGGAAGCUAAAAUCUGAUUUUAAUACUCAUGAUCUCUUUGAACCUUAAACUGUUACCUUUAGUGUGUAAACACAUUUUUCCUUAUCUAUAGAACGGAUUUAGAACUCAUGAGAAUUAAAUUAAUGAAUGUAUUUAAAACAUCUGCCAUAGUAUUGGUACAUUUAUUUAGUAAGUGAUGGUUUUCUCUAAAAUUAAAAAAAAAUCUAUUCUAUUUUCUCCACUUAUCAUCAUGAUCUACAAUUAUUCAUUCAUUAACCUCCAUAACUUCCAGACAUCAAAGUGGAUACUACAGUUAGAAUGCAAAGCAUAUUCUAACAUCCUUGACCUUGAGGACUUGUAUUUUACUACAUAAUCUUGUCUAAAACCUGAAAUUGGAUUUCUGUCUGUCCUCCUUCAUUGCAGCUAUUCUUAAAAGUCAUCAAGAUAUCUCAUUUAUUCAACAUAUUUAGUAAUAUCUGUUGAACAUAGGCAUGGUGAGUGCCCUCACCAUUUUCCUUGACUUUGCAGCAUUUUACGUUGAUCUGUAUUUCCCCAUUUUGAAACUGUGUUCUUGGGAGCUUAUGGUAUUUUAUGCCAAAAUUCUCUUCUUCAUGCUUCUCUGACAGGUUUUUAUGCUUUGCCUUGUUGUACUUUAUUCCUUGUAUCAUCUGCAUUUCUAUUUCUGUGCCCUGAAUUCAGUUCAUACAUGUAACCCUUUUGUUAAUUGCUUAAGUCGCCUCUAAUUUCUCACUGAGCUUCAGUCCUGCAUUUCUAGCUGCCUGCUGGAUAUUUCUUUUUUUUUUUUUAAGUUUGUUUAUUUAUUUUGAGAGAGAGAGAGAGUGAGAGAGAGAGCACGAGUUGGGGAGAGGCAGAAGGAGAAAGAGAUAGAGAUAGAGAUAGAGAUAGAGAUAGAGAUAGAGAUAGAGAUAGAUAGAGAGAGAGAGAGAGAGAGAGAGAGAGAGAGAGAGAGAAAAUCUUAAGCAGUUUCCAAGUUCAGCACAGAGCCCUGUGUGGGGCUCGAUCUCAGGAACCAUGAGAUCAUGACCUGAGCUGAAACCAAGAGUUGAAUGCUUAACAGACUGAGUCACUCCUGGAUAUUUCUAUAUCUCAUUAUAUCAAAAUUUGCAUAUCUUUAAGACAGUUCCACAUUUCCCUUGAUAUAAAGUCCUUGCUAUUAUGAUUGUCCUAUUAUUAUUAGCACUAAUCUCAGAUAUUCAGCCUCAGUCCCUGUCUGUGAUGCUCCAGAAUUUAUGUAUAUGAGGGCAUUACAGGGAGUGGCUUGAUGACAUCAGAGGAAAAAGGAGCAUAGGUAGAUUUUUUCUUAGCUUUCCAAAGCAACUAUUUUAUAUGUUAUUAUUAAAAAUAUGAAAGUUAUGGAGUGACUGAGUGACUCAGUCAUUUGAACAUCCGACUUCAGCUCAGGUCAUGAUCUCACGGUUUGUGAGUUUGAGUCCCACAUCGGGCUCACUGCUGUCAGCUGGGAGCCUUCUUUGGAUCCUCUGUCUCCCUCUCUCUCUGUGCUUCCCCCACUCACACUUUCUCUUUCAAAAAUAAAUAAACAUUAAAAAUAAAAUAAAAGUUAAUACAAAUUUAACCAGCUUUUUUCUUUCAUAUUUUAUAUAAAACUGAAAAUAUCAAUUAAUGUUAUAUUAUUAUUAGGAGUAUUAUUAACAUUAGUACUUCAGAUGACUUGGGAAAGUUGAUGGAUAUUAUAAGGAGCUGAAGCCUCCUGCUGUCCCUCAUCUUAACACACCCCAGAGCACCAUCAUGGAGACGUGACUUUUCUUUAUACUUCUGUUUUCAAUUGUUCACAAAGCUCACUCAAUUUAUUUUACACAAUGCUUCAGAUCUGUCCCUUCCUUUCUAUUACCAUUGCCACAAACCUGCCGCAAGGGUCCCAUGACCUUUCAUCCAGAGAAUUACAGUAAACUUUUAUCUGAUUUAUUUGCCUUCAAACUUUUCUCCAUGUAUCCAAUAUAUUACUUUCAGGUGAAUUGUCUCAAAGCAGGAUUUUGAUCAUGUGACUUUUGCGAUCAAACACCCACCUAUAUCUAGUAAGACCAAUGGAUAAAUUCCAAGUAUUUUUGAAAUUGGGAUCCCUAUAUCAUCUGGCACUAAUAUCUGUAAUUACUUUCAACUACUCAUGUAUAUGAACCCAUCAAACUAGUGUAUGGAACACUGUAAAUGCAUUUUUCACCUUCCUGCUUUCUUACUUCUGCCCAUAAAUAUUUGUCCCUCUUUGUCUCCUAUCUAACUUCAUUCACCCUUAAAACUCAGAGAAAAUUUUUUUUUUUCCUGACCAGUCUAGUUGCAGCUUUGAGGUCUCAUAGGAUAGCAACAGGACAUCCUAUGCCCUUCAGGAUUUUCAUACAUUUGACAUAAUUUUUUUAAAUAUUGUAGUACAUAAACAUUAAAUUUAGAAAUGUGGAAGUUCCCUAAUUUCUCAUUUAGACACAAAGUGAAGAACCAUGUACUUCUUCAAAGUAGACAUGUAUGGGGCAACUGGGUGGCUCAGUUGGUCAGGUGUCUGAUUUUGGCUCAGGUCAUGAUCUCACGGUUCCUGAGUUCAAGCCCUGCAUCAGGCUCCAUGCUGGCAGCUUGGAGCCUGGAGCCUGCUUUGGAUUCUGUGUCUCUCUCUCUCUGUUCCUCCCUCAUUUGCACUCUGUCUCUCUCUCUCAAAAAUAAAUAAAAAAGAUUUUAAAAAAAAAGUUUAAAAAUGGACAUAUAUGUACAUACAUAUAGAUCACUUAUAUAAAUUACAUACAUACAUAUUGGAGUAUAUUUUAAAAAUUACCACAUGAUCAGUCAUCCAAUUAGUGUUAUAGAGAUUUAAGACAGUUGAUAUUAUCUCUGGAGGCUACAAUUCAUAUAUUGCUUUUAUCACAGACACUAAUCUUCACAGUAUUUUUAAAUAGUAAUCUCUCCUUUGCCUCUUCUUCUUAAUCUUCACAAAGAAGAAUUUAGAUUUGAAAAGAGAACUAAGGUAGAAUAAAAUUAAGUUAAUCAUUACCUUGGUAACAAUUGUGUAAAAUUAAGUAUACGGGAAAGCAUUACUAAUAGCCUUCUCAAAUAUGAAAAACUGAUGUGCUGUAUAUGCUGGUUCUAAUUGAGAUUAAACAUUGAAUAAGUAUUUUAAAAAGACUCUUUGAUGACAUUUAAAAAUAUUUAAAUUAGGCAAGGGUAUAUAUUCACAGGAAACCUAUUUUAAUUAGUUCUACUUAAUUAAUACUAUGUUAAUAGAUUUUAGUUCUUUUUGUGUAUCAUUUUACAUAUACUUCUAUUCAGAGUUAUUCACAUUACCUAAUAUUGAAUAUAUUAUAUAAAAUAAUGUUAUUACUUUAUUAAUUUAUAAAUUUUAAUAUAUACAAGAAAUUUAACAUAUACAAGAAAUAUAUACAGAAAUUUAAUUUCUGAAACGUUUGUCAGUCUUAAUUUGUUAGCUUCAAUAAUGUUCCUAAAAUUGACAUUAUAUCAUUUUCCUAUCUUUCCUAAAUUUGUACAACUAAAUUUAUUGUUUAUUAUGCUAAGCUUAUGUUUAAUCCAAUUAAAGUUUGCUAAAUAUAUGAAAAACUUUAAAGUUCACUGGGUUAGUUGUCAAUUAUUUUAAUUUUUGUGAUAAUGAUCAAAGCAGAUAAAUUAUUUUUACUUUUCAUGACCAAAUAACUAUUUAUCAUGUAAAAAUUAUUUAUUAUUAUUACUAUUACUUAUUUUUAAAAUUAUUUAUUACUUUUUUAUCAUGUAAAAAUUAACAUAAUGAAAUACCUGGAUAAAGUAUUAUUUUAUUAAAGAACAGAAGGAAGAUAGGCAGGAAGAAGCAAAGAAAGAAACCAUGAAAAUAAAAAAACAAGCAACCAUAACAAACCAAAGCAAGAAAUCAUGGCCUCUUUUCAGAUCUAUGUCAAUAAAAAGCAAGUAGGCAAUUUAAAUGUUUAUUUUACAAUUGAGAUAACAUUUUUUUUCUUCUAAUUCUUCAAAAUAAGUGAAACCAGUUAGGUUUUUCUUAAAUUAAUAAAAUGCUCAGUUUAUUUUUAAGGACUCGAUGCCUUUACUGGCUGAUUUUCAUACCUAUUAUGUUUCUAUUAUUUUCUGAGUUUUUGUAAGCAGAGCUCUCUUCCCCAACUUAUUUUGAUAAUGAUGAUUUUCAUAAUAAUGUUAAUAAAUAUUAUUACUGAUUUUUAACAUUGAAGCAAUAGUAAGGUUUUCACCUUGGGGGUAACUUUAGCAUCUGAUAUGCUCUCAGUGAGUUUGCAGAUAUAUUUAGUUAAGAAAAUCAAUCCUUACACAUUAAAGAUAAUCAUUUCAAAUUCAUAUGAAUCUUUCAUUUUAUUUAUUUAUUUAAAAAAUUUUUAAUGUUUAUUUUUGAGAGAAAGGGAGACAGAGCGCGAAUGAGGGAGGGGCAGAUACAGAGGGAGACACACAAUCCAAAGCCAACUCCAAGCUCCAAGCUGUCAGCACAGAGCCCCACACAGGGCUGGAACCCGUGAACCGCGAGAUCAUGACCUGAGCCGAAGUCGUUCGCUCAACCAAGGGAGCCACCCAGGCACCCCAUAUGAGUCUUUCGUUUUUGUUUUUUUUUUAAUUUUUUUUUUCAACGUUUAUUUAUUUUUGGGACAGAGAGAGACAGAGCAUGAACGGGGGAGGGGCAGAGAGAGAGGGAGACACAGAAUCGGAAACAGGCUCCAGGCUCUGAGCCAUCAGCCCAGAGCCCGACGCGGGGCUCGAACUCACAGACCGCGAGAUCGUGACCUGGCUGAAGUCGGACGCUUAACCGACUGCGCCACCCAGGCGCCCGGAGUCUUUCGUUUUAAGUGUUAUUUUACUUGAUAUCACCAAAAAAUAAUUAAAAUAGAGGGAAAGUAUAAGCCAGAUUCCUGCUUUCAAAUUCUACAGUAUUUACAAAAAACAAGUUAUAGUCAUUAACCUCUUCAUUUAAAAUAUAGUUUUAAUAAACAUUAAAAAAAUAUUUUGUUAGUAUCAGACAGUGGGCCAGGAGAUUGAAGAUCUAGUUUGCCUUCAAAGAGUUAACAUUCUGGUAAAGAGACAAAGUGAGUAAAAAUGAAUUACCAAUUUCAUGCAUUGUAGAGAAUCCUUGAAACAUUUUAUUUAGCUCUGUUGGCAUGAUCAGAUUUGAUUAUUAGGUAUAUUGCAGUUGUAGCAUUGUCUGAAAUAAAUCAAAACACCAGGGAAAUAAAGGAAACUAGUUCAGAGUAUGUUACAAUAAUUUCUACAAAUAAGAACAUGUACUUGAAAAUAAGAUAGAUCUGGGAAUGCUUUGGAGUGAAUUGAUUAGGGAGCUAUUAAGAAGAUAAAAUCAAUAGAAUUUGGUAGAAGAUUCGAAUAUGAGUGUCAGAAGAGAAGAACGUCCAGAUUUCUAGCAAUGGCAAUGGGUAUUCACCUCAUGUGAAAUAUAAGAAAGGGACAGAUUUUUUUCAUUUUGAGGGAUAGACCAUGAAGUCAAGUUUGUACAUUAGUUUUUCUUUUUUGGCUGUAGGGCAUGCAGGUGGAGAUAUCCUGAAGAAAAUUAAGUGGAACAAUGUCAGAUUAAUAAAUAAUUUAGAUCUAUAAAAUUAAAUUUAGAAAUUCCAAUUCAGUCACAUUUAAAUUUGUGUUUUGUCUGAGAUCCAGUACUUAGCCUCACCAUGCUUCAGUUUGUUCAUUUAUAUUCUAGCAUCUCAUGGAGAAAUAAUAUUAAUUUUAUUAAUACAGUUAAGGUGUUUCAAAACACCUUGCAUAGUUCUUGCAGUGUAUGUGCUCAAUCAAUUUGAGCUAAAACAGCAGCAAAAAGUGACAUCUCUAUUUACAUAUGGUCUGGGGUGAAAUUUUGUUCUAAUUAAGUUGUUCUGGAACCAGAUGGUCUUAAAAGAAUGUGAAGCAGCUUGUAAGAAGGAAAUAGAAACAUUAUCAUGAGUUUAGGUGUCUUGCAAGAAGGCCAAGUCCUGGACUCAACUGAUGGGAGAGAAUAAUGCAGUAAUGGGGGAUGAAUAUCUACAAUUUGUUCAGAAUCAUUUGGCAAAUAAAAGAUAAUGCCUAAUAUAUUCCAUUUGAUUCAAAUCUAUAUUUAUAAUUUUUUUAUUAAUCCAAUUAUCUAAAAUUCAUAAAUGGACAAGCUUAUGAAACCUAAAUAUUUUUGGUCUCUAUUUUGUUCCAUUGACCUCUAUCUUGUGCCUAUCCCAGUGUCCUGGUUAUUGUACGUUUAGAGGUACCUAGUUUUAAUUUUCUUAAAAGUGCAGAAAAAAAUCAAAGAAAUUAUUUUAUAUGUACUCUACCCAAUUUAAGUUAUAUCUAAAUAUUAUAUACAUGGUAGAACCCAACUCAUUGUUCCCUUAAUUAAUACAGUUUUGGGGCCUUAGUAAAUGUAUGGAACCAUGAAGUCACAAUGGAAAAUUCUAGAAUAUUCUUAUUUUACUGUUAAUCUGAGUAAGUUAUUAAUGUCAUCAGGUGACCGGGAAAGGUGACAAGUAAGUGAGAAAAAAUAUAUAUUUUGUUUUCCAUUCAAUCAGUGUCCAUUUCACAUAUAUUUUUAAUACUUAAGAUGCGUCACCUAUAACUUUGGAGUAUCUGCAAAGAACAAGAAUACAAUGUCUCUAGCUCCUGGAGGUUAAAAUCUAGUAGCAGAGACAGAUAAUAAGCACAUAAACUAAUGUAGUUUAGUUCAAUAGUAAUAAGUGCUAUAAAGGAAUAAAAUUGGGCACUGUAGGAGGAAGGAAUGACAAGAGGAACAAUUUUGACUAGAAUGAUUGGGUAAGUCUUUUCUGAGGAGGUGGCAUUCAAGCUAAAAGGUGAGAAGGAUCCACAUAAAUCAGGGAAAGUAUAUCCAAUAAAACAAAACAAAACAAACAAAAACAAAAACACAAGAACAAAGGCCUUCAGUUGAAAGGGUAUUGGACUGAUGGAAGACCACAGAGGAAUCUCUUGGACCUGCAAAGUAGUGAGAGAUGGUAAAUGUGGAAAUAAAUGAGGUUGGCCAUGUGACCAGAGUUCCAGUCAAGAAGGGCUUACUAGGCUCUGGCGAGUAAUCUGAGGUUGUGGCUUGUUUUCCCAAUUCAUCUGGAGAUUUUUGGAGGGUUGUAAGCAAGGGUAUGUAAUUAGUUGUCUUCUAACAUACCACCUCAGGCUUAUUGGCAUAAAACAACAGUGUUGGUGCUGGUGACAGGAGAGCUGGUCUUUGCUCUAUAUGACAUCAUUGGGGCAGCUCGAAUGGAAGCUGGAGGAGCCACUGUAAAAAUUAUCUCUUCUAUGGCUCCACGUUAAUAGUGACAGUUGGCUGGAAACUUAGCUAGAGAUGACAGCAAGGGGCUUCUGACCCUCUCCAUGUGAAUUUCUCCAGACCGGCCUCCCAGCUGGGCUGCUUGGACUUCUUUACAGCAUAGUAGCAGAAGAACCAGGAGACAGUUCUGGAAACUGGCAUAUUAUUUCCACCACAUACUAUUGGUUAUUGUGUAUAGAACCUAGAUUUGAGGGAGACGCAUAGACUAUUUCUCAAUGACAGGAAUUUGGGGGCCACAUUUUCCGUUAGCCACUGCUUGUUUAUAUUCCUCCCACAUGCAAUAUAUAUUCAUCCUGUCCAAAAAGUCCCAGAGAUUUCAUCUCAUUAUAGCAUCAGGAACAAGAUCAAGGAAGAUCUCUCCAUCUAAAUCAUGUAUAGCUGUGGAUGAGGUUCAUUAGCGUUGUUCCUUGGUUACUUCUCGAAUACAGCAAUCCUUGACAUGAAACUGUAGAAGAUAAAGGGGCACAUUAUUCGCCUCCCACAUGCCCAGCAUUCAGUGUUUGGACAGGAUGGGAUAACAGCAAUAGUAAUUAAAGGGGAUGAGGUGGAUAGGGAACACAGAGCAUUCUUUUGUCCAUAAUAGGCUUUAGAUCUAGUUGGCAAAAUGUUGCUACUUUACUGAUUGAGUCACAUUGCUGCUUCCUGGGAAUGAUUCCUUAGGGCUUAUGGCUUUUUUUUUGGGGGGGGGAUGUUGGUUCCGCCUUCUGAAAUGUCCUUCUCUUCCCAUAAAAUGUAGUUGAUAUUUGCAGCUGAGUAGCCUGCUUUCUCCCCAUAAAAGUUCAGGAGUUCAAACACCUGUUUUUAUUUUGUACUGUCUCUGUUCCUUCAGUCCAACCUGGUGCUUCUACCAGAACAAUUCUGUGGGCUUUCUGUACAUUUUAUUGAUAUUUACUCCAUUAAGUAGAAACCACAACCACAAAUCUUGCUGAGAUAAGCUUUAUUCUAACUUGAGAUCCUUGUGAGGCUCUAUGGGGGUAAUAAUAGCUGCUUGAACUUGGCAUUUCUCAUACACUUGCAGUCAGAGGUGAGGAGCUGGACAGCAUGUGGACUAUUGAGGACUGGCUGUCUCUGUCUUCUUUUAGUGUCAGUGCCUCCUCGAUCUUAUUUCUCCCUGAGGACUGAUUUCGGUUUUGUCACAGCACGUUUGCUGGUUUACAAAAUGUGGAAUUUUAUGACCUAGCCUUGGAAGUUACAUAUCAUUGUUUCUGUCAUAGACAUAAAACCUCCAGGAUUCAAGAGAACGGAGCAUAGAUCCCACCUCUUCACAGGAAGGUGGGCAAAGUCACAUUGUAAGAAGAGUAUGCAGAAUAAGACACUGUACUACAGUCAUGUUGGAAAACUACAACCUGCCACAGUUAGAAUUCAGACUAAACUACUCUAACAAAGAGAUCAAACCGCUAACAGUUUUAAAAAGUUGCAAGGUUUUUGUUGUUGCUGUUGUUGUUGUUAAAUGCCUAUCCUGCCUAUAAUGUAACUUCUGUGCUUUGUACAAAAUUGGAACUCUUCUAAAGAUCAUUAGGUGUGUUUCUUGGAGUUUUUCUCUGUGAACUUCUCUUUUAGAACACACUUCUGGCUGUAUAAUACCACAGGGAAGGGGCCUGUCUAAGAAGAUUGAAAACAUGUGACUCAGUUUGAAGCUCUUGGCCUUAUACAUGCAUUGUUUUUUCCCUAUUGUCUUUGGUGAAUUUUUCUUAGGAAGAGCUCUUUGCUGUCUUCACCAUUAGAGUCAUGGUAUUCAAAGAACCGUGAGUAGAGCAGAGGACUGUGGGAAAGGGGCCAAGAAACACACUAGUACUGCUUUAGUGUUGCCCUUAAGCUUGCCAGUGGCUUAGGUAAAGGUAGUUCUGAAAGCUGUAUACUGACUAACCCAACUCAUGAAGCCACUGAGCUUUGGACCAAAGCCAUAGUCAGUAAUAUAACCUGGACAUUAUCUGUCUAUAUAUAGUGGUGAUCUCCUUUUUUUGUUUGUUUAUUUAUUCUAUGGUUUUAGAAAACAGAUGGUUGAGGAUUCAUAAAUUUUAUGUAGAAGCCAAAUACAGUUUCAGUGUUGAAAUAACAUGCAGAUGUUAAAUGUUUCAGCAAACCUAAAGAAUAAGGAUGGCAAUUCACAAAAUCAAGAUAUCUAAGAGUCUAAUAUAAAUUUAGUGACAAGUGUAAGUAUGACAUAUGUAAGUAAGUAGAAGAACGGGACUUAAUCUGUUGGGGUAUAAAAAUAUGUGGUUUCCAUAUUAUAUGAAGUUGCUUAUGUGGCAGCAAAUGAGAGCAUCCAUAAAAGAGAGCCCUCUUUUCACUCCAAAUUUGUCAUAGUUUCACUGGAUCUGAGAAAAAGACGCAUGUCAUGAAGAAUUGGAGCUGGGGGAGAUACAGAUUUGCAGAAGGUGGGAUUUAGGUAUGAAUAGGAGAUGAAAAGGCAUCUUUUCAAGGUGCUGGAGGUGUAACAGGCAAAUAAAGUCUUUUAGAACCAAGUAACUUGUUCCCCACCUGCCACUUCAGCUGAGUAAUAGGUUAGGUUGAGGCUCUGUCAUAAGUAUAACAACCACAUACCCUGAUUUCCUCUAAGUGCCAUUCCUCUUUCUUUCAUGGUUUACUAAUGUUGUUGCAAAAAGUAUGAGUUUUAAUAAUUAAUAAACAACAUGAACUCGAAUUGUUUCAUUGACUGACUUGACAUAAGACUGGCAGGAUUGUUGUAGCCUGUUUUUUUUCACUCUGAGGACAUAAUUAUUUAUAGCAAAGGUUGUUGAAAAAUUUUAUUUUAAGAUACUCCCAAAUACAUUUCUCAUAGAUUAAAAAAGAUACACAUUCAGCCUAUAAUAAAAUAAGGCUGGAUUGUGGUAAACCUAUUUUUUUAGCUAUUUCUUUCAGUUUCAGACUUCAUCAAGAUUUAUGUGCUUUUCUCUCCUGAAGUGAACUCCAUAUCUCUUCUCAAAUCAAGGGUGUGAAGCAUGGGAUUCAAUGCAACUUGCCUAAAGUGUAACAAAAUUGACCAAAAGAAAGCCAAAAUUCACUUUUGCAAAAUAUGAAUAAUGUUACAGAAGAGAAUAACACUCAUCCUGGCUUUUUUUCUUAUGAAUGUCCCUUAAAGAAUUUAUUACUCAAGUGAAUGACUGGUCUAGUGGGAUGCAGUUUUCUAGGCUAGGGUAUGAAAUAUCCUAAGAACAUUUAUAACUGCUUGACUGCACCUGAACCUUUUUCAAAGGACAGGUCUGCAAAUCAGAGGUAUCAUGUUGGAAAAAAAAUAGUUUCUAUGAAAUUUGGAGGAUAAUAUAAAAUAAAAUUAACCUCUUUGAAUUAUCAUUUAUAUUUCAUUUUAUCUACUUCAUAUCCUCUGAGAAUUUAUGAGUAGUCUAGCUAAAUAUAUAACAACAGUAGUAUUAAACUGAGAAUGAUAUUCAUUUGGUUAUGCCGUUGUAGUUCUUUCUUAGAAAUGUUAUUUAAUGACUACUAUUUCCAGAAAGCUCUUUGACAAUACUACAAAUCUUUUCAGAUAGGGUUCCAUAAUAAAUAUGGCCUAGAUGACUAUUUAUUCACUGCUGAUACCUCUCAAAGAAAAGAGCAAAUCUGCAUGAUUCAAACCUUUAAAAUAUUUACCCUAAUAGUAGCAGCAGUUCCCAACUUAGCUCAAUCAUUACUUCCACUUUUCAUUUUGUCUCUAUAUUUAUAGACUUUGUAUGGCAUAUGUGAAAAUACAGGUAUAAAGUUAGCAUUUGAUAUAUUAUGAAAGCUAGUAAAGGGGCAUUUAUCAAAAUACAGAUGUGUUUAAAUAAGUUACAUAGAGAUUUCGUGUUGCACCCUAUGCAGCUAACUUUUUUUGCUUAAUUUUUAAAGUUUACUCAUUUAUGAGAGAAAGAGAGAGAGAGAACAGGGAAGGGGCAGAGAGAGAGGGAGACACAGAAUGUGCAGCAGGCUCCAGGCUCCUAGCUGUCAGCACAGAGCCCUUUGUGGGGCUCAAACACACCAACCACGAGAUCAUGACCUGAGCCAAAGUCAGAAGCUCACUGACUGAGCCACCCAGGUGCCCCUACAACUAAUUUUUUAAAAUUAUAGUUGCACUUAAUUACAUGUGGUUGAAAUGUUUAAAAAGAUGUAUCCAUUUUGUACAUUACAAUUUAUUGGUUGGUUGAGUGCACUUUCAUUUAAAAAAAGACACAUUUAUAAUACUUAAAAGGCAAAAGAUUAGAUAGUAAACUAAAUUCAUUCCCUUAAUUAAAAUAUGCCAAAAUGGAUGCCAAGUUUGACCUGCACACCAGUAAUAGCCAACUGCGUUUUAGAAACUCAGUUAAAGAAAAAUAGGCUGUAAGGUAAACAAGUUUUUCAGAAUAGUUGCAUUGUCCGAAUACAUUAGCAACUUGUUCAUCUGUACCUUUCCAUCUUUGCUAUAAGGAAAUAAAACCAUGAAACAGAUACAAAAUGAUUAGGAGAUUAAAGCAGUUUGAACAUAUUUUGGGAAGUUGCUUUAAAAUAAAUAUUAAAGAUUAGAAAAAUCUAUGCAAUGGACAGCUAUAAAAUCAUUAUUUGGACUGCAACCCUAGUAGUUUAAUUAGAAUAUUAUUUUUAUCAGUAAGUGAGUCUCUUUCUACAUUUUUUUUCUCAUGAGUUAUGCUGAGUUAAGUUUUUUCUAUUUAAAUUUAGAUUUAGGUGAAUAGAUCUGUUUCUUUAGAAGAUAUGAUUUCUUUUCAAUUCACAGUAGGGACAAGUGUUUUUAACCAUAAACCAAAUAGAGGUUAAUAUAUCUACAUACAAGAUUAUAAAUUAUAAGAACUUGGUGGAUGUCCAAAUAUAAAAUGUAUUUAAGAAGGGAAAAGACAAUUAUGAAAGAAGAAAUGUAAAUGAGCAAUAAAAUGGUCAACCUUUUAAACAAUGAGAUGUUGUUUUUACCUAUUCUCUGAGACUUUAAAAAAUAAUAGAUCCAUUGAUGGAAAGGUUCGUAUGAACGUUGUAAAAAAUGUUGGUAGGUAUCUACAUGUUUUGGUGGAAAGAAUUAACACAAAUGAAUUUGUAUAAUUUCCUUUCUCUAUACACCUGUAAAUAACCUGAACCAUUUAGGCAUCACCUUUUCAGUCUGUUAAAUUGGGGUAAUAAUAUUUACCUAAUGGAACAAUUGCAUAGAGUGAGAAAAUCAAGCACAAAAUAUUCAUGUAGGAAAUUAUAUUAGUGGUAACCAUGAUAAUGAUGAUAGUUUAUGAUCAUGUCUAUAUUUUCUAGAAAGGACUUUGGUAAUCUUUUUUUUUUAAAUUUUUUUUUUUUUCAACAUUUAUUUAUUUUUGGGACAGAGAGAGAGAGACAGAGCAUGAACGGGGGAGGGGCAGAGAGAGGGAGACACAGAAUCGGAAACAGGCUCCAGGCUCCGAGCCAUCAGCCCAGAGCCCGACGCGGGGCUCGAACUCACGGACCGCGAGAUCGUGACCUGGCUGAAGUCGGACGCUUAACCGACUGCGCCACCCAGGCGCCCCAGGACUUUGGUAAUCUUAAUUCAGAACCCUCAAAAUGUUGAGAUCUUUGGCCCAGUAAUUCUAUUAGUAGGACUUUAACCUAAGGAAAUAACUGUGAAGUUUCUCCCUUUCACACAAAUACCUAUAUGAUCAAAUUUUAUGGUAAAGAUAUAUUGAGUUUAUAAAAAUAUCUAUCAAUAUGAGAACAGUAAAUAUCUCUUUUUUUUUUAUUGAAAGUAACUUUUGUAUAUUGUUAAGGGCCUAAACUAAUUUGGUAUAAAUUUGGGGGAAAAGUGGAUGCUAACCCAUGGGAACAUGCUGACCUUGGUCCUUGGCUUGCACCACCCACUGUCCCUUUGGUUGAGCACAUAUCUCUGGAGCUCUCUUUCUCACACUUUACCCUAGAGAUGGUAUUUCUUUCUCCCUUACUUUCAGAAGCUUCUCAUUUAUUAAGAAAACUUUUUUUUCUUUCCGAAAUGGCUUGAGGUAUGUGUGUAACUACAUUAUUUUUCUCCCCUUUAUCUAAAUAUUUUCUUUUCCAUCAAUUCUUCACAUUUAAUAUAAGUAUGAAUAUUUUUACAUGUUUAGAAAAGUAUAAAACGUAAUGGAAUGAGCAAAUAUCCAAAAUCUGAUUUCAAAAAGUGUUGCUAUUUCCUACGGUUGCUUCACUAGCCAGGCAUAUAUUUACAAUGUAUAUUUACUUUGUAUUAUUGUAUUAUGUAUAUAUUUACACUGUAAAAUGAAUUACAAAUAUCUUGACAUUUCAUUCCCAAAUGCCUCAAGUAUGCAUCUCUCCUGCAAAAAAUUCUCCUAUUUUACCAUAAUACCAUAUCACAGCUAACAAAAUUGAGACAGAUUACCUGAUAUUAUUUAAUGCCAAUUCUACUAUUUAAUGCCAAUUUGAGAAUAUUUAGAUAUUCCAAGUGUCUUUUGUAGCUGAUAUGUUAACACCUGGAGUCAAUCAAAGACCAUACAUUAUUGUAUUAGGAUGUUUAACUUUAAUUUUUUUAAUUUUUAUUUUUUAAAUAUUUAUUUAUUUUGAGAGAGAGAAGGAGAGCAUGAGCUGAGGAGGGGCAGAGAGAGAGGGAGAGAGAGAAUCCCAAGCAGGCUUGGCACUGACAGCAGAGGGCUUGAUCCCACCAAGUGUGACAUCAUGGUCUGAGCCAAAAUCAAGAGUUGGAUGCUCAACUGACUGAGCUGCCCAGGUGCCCAUUUUAGUUUUUAAAUCUCUUUUAAUCUAAAGCAAACACAGCUUCUCUCUCCCUCCCUUUUUCUCUCUCUUUCCCUUUAUGAAAUAGAGUGGUACAUGUUCAGAUUUUUAACUUAGAAUUGAUGUCCUUUUUUGAAGCAUAUUACAUUAUUGUUUUAUAUACCAGCUUCCUUAUUUUAUUCAAUAAAUACAUAUUGAAUGCUGAAUAUAUCUCAGCCUUUGGACACAUUGUAGCUAUGGUUGUGAAAAAGAGAGAAAAAUCCUUUAUUCCAUUUCGUUUAAAUAUGUUUAUUCUUUUUAGAAUGCCACUUACUCACUUAAAAUAGCUGUUUGGAUAUAAAACUUUCAAGGAUUAUAAUUUAUUGAAUUAUAUUGGUGCCCCCCAUCUUAAGUAAAGUACAUCAGUAAAUGCUGAAAAAAAACAUACUAGAUACAUUUUUUAAAAGUUGAAUUGCAUUCCAAACUCUUCCCCCUCUAUUUACAAAAAAAUAGUUUUUGAGUAAGGUUAUGACAUCGGAGUCUAAGGCCAUCAACCAAGGAUGGGUCUGCUGCCCAGGUAAUUAUUUAUGGGGCAAAGAAUAAGAAUUCUGAAGAUCUGUGUCUGGCCUACUCAUAGGUGAAUGGGGGUGGGGAAGGGAACAUCUGUGAAUCUUCUCUAAGUCACAUGAGGAAGACUGGUUAUUCCAGCGAGCCAUUUCCUGAAACACAAAACUUGAGGAGAUUUUUAAACCUUCACUGUUUUCUAGGGGUACAGGAUUCAGGUAAAGUUCAACAUUGUCAUGGUAAUAAGAAUAACUCAUAUAUAUGACUACACUUAAUGCAAGUGGUGGCUGUGUCUGGAAGAAGCAAUGACUUCUCCCUAAAAUUAUAAUUUUACCUUAACAGUAUGGUACAUGCCAGGAAAGCAAUAACAGAGUCCAGCAGAUGUAGUCCUGCUCGGAAGCUGCUGUGUAGACAAGUACAUAAGAUUUUGAAUGGAAGCUUCUUGAACAUACCAAAAAUGAGAACCCAAAAAUGUCUCCUGAGUUAAAACAAAACAAAACAAAACAGAUCUGCAAAGGUGUAGACUUCCUAGGGUUCCUUGGAGAAAAAUCCAGUGAAAAAAUGGAUUAUUACUACAAAAGUGACUUUAUGUUUACAAAGUUUAAAAAAUAGGGGCACCUGGGUGGCUCAGUCAGUUGAGUCCGACUUUGGCUCAGGUCAUGAUCUCAGGGUUCAUGAGUUUCAGCCCCACGUUGGACUCUGUGCUGACAGCUCAGAGCCUAGAGCCUGCUUCAGAUUCUAUGUCUCCCCUCUCUCUCCUCUUCUCCACUUGCACUCUGCUCUCUCUCUGUCUCUUGAAAAUGAAUUAAUGUUAAAAAAAUUUUUUUAAUGACCUAUGGAUUUCCAUAACCUGUGGAAGUAUAGGCUACAGUCAUGUAGAAAAAAUUUACCCUUUACAUGAAACACAUUGACGUUUUGAUCAAGAAAAGAAAAAAAAACCAGAAUAGUUAUUUCAUUUUGGAAUGACUUGAGGUAAAAUGGUACGAUUGAGAUAAUUCAAUUCAUAAAUGGUAAAAUUCCAUUAAACUAUAUUAUCUGUAAUUUUUACAGUAAACAUGUUUUGCUUUUGAUAUUAGGGGGGAAAUACCCAUUAUGUAAACAGAAAUAUUCGAGAUGCCCAAAAAAGUAAAUUUCCUUAGUGAUUUGAGAAAACGACAAAGUGAAAAAUGGCGCACACUAUUUCUCUUCUUUGGUUAAAAUAGGAACUCCAGUAAAAGAUAAUAAGCUUCAGGCUAGUGCUAAGGAGAUAUUACCAUUAAGGAAAAAUGAGUUUCUAAGUAAAUGGGACUAAUCAAGAGCUAGUAAGGUGAGUAUUUUAAGGUCCCAACUGAAAGCAGUCCCUUUUCACAUUUCCACAAAGUUCUGAACCUCCUACUUCAAUAAUUAAAUCUACUUUUCCUCCAGCACCUGCAUUCAACAUUAAUUUAAAAAAUACCCAAUCAAAUGUUACUCUUGAGGUUUUGUUUAAUUAUUAUUAUUGCAAUACUUUGAGAAACUGCUGUAAAGCAAUUUACAUAAUUUAUAUUCAUAUACUGAAAAUAAAGUAGUGACUUUGCUGAAGUGAUUUCUAUUAUCUUUAUGAAAAUGCAAAGUUUUCAGUUAAAUUAUGAAGUUAAAUUGUCUUAUAAAGGUUUGAGUUCAAAACAAUUAUUUUGCCAUUCUCUUCUGGAAAAAAAAAAGUGGAUUCAUAUUUUUUUUAAAGUUUAUUCAUUGUGGGAGAGAGACAGUGUAUGUGCGCAAGCUGGGGGUGGGGUUUAGAGAGAAUUCCAAGCAUGCUCUGUUCUGUCAGCAUGGAGCCCAAUGCAGGGCUCUAUCCCAUGAACCAUGAGAUCAUGACCUCAGCCAAAUCAAGAGUUGGAUACUCAACUGACUCAGCCAUGCAGGUGCCCCAUCACAUUUCUAAUUAAUCAACUUAGAAAAAUUCUUUGGUAAAACUAAAAUUUAGGUUCCUAACAACUGAAAUAGUUCCUAAUACCAUUUGCAUGACAAAUGGUGUUUUUCCUUCUGUAUAGUGUUUCUCCAACUUUUUACUAUAGACACAGAGUGAUCUAUGUACAUAUUUUUAGGUCCCACAAAUUCUUUAUUAAACUUUUUAUUUUAAUUAUAUCUUUUCAUUUUAAAGGUAAUUUAAUCAUCACUUUAUAUAACCAUAUUCACUAUCAUUUAUGUGACCAAGUACAGGUCUAUUAUUUCAUGCCAUGGUUCCCUUUAGCUUUAUGAAUUCAUUGGCUCCGAGUAGCACUUCAAUAAUGACAAGUUAAUUUAAAAAUAUGAGAUAGAAAAGUCACAAAUACAAUGUGUUUGUCCCUCGUGAAGGUCAAAUUGCAGCCACAGAACACUACAGAAACAAAGAUUUGGUGGCACUUUAGAGUGAGGAAAAAGAAAGAAAUUGAAUCAUUGCAUGGGUCAAGGUUGACCACACUUGUGAAACUCAAAGCAUUUUACCAUAGAAGUCAUUUCACAUUCAGAUCAAGGUAGGAAAUUUACUGGUAGCAACAUAACAUGAUCUGUUACCUUAAAUUUAUGUUGUUAAUUUUAAUUUUAGGGGUUUCAUAAUUAUGUUUGCACCUAACUUGUAAAUUCCCUUUGGUUUUACAGUUACAAAUCCCAAGAAUAACUUGGAGUUUAUGCCAAGAUUUAUGUUUUCAAGUACUUAAUUAAUACCAUAAUGUAAUUUAAAUUGAUAUAGAGAUCACCUAGGAUCUUUUUUUUUUUUUAAUGUAAAAUGGGGCCUACACGUUCUUCAAGCUUGAGAAACUGUUCAUUGAAUUAUCUUCUUUCACUUUCAUAUUUGCAGGAUAAAAGAGAAAAGAGAAGAAAAUUCACUGAAUUAGAAGAAUUUUUUUCAAGUUUAUGGUUGAAAUUAUUUGUUGAUACUAUAUCAUCCAUUCGAGACAUUUUAUUAGUAAAUAUUUUUAAAUUUCUCAGUUUUAAUUUCUAACACAGCAAUAUCAAUAAAUAUAAUUCACAUUAAAGAAAGUUCUUUGGAGUCCUCCAUAAAAUUAAGAAUGUAAAAGUACCCAAGAGAGAGAAGUUUGAGGACCACUGCUGUAUGGAUUUGUGACAUUCUAUUUUCUCCUAUUACUAUUUGAUGUUUAUAUAGUUACUAUUUAUUUAAGUUGUAAACUUCUUGAAAAUGAAAAUAAUGUUGUUUCUUUUGUUUGUCAAUGUAUGUAAUACCAUGAUUUGCACCUAAUUGGCACUUAUAAAAUAUUUGGAGAUUGUUGAUUAGUGGGGAUUAAUUAAUUUAUCCCUAUCUUUAUUGAAUUUAAGAUCAGAGUGGAAAUUCAAACCCAGAAUUAUAGUAUACUUUAGAGUUACAGCUGGAAAAUAAAUGUCUGUCCAAAAUUGGAAGAUUUCCUAUUUUAACACUGGAAAAUUAUUUCCCCUUGUUAGAAUAUUCCAACUCCCUCCUGCUUGGUGCUCCAUUUGUUGUGCAGUCAAAAACCAGGACAUAAAAUUGAUGUCUUCCUAAUAAAAAAAAAAGAAAAGAAAAGAAAAACAGUUUUCCUUCAUUUUAAAGUUGAAACGUAUUUUCAAAAUAUGAGUUUUAAAGUAUAUACAUUUAGGUACAACCUGAAAGACACAAAUUAAAUUUAUUCUAAGCGUAGAGAUAAAUAAAAUGGAACUUAAUUUUAGAAAGUAUGUUUAGGCUUUCCAAUGGCUGGAAAACCACCUGUCUUUCUCUUAAGAUCUUGGAUUCUUACCUUUCUCUGUGUGCAUAUAUUCGUGUCUUGUUUCUGUACAUGGCUGCCUGAUUUUAGCUUGUGGCAAAUGAAAGCAUCCCCAAAAUGGGAAUUUUAUACACUGAUAGCUUAACAGGUCAAUCUUGCACAGCUAAGUGACACAGCAUUGUUUUGUCUCCAGUAUAAACUCCCUAGAAAAAAGAACCAAUUGUGUGUUAUCCUCACUGGAUACAAUUGUCUGAGUCUGUGGUGGUAAUAUAUUUGGGUUAGGAGAGGAAGGUUGUUUCAGGUGGAAUAUAAGGUUAACUAUAUGUCCUUUCUGAAGGAAUGUAAAGAAAUAAAUAUAUAGAAAAGGUCGCUAACUUUAGUAAUUGAAAUAACUAAGUCCUUCAAAAGAUGUCAGAUCUUUAGAUAAAGUAAUAGAAAAUCCCUACUGAUUUAUUAAAAAUCCAUUUCAAAAUUAUAUAAACUUUGCUUCAAUGGUCUUAAUAUUAGUUGUCAUGAAGCUUCUGGGAGUUUUGAUCAAAAAUGGAAAUGUUAUAGCUAUAGUAGCAAGUCAUAUAUAAUGCCUGAAUGGCAGUUUAAUUUCUUGCCCUCAAAAAUAACAUUAUAUUCCACAUAGAUAGGUUUAUUGGUUUCAGAAUGAGAUAAAUGGGCCUAUCUUUGAAACAUUAAAAAAAUUAACAUUUAUUCAUUUUUGAGAGACAGAGAGAGACAGAGCGUGAGCAGGAAAGGGGAAGAGAGAGAGGGAGACACAGCAUCUGAAGCAGGCUCCAGGCUCUGAGCUGUCAGCCCAGAGCCCAACGCGGGGCUCAAACCCACCAACCGUGAGAUCAUGAUUUGAGCUGAAGCAGAUGCUUAACCAACUGAGCCACCCAGGUGCCCCAAAACAUUUUUAAAUAUAACUGCAUACUUAACAUAGUGAAACUUUGCAGAAUGCAUGUUUUUAUGAAUUUGCUCUAUCUGUAAAGUAAAGGAAUAUUAAAACAUAAUUUUUCUUUUCUUUAAAGUUUAUUUAUUUGAGAGAGAGUGAGAGCAAGAGAGAGAGCGAGAAGGAGGAGCCUGGAGAGAGCAGAGGGAGAGAGGGAGGAGAAAGAAUUCCAGGCAGGCUCUGUGCACUGACAAUGCACAAACCCGGUGAGAUCAUGACCUGAGCUUAAAUGAAGAAACACUUAACCUACUGAGCCACCCAAGCACUCCAAACAUCAUUAUUUAUAUAAUGCACGUGGGGAUGAAAUUACGUAAUUUUAAAAUAAACUCUUAUUAUCAUUAUAAUACACUUGUAUAGAAAAGGAGUUAUCUGGAAAACACAAGGAUUUGAAGUCAGACCUAGGUCAACAGGCAGAAAGCCUGGUUUGUUUUCCCUUAACUCUGUCCAGAAGUUACAUAAGAGCUAAAAAGAAGCUUAGAGGAAGGCUCAGAAACAAAUGAUUCUACUGCCAGAGGUUGUCACUACAAUAUUCCCUAGGAGUUCAUUAGGUCUGUUAUCCUGAAAUAUAGACAGUGCUAACAAGUUUGGAUCAAUAAACAAAUCCCCAAUAAAGAGAAGUCAACAUAAAUUAAUAUAUAUUUUAAUAAUAUUCUUAAAAAUAUUCAUGAAGAAAAUAUCUAAGUCAAGUUAUUAAAUAUGAAAUUGACUACAAAAUACAUUGAACACUGAUCCUGUUCAGUAUUUAAAACUCCAGCCUCAUAUGCAAAAGGAAUAUAAGAACUAUAUAGUACAGUAUAUAGUAUUUAUAAUAAUUCUUACGUGUGGUUCUCACUGUGUAUUAUUUUUAUUAUAAGUGGUAACGACUACUGUAUGAUAGAGCUUUCUAUUAUGGACUGGUAAAGGGAAGACCUAGGCAUGCCCACUUUCCCUUUUGGGAGAGAGGUUGGGAAGCUGAGUAAAUGACCAAAAGUGCCAUAAAACAGAUUUACAUGAGCGUGGAAAAGCAAGAUAAUCCAUUAUGUUCUUCAUCAACACCAUUCCAAACCAGACGGGUACAAGGUUGACUUUAGCACUAACUUAAAAGAAUUUUAAGGAAUUGCACAUUUGAAUUUGUUUUUAACAAUACAGCCUUUAUUAGGGGAAACAGUUAUAGUGUUUCUGAAAAGAGGAAGAAGAUAAAUCUUUUUACCAAUUACUAGAUACAAGAAGAAAAACAAAACUGUGUGAGGGACACUAAGAAUCAAGCUGGGGUAUAAAGGGAAGGGAGGUUAGCUAAUGGCUUUGAUUAAACUUUACUUGGAUGAAGAGAGGGUAGGACAGGUUUUUCCAAGUACGUGAUGCUCAGUCUAAGAUCUGAAAAUAUGAUAAGUUUUAACUUGCCAAAGUAGGUUGGGUAAGUUGAAAUUUCCUUUGUAAAACCAUUUGCUCUGAGCCUGGAUGAGUAAAAGGCCUUUCUCCGUUUUCUUUGAAUCUCUCAUGCAUAGUCCUGGAUUCCAGGAAAAUUCCAUUUUCAAAUUUGGGGUAUCACCUCCUGUAUAAAUUAAAGUGUAGCUUCCUCUCUGUAGCAAAAAGGCCUACAGAUUUUUAGUAACUUAAAUAAGUAAAAUCAAUUUCUGUCUAAUAGAAUAAUCCUGCCAGUCCAGGCUCUUAGGCAGCUUUGCUCCACAAAGAUAUUCAGGAAUCAGGUUAUUUUCCUCCUGGGAACUAUUGUCCAAUAGUUUGUAUCAUUAUGUACCCGGUCAAAACAGUUGCUUCCACAUCUUCAUUCCAGCACACGUGAGAAGAGGGAAAUGGAUAAAUAUGUUAAGUUGGAGCUGUGGAUGUGCCAUAGCAUGUGACAUACCCAUUCAUACCAUUGACCCAAGCUUAAAGCACAUGUGCACAUUUAGCCAGAAAGUAAACUGAGGAAAUGCAGGUUUUAGUUGGUCGGUCAAAUGUCUAGAUAAGUAUAUUUCUAUGAAAGAAGAAGAGACAAAACACAGGGAGAAAAUCAGUUGUCUGAUUUUCUUCCAUUGCCUUCUAUUCAGGUUGCGCAUGAGACUUCUGUCUUUGGCAUCCUUUCUUUACACAUGUCCUGAUCUUACUUUCAUACCUGGCUCUACUUUCGCUAUCCCGUUAGUGUGUUCCAGUUUUUCAGUUAUUUUCUGAUCCUCACUCCUCAGUUUUGCUCUAAGCCCUUUUAGCCAAAAAUUAUCUUUAGAUCCUUAUCUUAUGCAGGAAUGUGGUGAAUGUGAAGGUCCCAUUUAAGGUACAAAUAAAUUACUGUAGGAAUUCAUAAAGGAUUAUUAUUUAACAGUUAAGUACAUUGGACAGGUUAUCAUGUACACAGGGCAUUUGAUUUGGGUUUUGAGUGUUAUAGUAUUUAGGAGUUCUAUAAUUGAAAAGAAAGUAUGCUUUUAGUUGCAAAGGACAAUGUAUUAAAAGAUGCCAUUCUUAAAAAGUUCAAAGUAAUGCAACUGGGUUGACCUCUUGUGCAUUCAAUAAAUUUUUGUUUGUGCGGAGUAUAUUCUUGCUUUGAUUGCUUGAAUUCAUUCUUGAUGAAAACACCCCAAACUCAGUGUCUAUGUGAAUCUAAUAUACUCCAGGAGGGAGAGGAAUAUUUAAUUUAAAAAAAUGUAAAGUAGGCAAAUUAUAUAGUAGUUUAGGAGACAUGAUAGACUAUAUUGAUCCAUCUAUCUUGCUAAUUAUCUAUCUACUUAUCUUCCUACCCAUCAUCUAUCUACCUAUUGAUACAGUGGCAUAUAUUUGUGACAUGUUAGAUUAUUCAUUUAAGAAGCUAUUUAUUGAAAUCUAACUAUAAAUGCUGGAAAUGGUCAUACAUAAAACUGAUGUUAUCUUCACUCUGUUAGGAUUCAUAAUAGAGCAAGGAAUGUAUAUAUGUUAUGUGUAUAUAUUAUUAUUUUAGUUAUUUACUGAGUAAUUACUAUGGCCAAUCACUGAUCAAAACACUUUAUGUUUGUUUAUUUAUUUAUUUAUUUAUUUAUUAAUGCAAUUUAUUGACCAAGAUACUGCUAUUAUUAACAAUUUUUCUUUUUCUUUUUUUGCCCCAUUUUUCUGAUAAGAAAAUCAAAGCAUUGGUUCAGAAAUUUCAGAUUCCUUGUAUUGGUAUAUUUGUUAUUGUUUUCUUAUUUAUUUUAUUAUUUUUAUUGAAGUAUAAUUGACAUAUAAUAUCCUAUUGGCUUCAGGUGUGCAACAUAAUUGUUUAAUAUUUGUAUACAUAGCAAAAUGAUCACCCCAUAAGUCCAGUUAAUAUCCAUCACCACACAGUUACAAUUUUUUUCUUGCGAUGAGGACUUUUAAGAUUAACUCUUAGCAACUGUCACUGUCAAAUAUGCACUACAGUACUAUUAACUAUAGUCAUGAUGUACAUUACAUCCCAGUGGCUUAAUUAUUUUAUAACUAGAAGUUUCUACCUUUUGACCCCUUCACCUGUUUCUCCCACCCCCCUACUCUCUACCUUUAGCCACCACCAAUCUAUUCUCUGUAUCUUUGAGCUUGGUUUUGGUUGUUGUUGUUGUUGUUAUUUUUUAAAAUUCCACAAAUAAGUUAGAUCAUACAGUAUCUGUCUUUGAUUGAUUUCACUUAGCAUAAUGCUCUCAAGGUCAUAAGUAUUAAGCAAAUAACUGAACUGAACAAAAAAGUGAACAUAUCUUCUUUUCUGUGUAAAUCACAGAUUGCUUUGAGAGUGGCUACCCAAACAAUUUUGGUGUAAAGGAAGACAUUACAAUCUCAAAGAAUAAUUAGUUGAGAGUCCUGAAAAUAAGGAUGGUAAGUGAGUUUCAAGAAUUGAAAGAAAUGCAUCCUGUAUAAAGUAGGGAGAAGGAAUAGAGAGGCACACUCCAAUUGCAGGGCCAGCAAAGUCAAGAAAUCUGUAGUUCUUUAAAGUCAUGAUAACAAGUAGAACCAAUAGGAAUUGCCGACCAUAGGAUGGAGAAAGGGAAAGUGAUAAGCCAAGGAAGUUUAGGACAUUUUUCUCCUUUGAAAUUGAAAGACAUUGGAAUGGGGAAGACUACAGGGGGCAAGUUUUGAAGGGAAGACUCAGCUUCCCUUUUUGACACAUUGUUUGAUACAAUCAGCCAAGUGGGAGGUCUCAAUUGCAUAUUUAGGUAUAGAAGUCUACAACUAAGGCUAGAGGACUGUAUUGGAGAUAUACAUUUGGAAAUUUCAAUGCUUAAUAUUUAAACUAAUGAACUGCAGGGGCACCUGGGUGGCUCAGUUGGUUGAGUCUGACUUCGACUCAGGUCAUGAUCUCAUGGUUCUUGGGUUUGAGCCCCAUGUUGGGCUCUGUGCUGACAGCUCGGAGCCUGGCUCCUGCUUUGGAUUCUAUGUCUACCUCUGUCUCUUCCCCUCACCUGUUCACGCUGUCUCUCAAUCUCUCUCUCUCUCGUUCUCUCGCUCUCUCAAAAAUAAACAUUAAAAAAAGUUAAACUAAUGAACUGGGAUGAGAUUACCAAAGGAAUAAGUGAAUGCAGAAAAACAGAAUAUAGAGUUAUCUUGAGAAAAAAUGUGAAAGUGGACUUGUCCCAAUCUCAGUUCUCAUUAGAGAGCUCACCAUUCCAGAACGUUUGUGAAGCUUUUAGACUGGCUAUUUGAUUUGGGGCUUUGGGACUUGUGUUUAUAAAAAAGGUAUUGUACUCUAUACAUUGAACUGCAAUUUUUUUGGUCUGUAAAUGACAUGAUGAGGAAAGCUUUCUUUUUCAGCAUGUAUAUAAUUCUAUAGUUCUAUUUUUAACUGCUUCAUCUUUUUUAGUGAUAUAGAUGUACCAUGGUUUAUUUAAUCAUCGAUAAUGAUGGAGAAGUUAAUUUAAAUAUUAUAGGUAAUGCUGACUACCAUCUAAUUAAUUUGCAUAUGCUUAGAGGUGAAUAUGAAUUUUCAUGUGAGUUGUUCAUUACCUCAUCUGGUCUCAAUCCUACUUCUAGUCCUACUAAUAUCCAACUAAUAGUAAGAGAAUCUUGCCAUCAUGAUGAGUGGGAUUCUAAUGUUUGUAGAUAAGUUUUUAGUAUCACCAGGGUUUUAAAUUCCAGAGCCCUACUUCAUUUGGUGAUCAGUUGGAUGAAAACCUAUUUCUUAAAAGCUAAAGGAAAGUACAGUGUUUGCAGGACUGACUGAGAGAUGUUAUGUAAACCUUUAAAUGAAACUUGCCUUGAGAUUUUUCACAAAUAAUGCUCUUAUUAUUUAAUAUUCACCUCAUGUGUUUCUCUUAAAACUCGAGCCCUGUAUAAAAUGCCACAUCACUCUGCAAGUAAUGGUGGGACAGACUUCCUGAGUGCACACCGUAUAUCUUAGUGCACGAAGCCAUAAUUCUGUGGGCUAUAUUUCUAAAAGUGGAAAUGCUGUGUCUAAGGGUUCACAAGGUUUUAAUUCUCCUCAUACUCCCAAACCAUCCUCUGGAGGCUGGAGGGUUUAUCCUCUUCCCAGCAUCUGAAUAGAGUUCCACUUUCCCCACUCUUGAUAAUAUGGAUGUUAUCAAUCUUUUAAAUUUUUGCAAAUAUCAUCCUUAUGGUUUUAAAUGCCAUUACUCUGGUUACUUUGAGAUUGAAUACCUUUACAUAUUGUUACUUCCGUUUAUAUAUUUUUAAAAUUUAUACGCAUAUAUUUGUCUCAUUUCAGUUGUGCUUUAAUUUCCUUUGAAGUGAUUUAAGCUGCCCUUUGUAUUUAAUCCAUAUUAAUUCUCUAUUUCAUGUACUAAAGCACUUCCACCAAGUCUGCACUUACUCAUAUUUUAAGUUAUUUAUGGUAUUGCUUAUUAGAAAGAGCUCUUAUUUUGUGAGUGACUCUGGGUGCCUUGUGAACUCUGUGUGUGUAUAUGUAUGUGUGUGUUUAAUGAAAAUAUUGUUAUUAUUUAUUUAUGGAUUUAUUAUUUUUAUUUUAUUUUUUUUUUUUUUAAAUUUUUUUUUUUUCAACGUUUAUUUAUUUUUGGGACAGAGAGAGACAGAGCAUGAACGGGGGAGGGGCAGAGAGAGAGGGAGACACAGAAUCGGAAACAGGCUCCAGGCUCUGAGCCAUCAGCCCAGAGCCUGACGCGGGGCUCGAACUCACGGACCGCGAGAUCGUGACCUGGCUGAAGUCGGACGCUUAACCGACUGCGCCACCCAGGCGCCCCUAUUAUUUUUAUUUUUGAUUCUAUAUCUUGCUUAGAGGUCUGCUAGGUACAUGAAAUGAGUUUGAGAGUUUACUGAUAUUUUCUGCAUACUGUCAUACUUUGAAAAAUAUUAAGACUUAUUUCCUGAAAUUUUCAUAGCCACACCCUUAAAACCAUGUGGGAAGGGUGAAUUUAGGGGUUCCCUUUGCAGGGGUUCUUUCUGAGCUUCAGCCAGAAUACUUUACCGAGCCUUCCUUUGAGUUUGUGUUGUUCUAGACCAUUUGCUCACUCUCAGCAUCCUUUUCUUUUUUUUUUAUAUAUCACAGCGAGAGAGAAAUAUUGAGUUCCUGCCAUCUACACUCUCUGUAGUUGGCAAGACUUUUCUAGUCCAGGCCAAGACAUUUUUGCUUCUUACCUCAACUACUCAGCUUCCCUCUGAAUUAGAAUUUAGUCUUGAGAAUUAAAACAAAAAAAAAUUCACUAUUCACUUCUCUUUCUUUUUUUCAGCUUCUAGAGAGAUGAUUAGGAGAUGUACUUAAGGGGACAAUGUAGUGGUUUAAAUUGAGGCAAACUGCCAGGAUAUCAGUUGUGACUGGGACACUAAUUAGAUUUUCAACCCCAAAGUUAUGUAAUGUCACUGAAUCUUGAUUUCCUAAUCUGGUUUUUUGUUUGUUUUGAGAGAGAGAGAACGAGAAAGAGCAUGUAUGCCCAUGUGCAUGCAUGAGCAGGGGAGGGGCAGAGGGAAAGAGAGAGAGAAUCUCAAGCAGGCUCCAUGCUCAGUGCAGAGCCAGGUGAAGGCUCUAUCUCAAGAUCUUGAGACCAUGACCUGAGCUGAAAUCAAGAAUCAGAUGCUCAACUGACUGAGCCACCCAGGAGCCCCAAUUUCCUAAUCUAUUAAGGGGAUAAGACUUCCAACCUCAUUAGGUUGUCACAAGCUAUAAAUGAGUAAAUAUUUGUAAUGUCCUCAGAAUAGUGCUUUCCCUAUAGGAAGUGCUAAGUAUUACCUAAUGUUACAGUUAUUUAACAAGGGAGUAUAAGGUUGAGUGAGGAUAAAUCAUUGCAGCCAUAUGUUAUGUGUGGCACAUAUAAAUCUUAACUCUCAAACUUAUGUUUGUAGAAAUAUAUACAUUAUAAAAUAAAAUAUUUAAAUGUUAUUUUCUAUAACUUAACUGCAUUUUCAUAUUCUUUUACUUACAUACGUAUUCUUUUACUUAACAUACAUAAAUUAAAAAAGCAAAGUAUACAUGUACAGUUCAAAAAACACUAUAACAAAGAAAUCACAUGUGUAACUACAACAUAUCAGGCAAUAGCAUAUUGCUGACAGUGCAAAAGCUUCUUUAUGCCUUUUUCCAAUUGCUACCCACUUUUGCCUCUACCUCACAGAUUUAUUUUGACUUCUAACCCUGUAGUCCAGUCUUGCAUGUUUUUGAAUUUUAAAUAAUAGGAAUAUAGGGCAUGCAUUCUUUUCUGUCUGGCUUGUUUCACUCAACACUAUGUUUGGCCCAGUCUUGGGUAAAGCAAGGUGAUGAAUGAUGUCCAACUCUCCAAAAUGUGCCUCAGUUUCUACACAUGGGAUGGAAGUGAGCUAGGGAGAAGUGCCACCUUCAAGGAAGAAGACAAACCAUCCAAGCUUUUAAUGACAGCACAGGCACUGUUUGAAUCAGUAAAUGAGAGUCUCCAAUGUAAAAAUAAAUUGCCUGCACCAAUAAUUAUUUUCACCUACACUACCUCAUUUUUCCCCAGACUGGAUUUCUACUUUAAUCUCUUAUUUUUUCCCAGAUAAAUUAUUUCAGUAAAUUCAGGAUUUCUUCUUUCAUUCCCCAGAGCAGUUGCUAUGUUCAAGGGAUUUACGUAGCUCCAAACGCAUGAGGAUAAGGGAUGGAGUGAAAGAGUAUAAUCUAUUGUCACCUGCUGCACAAACAUUGCUUUUAUAUCAGCCCUGACUUCUGGAAAUGGAUAGUUUUGGCUUUUGGAAAUUCAAAGGCGGAGACUUGUAGACAAAUUUAAUAACUCUUCUGUCAUGCCCAUACCUGAGACAGAAAGAAAUCAUUUACUAUUUCAAAAGCAUUAUUCUAUUAUAUGUAUUUUAAUAACUAGUGAGAGCCUGUAAUCAUCCUUCAUAGCACCUAUUUUUCAAAAAUAAUUUUGACUAUUUCCACUUGCUUCUUCCAGAUGAUCUUUAGAAUAAUGCUGUAAAGAUCCAUUGUGACUGUUCUCUGUAAAAGAUGGGUGUUGUUCACUGCAAGACACUUUUUUUUUUCUUUUUCUUUUUUUACUAAGCCACACAAUAAGACGGUAUGAAUUUGGUUAGAGGAAGAUUUUAGGACACAGCAAAAUGUUUUGUGAAUUUUUACCGUUCCUAAUUCUUACUGGAUUUUUGGAUGUUUUUGUUUCCUCUAAUCCUGCAGAGUUGGAUUGGAUUUCUGUGAAUGCUUAGGAGCUAUCUGUAAAGACUUGCUCUCACUGUCUACGGGAGCCAGUGCAGGAGACCAGCUGUUGGGGAGAUGGGCAAGGGGGUGCUCAUGGCCAUUUGGGGGAGAUCUGCAGGCAAAGUGUUCCAAGCUGUUAUGGGCAGGCCUCCUGAUGGAGUUUGCACAGCAGUUAGUAAGAUCCACGGCCCUUUAAUGAAUUCUGAGUCCUGGCUACUGUGCUCCCAGCUUUUGCCAAACUCUCAGCCCAUGCCCAUCACAUUAAUAUUCUUGUGGGGCUCCAAAAAAGUAGGUCUUCUGGGCAAUGUCCCAUACAGCUGGGGAAGUCAGGCACUCCUUACGUUUACUUUCCCCGUGACAAAAAUUCUGGCCUUAGGGAGUGUCUCUUGGACUUAAGCUGUGCUGCUAUUGUUAGUGUAAAGUAGAUAAAGUGAAACUGUGCUUUUAAUGCUCUUUAAUGCAUCUAUUCUCAGAUUUUAUAACCUAGUGGUGGUGACCCAGAACUUCUUCACUGGACUCGCAGAUUCUCACAAAGGUAUUCUUGUCCAUGCGUGGUUGUCAGAGUCAGUAUUCUGUCGAUGGUAUGAUGGUAGAUGAUGAUGAUGAUGAUGAUGGUAGAAAACUCAUAUUUGGCCCUCUUGCUAAUGCCAGUCCAUGAAUCAGAUUCUGAUGUUUUAAAAUUCCUCAAUUGCAAUUGCAUAUGAAAUUAUUAAUACUUCAGAUUAGGUCAUGACAUGCAGAAUUAUUCUUUCCUAUGGGUUGUAACAUUUAUCAUCCAAAAUAUCCUAUCACAUGUCAGUUUUCUUCUCUGGUUUGUAUCUUACUGAAGCUACCCCUCCUAACUCAGCUACCGAAUAAACAAACUAGGAGUCAUUCUAGAUUAGAUUCUUUCUUUCUUCAGUAUCCAUGCCAAUUUUGUCUCCUAAAUGGUUCUUAAAUAAAAGCAUAGACCCUCAGCAUGUCUUUCCUGGAUUAGAGAUUCAAUCUCUUGAUUCGACCUCUUUUCUCAUGUUCUGACAACUUCAAACUUGUUUUCUCACCUUUGGCCAGGCUACCUCAACCUAUCGUGCUGCUCAAUAGCUAAGAUAUGCUUUUUAAAACCUACUGAUAAAGAUCCCUCUUCCUCAUGUCCCCAUGCUUCACAAAGGGGUUACAGAUGUGGUUAGAUAUUGAUGUCCUCCCCUCUCAAGGCCACAACAAGAGGACCAUGACUUCUGUAGUGCCUCCAGCCAGAAGCAACAUGCUUACCUUAUUUCAUCAUGUGAACCUGCUCAUUUUCUAUGUAUUACUAGACAUGAAUAAAUGUGGAAAGCUCUAAACCAAAAUAGUGAAAGACCUUUCAGUCAAUGACAUAUAAGUGCUUCCAUACACAGCUACACCAUAGAAUGUGCUUCUACAAAAUUUUAAAAGCAUAUCCCUUACCUCUCAGUAGACAAUUUUAAUAAGUUACCCCAAGUGGACAGCAGGCUCACCUAAUGGUAUCUGUGUGCUUAAAAAAAAAAAAAAGAAGUUGCUCCUUUGCAAUAGAUGCAGCCUUGUGUCAGAUUGCAAUACUCACGGGCCAGUUUCAUGGUGUGACCCUGAACAGUGGGCCCACAUCCAUUUCCUCAUGUCUCAGUAUCUCCUGCCUUCUUUUGAAGUAUUUGUCAUCUUGUUUCACAAAUAAUACCUUUACUCUUCCUGUCAUCACCAAUUUGGGAAACCCUGUCUACUCUCUCUUCUUUAGUAAUUUUUUAUUUCCCCUUAUGUGUGCAAUUCAACUAUUACUUUUUGAACCUAUAGUUUUGUUUCCACUGAAUGUAUUGUAUACCACUAUCACAGUCAUUAUCACACCAUUUUCUGUUUCUAGUGUUUGUCUUUUCCAAGGUACAAAAACUCCAUAAAGUUAGAUUACUUCUUUCCAGAAAUUAUACUCCCAGGGAUCUACCUAGGAGUAAUAAAAACAUACAUCCACACCAAGACUUGCACAGAAAUGUUCUUACUGGCAUUAUUCAUAAUAGCCAGUGAGUGAAAAUAACCCAACUGUCCAGCAUUGUUGAAUGGGUAAACAAAAUGUGUUAUAACCAUAUCAUAAAACAAUAUUCAACUAUGAAAUAACAAACUAUGGAUACAUGCUACAAUAUGAGUGAAUAUCAAAAACAUGCACAGUGAAAGAAGCCAUAUACAAGAAAGUACGUAUUGUUUUAUUCUAUUUAUUUUAAAUGUCUAGAAGAGUCAAAUAUUUAAUGGCUGAAAGUAGAUUAGUGAUUGGCUGGAACAGGGUAGAGGAAAAUCAACAGUAAAAAUGCAUAGAUUUAUUCAAGGGUAUGAAAAUAUUCUAAACCUGAUUUAGGGUGCUGGUUGUAUAACUUGGUAAAUUUACUAUAAUAUCCUUGAAUCAUAUAGCUGAGAGGGGAUGGAUUAUAUGAUAUGUGAACUAUAUGAUAUGUGAGGAAAUUAUUCCUCAAUAAAGUUAUUUUAAUAACUUAGAUUUUUAUCUUUAUUCAUCUUUAGUUUAAAUUACAAACCCACUAUGUGGCCCCCACAAUUUUUGGAUGCCUUCAGUCUCCCAGCUAUUCAGCUUUUCCCUGCUUUCCUAGUUAUUACAUCUGUAUUUAUAAUGAGAAGAUAGAAGCUUUAUCUCCAAUUGGAAAAAUUUUAGUUGAUAACACUAUCAUCCAUGACUCUGAGUUCCAUACAAUAUUUUAUUUACUGUUCAGUAUGCAUUUUGCAUUUUCCCAUAGUACUUUCUGCUGAAAAUAAGUUGAGAUAAUUCCUGAAACAAAAGUUCUGUAAUGAAAUAAAAUUCUGUGAAAUUGCAUGCUAUUGGACUCUCUUGAAAAAUGCAUAAUAAAGACGUUAUUAUACAGUUUUAGGAAUCUUGACUUAAGAACACUGUUUAAGUUUGUGUUGGUCUGCUAAUGCUAUGAUAAUGCUACAUUUUUUAAGCCAAAUUUCGGGGUGCCUGGGUAGUUAAGCAUUGUACUCUUGAUUUCAGCUCAGGUCAUAAUCUCACAAUUGUAGGAUCGAGCCCCAUGUCAGGCUCUGCACUGAGCAUGGAACCUGCUUACGAUUCUCUUUCUCUCUCUCUCUCUCUCUCUCUCUCUCCCUUUGCCUUUGCCCCAUCCCUGUUCAUGCUCUUUCUCUUUCUCUCUCAAAAAAAAAAAGCCAAUAACUAUGUAUUUCUCACUCACAACUCUUAGGGUCAGUUAGAUGUGAGUCUAGUCACUUCAAGUGUCAUUCUUUCUGGGACCCAAGAAAGGAGCAGAAUGUGAUCAGAGUAGGGUCUUUUCAAGGUGAAUGACAGGAGACAAGAGGCCAUGCUAAACCACACAGACACAUAUAAAAACCUCUGCUUGGAUGUGGUAUAUGUUGUACUCAUCAAUCAGAGCCCAGAAUCAAUGGUCUGAGGAAAUAUUCUUUAUCCAUAGUGAAGUCAUAGCAAGGGAGGGAAUGGAAGGAAGAUCUGUGACCUGAUAAACAGAGUUUUCUUAACUUAUAAAUAGAACUCACUCCCCUACAUGUUCACAACAAAUUUAGAAUCCCAGAUUAAAGGGCCAUAUACUGAGGACAAUGACGAUGUGAAAUUGAAAUUUUUAGCUCUGGCUACAUAUUAAAAGCACCGGAAGUGUUUUUUCAUUUCUUUUCUUUCUUUCUUUCUUUCUUUCUUUCUUUCUUUCUUUCUUUCUUUCUUUCUUUCUUUCUUUCUUUCUUUCUUUCUUUCUUUCUUUCUUUAAAUGAUGCUGAGACUCAAUGUAGACCAGUUGAAGCAGAAUCUUUGGCCGGGGAAUAGGGGGUGGGGGUUGGGUAUCAGGCAUCGGUACUUAAAAAUUGCCUUCAUUUGAUCCCAGAAAACGUUGAGAACCAUUGAUGUAGUGAAAUGUAAUAUGGCAGAAUAUUUUCAUAUUCUUUAUCUGAACUUUUCUAAUUAGAUUUCAGUAUUUAUUAUCUCUAACCUUAAGUCCAUUUUACUUUAGGCAUAUAUGAAGGUUAGUCUUCUAGUUACAGAAGGAGUACUUAUCCUUAAAGUUUAGGCUUUAUUCUAGUCUUGUGGCCUUAUCAGGAUUCUAAAUUCUAUUUUCCUGAGGGUGAGUCUAUAAAGAACAGCAGAUUAUAAUUCUCUUGUGUGAUUUUUAGUCUCCUAUCUUUCUCUGUACAUUCUUCUAUUGGAGAGAAAAUAUAUUUUGAGUUACAGAUACAUUAUGAUUAACUAUUAUGUCUUCCAGGAGGAAGAGAAAGCACAAUAUGGUCUCAAUGUUCUAUAUUUGCAUAGUUUUUAAAAUGCAUAGCUAAGUAAUUGCAACAUUGUCUUAGAAAUGUCACAGGGUAUUAAAUCUUUCUGGCCUCGAACAUUUCAGUCACUCUAUAGAUGACUCUUAUUUUUACCAUAAACUAAGUAUCUGUUAUUUGCUAUGAAUCAUUUGUAUUGCUUUUUAAAUUAGUUUUCAAAUACUUUGAAUAUAAAACACUAUUUUAUAACUUAUAUUAAAUGAGUUAGAAACAUUCCAUUUAUAUUUUCAUUUUAUUCAUAUUUACAAUUUGAAAUUCUUGAGUAUAUGUAACACGGCAAUUCGGAGUAUGGAAUAAGAAAGGAAUGAAGAAAUCUAAAUCAUAUCAGGUCAUAUUAGCAGUAAAAAGGCAAGAAUCAAUACAAAAGAAAAGCAUAGUACAUAAACCAGGAUAAAGUAAUCAAUAGCUGUGGAUUAUAGUAUACAAUUGCAGGUGAUUACAGGAAAAUCCACUUGAGUUACAUAGUGAUACUAAAGAGGUAUAACAAAUAUUCAUUGCAAAUUUUCUUCAAACAAAGGACAAAGGAAAUCCCAAACAAUAAUGGCAAAGUUUAAAAUAAGACUGUUGACAAGAGAAAAUAAUAUUGAAAUUACAUAAAUUUCUGAAGCAAUUUAGAAAACAAUUUUUGGAAAUGGUUUUGCUUUCGAGCCACCAGAGAAAAAAAACUAUCUGGGUCCUAAAACACAUCACAGGGCUAAAUUAGAUAAUAUUCAUUAAGUAUUACUUUGGAGGGAAUUAGUGUGGGUUAUUCCUGUUAUUUCUACAUUAAAAAAAAUCACCACAGAAUUAGUGGAUUAAAACAAUGGUAAUUGUCUUCUCUUUCAUGAUCCUGGAAGGAGAUUGGUCUCAGUUGGGUGGUUUUUAGGGUGUUGCUUGUGGUGCCAGUCAGAUGGUGAUUAGGUCUGGAUUGUCUCAAGGACUUCUCUCUUGUACCUCUGCCUGGCCUAGUUUUCCUCACACCAUGGUAGCUGAGUUUCUAGAAUAAGUAUACUAAGAGGGCCAGCCUGAAGAUGUAUCCUCCAUAAUGAACUAGCUUUGAAAGUCAUAUGAUAGCACUUACACUGUAGUACAGAGACUCCAAUAGUGGAUGUGUAGAGCCCAUAUGUCAAGGUUACACUGUAAAGGCAGGUAGGGUGAAGAUUUGGUUACCACCAUCUUGGAACUACAAUCUGCCCUGGGGGAUCUUAAUUUUCAUUUAAAUUUCACUUCGUUGUGGGCAAUGGAAUUUUACUCACCCUGCUUACGUAAUGCAAACAUUGCAAUUUACCCCUCAAAAUAAUUGUAAUAUGGAGGCUGAAGUUUUGGGUGUUUAUAGGAUAUGAAUUAGUGAGGGUAUUCCAAGAGUUUACCUCACUGUUAAAGGUAUAAGACAGGUAGUCACCUGUGUGACUGAACACAUAUUUCUUUCCCUCUCAUUCAUUACAAUUCAUCCUUGGUCUUUUAAUUCCUCUGAAAUUCCAAGCUGGUCUUCACUUUGUAGUCUGUUUAUUUGGUUCAUCUUAUGCUUUGCACAGGUAGCUUCUCAUAUUUUAGCUCUCCACUCACAAAUCAGGCCUUCUAAGGCCAGCAUCUGGCAACCUCUUCCCCAGGAACUCUUCACUUUUUAUUAUAUUACCAUGUUUCCUCAAUUUUGUCUACACCCUACCUUCACUUUUGCAUUGGAUGAAAAUCUCAAUGAAGGUAGCUUAUCACGUUCAUGCUAGUGCCUGCCACAGAGAAAGCUUCUGAAAAAGGAGGAAAAGAAACAAUGAAUGGCUAAAUUGACUUUGCGUGAAUGCUUUAGUCAGCUUCUUCCGGGGGGCCAUCUCUGCCUUUCUUAAAUAGUCAUAAAUCAGACACCCUGAAGCCUUGGGGCAUGUCUUCCUAUCCUGUUAUUCUGAAGUCACACAGAAAAUGAUUAAUUCUUCCGCACAUCAGACAGUACUUCAAAUUUGAAUACAGCUUCCCUUCUCAUUUAUUUCUUCACUUGAAAGAUUGUGUAUGCUUUUAAAUACUUUUAAUGUGACAGGUUUCUAAUCCUCUUGUCAUCUUUGACACAUUUCUCUGGAGGUUUUUUAGUUUUCAAAUGACCCUUUGAAAGUGUAUGCUUCCAGUAGAACAUAAUACCUGAGGUAAUGUCUCACCAGCUGAGGAUAUAAUAGGACAGCACUUUCUUUGUGAGGGCUUCUAUAUUAUUAUUGUUGCAGAAUAAAAUGUUUUGCUUCUUCUGAAGAAACAUGUUUCACAAAAAAAUUAAAUGUUUAUUUCCAUCUUUAAUUGUAUAAUUUUUGCCAGAGUGAAAAUCAGAGGCCCUUACUUUGUCAAGUGUCAAGUAUUAAAAAUUUUAGGGCCUCUUAAAGCUGACAUUUAAGAACCAAGAAAACAAAAGUUAUUCUAAAUAGGCUACGCUUCUAAAAUAAAUCCAGAGGAUUGACACAAAAUGAGAUCAUGCUGUUUUCACAUCCGAGAUCAAAAGAAGCUUCCAAAUAAUUCAUAAGACUUCUGCUUUAAUGCCAUAUGGCUGGCAUCUCUGAAAUAUCCAGCCUGAACUUCCUAUUUAAAAACAGUAAGGACCUUCAAAAAACAGAAGAACAUAGCAAAACCUAAAAUCAAUUAACAACCAAUUGUUAGAAUUAAUCAAAGUUGCAAUUAUUUGGCUUCUAUGGUUGGGUGAAGGUUCUCAUCUCUCAUAGGCCUAUUCAGAUUUUGACUCUAAAUUCUGUAAUCUGUAGAAGUUGUUUAGCAGCAUCAGUACUGUGGUUAGACUUACUAGAUUCAAACCAAAGGAUCAUCAUUUAUUACCUUACUGAUUUUGAGGUAAGUUUCCUUAUCUGUGAAAGAAAUGUAUUAAUAUAAUCAAAUUAGAAAUGAAUAUAAAGUACUUGAUAUGUAUGCAAUGCAUAGGACUCACUAAGCGUAAAGCUAGUGCUCAGCUAAAGGGGCUAAUACUAGUCAAGUUCUUAUUAUGAAAGAACAUUUCCAUUUGCUUAAGACUAUUGAGACAUAUAAUCCCUUUCUCAAUGUUUUCUCUAUUGGCUAAGAAACCCACAUUUGUAGCACCAGAAUAUUGAAGUUCUCUUGCUCCAGUGCUAAGAAUUUACCUUUGGAGAAAUCUGGGGUUACCAUCUCCACCAGCAUCACCACCACCACUAUUGUGCCUCAAACCCCUUAUCUCUCCAGUAGCCCCUUAUUACUUAAGGUGUUGUCUGCAGACUGUCAGCUUGAGUAUCACCUGGAGUUAGUUAGAAUUCAGAAUGUAGGCCCUUUCCUGGAUCUACUAAUUCAGAAUCUGCAUUUUAAGAAGACCUCAAGUUUAUUCAUAUGCUUAUCAAUAUGUAAGAACUGUUACACAUUUAUUGGAGGACUGCAACUCCCAGCAAAAGACUGGCCAAAGGAAAAGAUGAGAGUAUAAAAUAGGAUCUUCAGAAUCUACUAGUAAAUCCAGGUGCGCUGGUUUGGAGUCAAAAGCAAGUGAUACACUCUGGAAUUUAAAGGUUUUCAUCUAUUUUUUUCUGUACACAGUUGGAUAUACACAAGGGAAUGCAGAAGGGAUUAAUGGUCCAGUGUUUGGGGCUAGAAACAGAAUAUAUCAAUUGACCUCCAGCUCCAGAUACAGGAAGAGGAUUUGAACUGAAACCAAUUAGAUGGGAAAUAGAAAGAAAGGACAUUGGAAAGUACUGUUUGUAUUUUUUUUUAAAUCCUUGGAUACAUUUCUCACAACAAAUGAAACAUUUAAAAAAAAUAACUGGAAGGGAGCCUGAAACACAGGAGAUAACAAAUAAAUAUACGUUGAAAUCAGCUAAAAAGUGAAAAUAGAGUGAAAAUUACAAAGAACAAGAUGGUCUUGCCGGCUUUAGGAGCUCUGUUUGGUGGCAAUGACAAUUAUAUCAGGAUGCCACGAGUGCAGUGCCGUGAGUGUGGGACUAGAAGUUUGCACAGGGCACAGGAGAACUCUUAGAGGCGCCUCAUCCAACUUUCAUGCAUAUGUGACAGGGAUUUUUGUAAAAGACAGCAGCUCACCUGAAUUUCAAAGGAACAAUUGGUGUUUCUGGGGAUGGAAGGGAAAGUAAUGACAUUCCAGAAAAAUCAAUGUAGCCUUUCCUGUGAGUCACAUAUGAUCAGGAAGCUGCAGGAGAUGCCCUUGUAGAAGUAGAGUCUACAGCACAGAGGUUCCUGCAUGCUAUCCUGAAGAGCGUUUGUAUAAUGCGGUGGGAGGAGAGGUAGUUUUAAAUGAGACUUUGAAAGGGAAACAUGUGGAUGCAUUUUUGUUUUGGAUAAUAAUGAUAAUAAGAACAUCUAACAACUGUAUUGUGUACUGCCAGUGUAUCAAGUAUGAGAUAUGUGUGUUUGUGUGUAUUUUUGUAUUGUCUUUUUUUAUUUUAAUAAAAUAAAACCCUAUGUAUUAGGAGUUAUAAUUAUUCUCAUUUCAGAGGUGAGAAAGUAUGAGCUUAGGAAAGUUAAUAUAUAUAUGUUGUUUAAAAAAUGGGGCUUUAGCAGGGUCAGAACACUGGGAAAGACCACAGAUCGGAUCAUUUUUUUCAUCCUUUUCAUGGUUGAAAACACAUCAUCAAUGAAAAUGAAUUUCUUUAUAUAUUUUUGCCUCUGACUUCACCAUGGCUUACCUUCAGUUCUCAGGAGAAGGAAAAAGCAAAUAAAAUAAGUGAUAAAAUAAGUGUGUGUGUGAUCUUCUGUGUGAUAAAAUAAGUGACCUCCAGAAAUGUAAGGCAGUAGGUGUAAAGAGAGAGAUUGAGACUUUAUUAAUGCAUAGUCAACACAAGCAAAGUGCAAAAACAUAUCCUGGCCUUGCUGAACAGAAUAUUUGGUCUUUAGGAUAUGAUGUAAUAGUAGUGAAGAUCUUCAACAGUAUUCAAACCAACCAUUUCUGUGUCACAAAACUUGUCCAGUCUGAAUUCUCCAUUGUCCUCCAUAUCUGGGGCAAAGAAUUCAGCCUGGGUUCUCAAUUUACCAUCCUCAGGGGAAUUUUACCCACUUUUCUGUUAUUCUUGAUCUGUUUUCCUUAUGCCAAUUCUUUCUUGGUUUACUGUCUUACUUGAAGAACACAUCUUCUGAAAAUAUUUAAAAUUGCUCCUUGGGAGAAAAAUGUACUGAGAUCUUCCAUGUCUGAAAAUAUUCUUAUUCUAUCCUCAUAUAUCAUUUUCUGGGUAUAAUAUUUUGGAGUUGGAAAUCACUUUCCAUCAAAGUAUUUUAGCUAUCGCUCCACUGACUUCUUGCUUCCAGUUACUAUUGAGAAAUCUCAAGUCAUUCUGAGCUGAUCCUUCUAUGUGACCUUUAGCACUUUUCUCAGGAAGCUUCUCAAAUCUUCUCGUGCAUAGUGCUCUGAUAUUCCACAGUCUUGUGCUUUCUGCAGUGAAAUCUGUUGGUUUACUUUCAUCAACUUUGGUUAUCACUUAGGAAUAGCUUUCAGUCUGACAGUGUGUGCAUUCUUUGGUUUGGGGAAAUUUGUUUACGAAUUUCUCUAUUCUAUUUUCCAUGUAAUCCGUUUAUGGAGGUGCUAAAACCUGGAUGCAGGAUUAUCUGGUCGAAUCCUCUAAUAUAAUUUUUUAAUCUCAUACUCUUCAUCUCUUUGUUCAAUUUUCUUUAAUAUUUCAACUUUAUUAUUGACGCUGCUUUUUUUUUCAUUUCUAUUACUGUGUUUUAAAUCCCAAAAGUUUGUUUUCUUAUUUCUUGAAAUAUUUCUUAUAUUAUGAUAUCUGGGUUGCACUCUCUUUUCUUACAUUUCUGAAGAUAUUUACAACAUAUUUUAAAUUCCUGCAUAAUUUCUGUGUCCCCCAAUAGGCUUCCUUUCUGUUGAUUUUCUCUUUUUCUGUCAGGUUAGAGGUUUUCCUCAGAUAUCCAAUAGUUCUUAAUUUCAGCUUUUAUUUAGGAAUAAAAUUCUGAACACAGGUUGAAGCGUGAUAAGCUUGGAAUUUACUGUCGGCUGAUCUGAGUGGAGUGUUUAAUGGGUCAUUUCUCAUUCUAGCAUAUUUGAGUCUUUCUUCUCGACUGAUCGAUGUUUGCGUAAAAGAGUGUUCCCAACUCUUGUUCGGAGAGUGAUGUAUAGCUUCCAGUAUUCUGAAAGAACAGAGACGUAGAAGAAUCAGAAGUUUCAGCAUUCAGCAUUCAAGUUUUUUACUCUAUAGUGGUACCCAAUGUUCAGUUAUUCCAGGAAUCAUCAGUUUCAGAACAAUCUGUGUUACUCUUUGGAGGAGAAUUGAGUGGUAAGCAGUAGUGGAGGUCGGCUUUUAAAUGCUUCUCACACUUUUUCCCCCACCCAUUUCUUAUUUUAGUCACAUCCCUUCACCAUGAGGUGAGGCUAGGAUGUGCUAUUUCACUUUCUAGAACAAGACCUCUCAACAUCAAAUCUGUUACUGUGCAUAAUAGAAGCUAAUAUGUUCUUUCGGGGUUGAUGUUUACUAGAAAAAUUGUUUGGUUGACAGGAAUACAUUCAUAAUUAUGCAUAUGGAUUUAAAUUUGUAACAAUUUCACAUGUAUACUACCUAACUUUCUCUUUUUUACUUUAGAGAAAUCUAAUAAAGUUUCUAUUUUAUAGAAAAUGAAUACACAAAUGGCAGUAUAUUUGUAAAGCUAUGGAAACGAUAGCAAUCUAGAGACAUGCUGAUUUUUUAUGAAUUAGUGUAAUUAGAACUAUGAAAGACACUAAGAAGUAUAAUAUUGACUAAAGUGUGAAAAUGAUACUUUGGUUAAUACCAAAGUCGUCUCUGUCAUUAAUAUCGAGAAUUGUGAAAGUGAAAUUGUGGAGACGUUUAAAGUUCAAGUGUACUAACAAAUAGUCAAUAUUACAACGGUGCAAUUAUAGAACCUAGCAUGAUUCAGAGUUUUUAAUUUAUAAAACAAACUAUAAAUAAAACAGGGUGUAAGGGAGUAUUUAAAGAAACAAAGAAAAUGCUGUUUUACACUAAAUUUUAAGUGACACAGAUUGCUGAUUAAACAGAAGACCCUGAAAGUUAUCAUUAGAGGUGGCAGACAAUGUUCUCCUAUAAGCAAUCGUUGUGACAUUGUGCAACGGGGCAGAUGAAUAGGGAGUGAAAUUAAAUGAGAUUGCACAUCUCUCUGUAUGUUUCAGAGAGAUAGGCAUUUUAAACUGGAUCAUGAAAUGGAUUGGGAGCUAAAAGGAAAUCGGAGAUAAAUGAGAAGGCAAGCAUGAGAUUUAGUGUAAUACGGAUUCGAACAAAAGGCUCCUGCACAAUUUAGAAAACGGGAAGUUGAGAUCUGUCCAUGUUACUUCAGAGCAAACAAAAUGUGAAUUUAAAAGGAGUCAAAGUUAAGGAAAAAAGCAUACUUUUCAGAGUACUGGGAAAAAUGGCCACAGGCACAUUUAGAGAUAUAAAAUGAGUGGAGGUAAGCUGAGCUUUCUAAAUGAAAAUGAUCAGGAAAAGUUGAUGGUGAUCAAAGGGAUGUAAAUGAGAUUAGAAGCCAGAGCUUGAAAAUGUUACAGAUCAAGAAGAAAUUGUGAUUUUGAAGUCUCUAAAUUAUUUUAAUGAGCCUUUAGGUCAUCCUAAAAUGUGCAGGGAAUAUGGAAUCAAUCAGACAUGAUUUAUCACAAUCAAUUUGUGCAUUUUGGAAAAAUAAGCUAGACACAUCAUGACUGAUGGCUGGAGCCACUGUGAAAAAACAUAACAACAAAGCCAUAAAGCUUCCCUGCUCUCUACAGAAUGAGUCAGAAAUAUUGGGGGGGGGUAUGGUUGUCAGAAACACCAAUUAAAUUGUGGUGAGUAGAAAGUGGAGAUUUAGGGGCACCUGGGUGGCUCAGUCAGUUAAGCGUCUUCCACUCAGGUCAUGAUCUCGUGGUUCCUGAGUUCUAGCCCUGCGUCAAGCUCUGUGCUGACAGCUCAGAGCCUGGAGCCUGCUUUGGAAUCUAUGACUCCCACUCUCUCUGUCCUCUCCCCCACUCAUGCUCUGAUUCUUUCUCUCAAAAAAUAAAUAAACAUUAAAAAAAUAUAUGAACCCAUCAAAUGAUUCUUUCCACAUGUUCAGAUAUUCCAAAGUUUAAUCAAAUAAUUUUAAAAUUAAAUGAUAUUUCAGGAUGUCUGGGUGGCUCAGUCGGUCAUGCUCUGACUUCAGCUCAGAUCAUGAUCUCAUGGUUCGUGAGUUCGAGCCCCACAUCAGGCUCUGUGCUGACAGUUCAGAGCCUGGAACCUGCUUCAGAUUCUGCGUCUCCCUCUGUCUCUGCCCCUCCCCCCAUUCAUGCUCUGUCUCUCUCUCUCUCUUAAAACUAAAUAAACAUUUAACAAAUUAAAAAAAAGAAAGUGGGGAUUUAUUGUUUCAUAUAAGUGAUUUUGAAAAGAGGUUGAAUUAGACUAGGGCAAGUUUCCACCCAGACAUUACAAACAUAUUAUUGGGGAACUGUACCUCUCUUUUCUUCUCUCAAAACCUCAGCUUGUUUCUGUCUUUGUGUUGCUUUCAUUUCCUGUGAGGUUCUCUCCAUACGGUGGGAAUGUACACCUACCUUUAGCAUCAAGCCUUAUCUUCCAACCAAGUGACAAAUGCCACCAUAUGAAUUAUUAAUUAAGGACGAGAAAUUCCCUGUUCUAUUUUCUUCAGCUAACUCAGUUCUGUCACUUUUACCACUGGAGAGUGGUGGGAGAAGUUGGUGGGAUAAACCACUCUCCACAAAUGGGAUAUACUGCUAUCCACCAUACCCUGCUAUAAGUACAUCAGUGCAAAAAGAAACAAAGAUUUCUGUUCUCAUGGAGCAAAAGAAAUCAGAAUAUAAAUAAUACACAUAAAAAUGAGUACAUUAUGUAAUGUUUUAGGAAGAGAGACGUACUUUGCAAAAAUGAUAGGGGUUAGAGUAGAAGAAAAGAGCUUGAUGCUACUGGGAUCUGGGAUAUAGCAAAGUUGGUACUUUAAAUAAGGUGCCUAGGGCAGGAUUCCCUGAGAAACUGAAGCUACAGCAAGCCUUGCAUGGAGUGUGGAAGUUAGCAGUGAAGAUAUCUAGGAGAGUAGCUCUCCUUCCGGGUCUAAGACAGGGACCUCUCUGACAUGUUAGAUGAAUAGUAUGCAGGCUAGUGUGGUUAUAACCAGAGAGUGAGAAGAUGAGGUCAGAAAUUGUACAUCAUUUUUGACCUUGACUUUUAUUUUAAGUGAAAUGUGCAGCCUUUGGGAGAUUUUGAGCAGAGGAGUGACAUAAUCUAAAUUAUAUUUUAAAAAGAUCACUCUGACUACUCUGUGGAGACUAAACUGCAGAUGGGCAGAGAAGCACAGAGAUCAGUUAGUAGGACACUGAGUGAUCCAGCAGAGAACUGAUGGUGUCUUGGACCAAGAUACUUCGUGAGCCUUCUGGUCCUUAAAGAGACACGGGGCAGGCAGAGAACACGUAUCUACUGAAAGAAUUUGGAUUCCAAUUUGUGUUUGAUUUGGUGAAAGCUUAAUGGAGAGAAAAAUGCAGCAUUUUAUCCCAAACAAUUACAAAAUUUAAUUAUGAUAUACCUAGUUAUUAAUAAUGUAGAUAAUCACAGCUUUAUAAUAGCAUUCUAUACAAUUAUGCAGGUCUCUCCUGUCAUUUAUUUAUUAAAAUUUAUCCUUCCAUUAUUCCGAUCUUGGUCAGCAUUCCCCCAUUUCUUCUUUCUUUCUUUCCCCCUUCUGGAGUUUAGAACAUAGGAUAGGGGACUUUUGUUUUGUGUCCUCCAACUCUCUCGCCCUUUGCUUUUUGUCUUAGUUCUAACCAUUUAACCUCGGGUAUUAAGGAAAGUGAGUUCUAUAUUUUCCAUUGAACACAGUGGAUACGGGGGCCAUGUUGUUUCACAAAGAGUGAAAACAUUAAGAAACCAAGAGAACCGAAACCAAGAGCCUGGACCUUGGUGUGACUGUUAAAAAGACAAGUAACUUCUCCUGGGUACUUAAUGGAACCAGAAAACAUGGAAUUCCCACCAUUAGUAGGUUAGGAUUUGAAUCUGUCUCAUGUGAAUGUGAGAGGACAGGCUACCCCUUCAGAUCACAGAACUGAGCUCUCUGUGGGAGCAGCCAUUAGUCAUUGUGCCAUGGAUCCAGCACAAUCUAGCCUGUAUCAUGAGGGAACAGCACCCAUUUUCUCACCUUAUUACCAUGAGGUAAGAAGAGCAUCAGUCCAAAAAGCCUGAACUCCCAGAGAAUUUCAGAGUUUUGUCACUGAAAGCAACCAGGGAGAUUUAAAAACAAAAGCAAAGCAAACAAGCAACAGAAACACACUAGUUAAAUCAGCAUCUCUGAGGAAGGAGGUAAGCUUAUAUGAUUUUUAAAGGCUUUUUAAGUGAUUUCAAUGUAGUUAAAGUUGAGAACCAUUGUUUUGGAUGGCAUAAGGGACUUUGACGUAUCCCAGUAACACUUUGUGUGUAUUGUUUUCAUAGCAGUCAAUGACAUGUAUGAAAUACAUAUUUCAUUUUUUCUCAUUGCCACAUAGUAUUCCAUUGUGUAUAUAAACCACAAUUUCUUUAUCCAUUCAUCAGUUGAUGGACAUUUAGGCUCUUUCCAUAAUUUGGCUAUUGUUGAGAGUGCUGCUAUGAACAUUGGGGUACAAGUGCCCCUAUGCAUCAGUACUCCUGUAUCCCUUGGAUAAAUUCCUAGCAGUGCUAUUGCUGGGUCAUAGCAACGUGGAUGGAACUGGAGAGUGUAAUGCUAAGUGAAAUAAGCCAUACAGAGAAAGACAGAUACCAUAUGGUUUCACUCUUAUGUGGAUCCUGAGAAACUUAACAGGAACCCAUGGGGGAGGGGAAGGAAAAAAAAAAAAAGAGGUUAGAAUGGGAGAGAGCCAAAGCAUAAGAGACUGUUAAAAACUGAGAACAAACUGAGGGUUGAUGGGGGGUGGGAGGGAGGGGAGGGUGGGUGAUGGGUAUUGAGGAGGGCACCUUUUGGGAUGAGCACUGGGUGUUGUAUGGAAACCAAUUUGUCAAUAAAUUUCAUAAAAAAAAAUAAAUAAAUUCUAUUUGUAUAAAAAAAAAAGAAAUACAUAUUAUUUUUCUCCUUAUUUCAAUAAAUUGAAGGCACCAUAAGAACAGGGACUUUUUUUUUUUUUUUAGUAUCUGUUAUAUCCUUAGUACCUAGCACGUUGCCUGGCAUAAACUAGGUUCUUAGAAAUACUUAUUUUAUGAAUAUUCAUGGUUGAAUACAUGAUUGUACAAUUCUAUAACUUGUUUUUUGUUCCCACUUGCAUUAGCUCCAACAUCUACUAGUAGGCUAUGUUUUCUCAUUUUUUGCCCAAGACUGGUUCCUUUCUCUGUUAUACACAGGCUCUGUAAGUUGCUAUAGUAACAUUAAUAAAACAGCUCUCUAGAGGGUCUCUUGUAAGGCUGCCCUUCAAAGCAACCCACACCAGGUGUAUUAGUUUCCUAGGGCUGCUAUAACAAAGGACAGCAAAUUGGAAGACUUAAAACAACAGAAAUUUGUGCUAUUACAAGUCCAGAGGCAAGAAAUUGGAAAUCAAGGUGUACACCAUACUCCCUCUGAAGUCUCUAAGGAAGAAUCCUUCCUAGCCUAUGCCAUGUUCUGUUGGCCCCAGGCAUCCCUUGGCUUGUGGCAGCAUAACUUUAAUCUCUGCCUCCAUCGUUACCUAGCCUUCUCCCCUCUGUGUAGCUCUGUGCCCUCCCCUUCUUUUUUUUUUUUAAUUUUUUUUUUAACGUUUAUUUAUUUUUGAGACAGAGAGAGACAGCAUGAACAGGGGAGGGUCAGAGAGAGGGAGACAAAGAAUCUGAAACAGGCUCCAGGCUCAGAGCCAUCAGGACAGAGCCCGACGCGGGGCUCGAACUCACGGACCGCGAGAUCGUGACCUGAGCCUAAGUCGGCCGCUUAACCGACUGAGCCACCCAGGCGCCCCUGUGCCCUCCCCUUCUUAUAAGGAUACGGGGCAUGGGAUUCGGGGCUCCCUCUAAAUUCAAGACGAUUGAAUCUCGAGAUUCUUAACUAAUUACAUAUGCAAGCCUCCAAUUUCCAAAAAAGAUCACAUUCUGAGAUUCAUGACCAUGAAUUUCAGGGGGAUACUAUUCAACUCACUAUACUAGGGUAGUUUAAGAAUUAAUUAGAAAUUGUCCCUGUUGAAGUGUUAAGGUUGGGUUAGUCCUGUGACAAAUAUCUAAUAGGACAACUUUAAAAAACAAUCAGGAAUCCCACCUUGAGUCAUAAACUGAAUGUGCUGCAUUGCAAGAGCCAAUAAAGAAUGGAAAAGUGUACCAUUCUUUGUCUUGUUUCUGAAAUUCUGUUUUCCUUCAGGGGAAAAUUAGAAUUGUUUAUUAAAAAAUUAUCACUGAGUAUUACAUAUGCAGAUGUAAAUGUUGUUUCUGUGUAUAAGAACUUUAUUAGACAGAUUCUAGAUUCAUCCUAAUGACUCAUAAUACAACUGUAGCUGUAAAAAUCAUUUUUACUAUGUCAAGGCAAGCUUAUUCUUAUUAUAGAGAAAAUGCUUUUGAAACAGAUUUGGGAACUCAAUAUUCAGGAACUUUCAGGUUUGUAGACUAUGUUUGUUUUACUAGUAAAGAUGUAUGCUUUACAUUAAUGAUUCUUGUAAGAUUCUUCCUAGAUGUGGGGCGUCAAAUUAUAACUAGUAUUAUACAAAAACUCACUGUCUUUUAUCUUGUAAACUAUAUCUGUGAAUGAAGAGUAACUGGAAAGCCAAGAAACAGAUGCUUUGUUAUUGAUAGCAUGUGUUUUGUGUUCCAAUACAAAGUUUGGGACUUUUUAGGUCAAGAAAUUUCCUCCAAUUAAUUUAUUCUAUAGUAUCUGUAAAAAAAAAAUGAGGAUAUUGACUCUGAAUUGGGAAAUACAUUUCCUUUCACAGUUUUUUCUUAUGAAAAUAUUAGUAAAAUCAAUAGCUCCUCUUAUCAUGUAUAAAAGCGGGUGCUUUGGCUAAAAUAUUACAUGAAUAGCUUUUAGAUAUUUCUAUUAUCAUCAACAGCAAUCAUGCAUAACAAUAAUAACAGUAAAGAAUUAAUAUUAUCAUGGGUUUUUUGAAAUUAAUAUUAUACUAAAAUCAAGCAUAUUUCAAAUAGCUAUGUUUCUUAUGUGUAACCUUAAAAUAUAACAUUUAUGUUCAAGUUUCAAUCCAAGUAUAUUACAUUUAUAGAUAUACAUUGACAAGUUUAAUAUGUAGGUGAUUUAACUAAAUCAAAUUGUUACGGCUGAGCAGAACUUCCCUCUGACACACGACUUUAGGUUAAGUUUACUCCUUGAUGUCUAACAAGUGAAAAGAAAUAAUGGAUGGAUUGUAAAGCAAAAGCAAUAAGCUUUAACAUGUGCCUAAGAGCAUUCUGAUUAGGAAGAACAAGGAAUCGUGUUUCUAACUCUCACAGCCUAAAGGUUGCUAGAAAUACGCAGACAGACUUCAUUUAGAGAAACUAACAAAAUCAAAUGGUGACUUUGUGGGGAAUCAAACACAUUGUGAGAAUUGUAUAGCUAGCAAUUUAUAAGAUAAUGUAGGACAUACUUAACUUGCCCUGCAGCCUGAAAUAAUUCCUAGAAAGUGUUCAAUAGUAUCUUUAUUAAUGAUCAGUCGGAAGAGAUAAGUAGCACAUGAAGCAUAAGAAUGCUACAAUUUUUCAAAAACGAAACAAAACCAGGAAAGGCAGCAUAUUGAGCAAGUUGCAUCCGAAAAAAAUAAAGGUGUAGGAAAGUUUAAGUAAAGGAUAAUACUGAACUUUAAAUUAAAAACUGGAGUGAAAUGAACCUGCAAGAUUGUUCAUCACCAGUUUCGAGUCAACAUGAAAAUCAAAUCUUAUAACUUCAUAAAGUUUAUUUCUUUUUAAAAAUUUUUUAGCAUUUAUUUAUUUUUGAGCGAGAGAGAGAGAGAGAGAGAGAGAGAGAGAGACAGUGCAAGUCGGAGAGGGGCAGAGAGAGAGGGAGACCUAGAAUCCCAAGCAGGCUCCAGGCCCUGAGUUGUCAGCACAGACCUGAUGCGGGGCUCAUACCCACCAACCGCAAGAUCAUGACGACAUGAACCGAAGUUGGACAGAUAGCCACAUGAGCCACCCAGGUGCCCCCAUAAUGUUUAUUUAAUGACAAAGAAGAAACAAUUGAGUAAGGACAGUUUCUGUCUUUUUAAUUUUAAAAUUUUAGCUAAAGCCAUUUUCUGAUUUCUUAGAUUUAUUUACUUUUCCUUCUCUUUCUCUGCUUCAUCUAUACACAUUCCCAUUUCAGUCUGCCUUUAUGAUUUGACUUUGAUUCUAGAUUCUUACUUCUGUUUUCCUACCCUGGUGGGAUAAACCAAAUAAUUUUCAUCCUCCUUUUUAGAUCUGUUCCCAGAAAUAAGAAUUGCCUGAUGAAAUUAUAAAGGAAUAUAAUAGAAAGACUAUCUAUUGUCCUAUAGCAAAAGUCAAGCAAAAUCUGUAUGAGUGCAUGCUACACAGUGGGUGUUUGUUAAAUGUAGAUUAUAGACUAUUUCAAACUUACAUAUGGAAGAACUCUAAGUGUAGCUCUGUUAUACAUAUGUCCAUCUUUCUCUCUAUUCUUAAGGUCUCAAAACCCAAAUGUUAGGUUUACAUGUAAUUUUCUUUAGUUCAAAACAUUUUAACUCACAUCUAACUCACAUAUAUGAGUAUAUACAUACACAAAUAUAUAUAUGUAAAUAUAUAUUUUAAAACCCAUUGUGAUUAAGAAUUUCUGCUUCUCGGGGCGCCUGGGUGGCGCAGUCGGUUAAGCGUCCGACUUCAGCCAGGUCACGAUCUCGCGGUCCGUGAGUUCGAGCCCCGCGUCAGGCUCUGGGCUGAUGGCUCAGCGCGUGGAGCCUGUUUCCGAUUCUGUGUCUCCCUCUCUCUCUGCCCCUCCCCCGUUCAUGCUCUGUCUCUCUCUGUCCCCAAAAAAAUAAACGUUGAAAAAAAAUUAAAAAAAAAUAAAAUAAAAUAAAAAGAAUUUCUGCUUCUCUACAGAAUGAAAUAGUUUGCAUGUGCAUUCCAGCCAAAGAAAAUUUAAAAAGCUGGUUAAAAUAGGGAAUUAUCUCUUUAAAAGUAUCAAAAAUUUUCAGUGUCAGUGAGAUUUGGGCCGGUGGGGGGGAGUGGUGGUGGCUAAAACCCUAAGGAUGAAAGAACCUCUGAGAGAUGAAUUGACAGCUGCAGCCACUUUUAUUCUAGAAGACUUCACUGUUUCUAAGCAGGAACAGAUGUCCGAGAACUGAACCUUUGUGUUGGCAGAAAGCUAUUGGGUGUGGACAGAGAGCUUUUGGUAGGAACUUGGGCUCCAGCAUACAGGGCGUGCCAGUCUGGGUUUUUACAGGGAAGGAACCUAAAAAUCUAAACUGAGUUUUAAACUCAGGCAGCAUUUUCUCAGUCUUGUGAGAAAAUUCUAGAAUCAGGUAUCGAUCAAGGGAGGGGCCCUCAUAGACACUAGGCUCAGAGUUUAAAAUCCUAGGUGAUCGAUCAAAGGGUGCCUAAGUGGCUCAGUCAGUUAAAUGUCUGACUUCAGCUCAGGUCAUGAUCUCAUGGUUCGUGAGUUCAAGCCCUGCAUGGGCUUGGUGCUGACAGCUCAGAACUUGGAGCCUGCUUCCAAUUCUCUCUCUCUCUCUCUCUCUCUCUCUCUCUGUCCCUCCCCCUCUCACUCUCUCUCUCUCAAAAAUAAACAUUAAAAAUAAAUAAAUAAAAUGAAAUCCUAGAUGAUCAACUAUGCACCAAAUGUAGACAACUGUCCUGGUUUCCAGUGCAGAUUGAACACAAUCCCUCUUUGGGUUAAGAUGGUCAGCCUCUGCUCCAUCUGCCCAGCAGAGGGAAGGCUUAAUCAUCUGUCAAGGAAGCUCAUCAUGUGGCGACUUUUAAAACACAUUUAUCUGACCCAACCGUAUGACCAGAGUGAAAAACAAAAGCAUAGUAAACUCUAAUCUGCAGUGAUCCAUGUAUUGGAAUUACUGACAAAAACUUUAAAAUAACUUUGAUAAAUAUGUUAAAGAAAAUAAAGGGAAAAAAUAAGGAAUUUCACCAGAACAGUGGCAUCUAUGAAAAAGAAACAAUUAGAAAGAAACAGGUAAGCUAACAGAAAAAUAGGCAAAAGUCUUGCACAGGCAUUUCAUAAAACAGGGUUUUGGAACGAUCAAUAAAUAUAUGAAAACUUUCAACUUCAUUCUCAUCAAGGAAAUGCAAAUCAUGAGAUGCUAUCACUAGACACCCACAAUGAUGACUAUGAAGAAAAAGUCAAAAAAUGGCAAGUUUUGUUAAACAUGUGGAAAAACUGGCAUAAAUUGGUGUGAUCACUUGCAAUUAUUAGGCAGCAUCUUAUAAAAAUAGAAUAUACAGAUUCAGUGUGAUCCAGACAUUCUACCCCUUCGUGUCUCUCUAACAUAUAUUUAACAAAAGACAUACAAGACAUUCAGCACAGCUGUAUACAUAAUACUCAAAAGUUGAAACAACACAAAAUGCCUGUUUACCGUAGAAGUGGUUUCAUGUAUAACCUAGUGCACGAGCAAUGAGAACAAAGACUACAGGAAUUGACAGAGAAGAAUGUCUCGAAGAUAAUUUGAACAAAGUAAGCCAGAUACUACAGUGUGCAUACUUCAGAUUACAUUCACAUUAAGUUAAAAUGAAUGUAAAAUUGAUCUAUAGUGUAUGAAUUCAAGAUGGGUGUUUUAAGAUUGAAAUGGUGCACAAGAAACAACUUUGGGAUAUUAAUAAUGUUCUAUUUCUCGAUUUGGAUGUUAGUUAUACAAUUGUGUUAACUUUGACAAUUCAUUGGACAAUGCACACUAAUUCCUUUUGUUAUAUUUCAAUAAAGAGUUUACAUUAAAAAUAAAACUGAUUUUUAUUUUAAAGUCAUGAGAAGUUUUGGGGCACCUGGGUAGGUUCCGUCGGUUAAGUGUGACUUUGGCUCAGGUCAUGAUCUCGUGGUCUGUGGGUUCCAGCCCCGUAUUGGGAUCUGUGCUGACUGCUCAGAGCCUGGAGCCUGCUUCGGUUUUUGUCUCUCUCUCUCUGUCUCCCUGACCCUCUCCCAUUCAUGCUCUACGUCUCUCUCUCUCUCUCAAAAAUAAACAAACAUUAAUUUUUUUUAAAGUCAUGAAAAAUGUUAAUGAAUUCAAGGGAACGUAUAUAAAACCAAGGUAAUGUUAACCUUUAAAGUACUCAUAUUUGAACUUUACAUUGUAUUUUAUCUCUAGUGAUGAAGCUAAGACUACAUAAUUUAUUGCCUAAACUUUUAGAAUUGUGUUUUAAUACCUUUGUGUAAAUUAUUUUUGAAAAUUUGGAUUAUUACUGUAUUUUAAUCUUUUUGCCAAUAUUCAAUUAUUAAAAAAUUAAAAAGUAAUAAAUGCUGAAAAAUUUCAUAUUAUAUUCCUAUAACAGUAAGUAAUAAGAGAAAACAAUGUUCUAGAAAAGUAGAAACUUAGAAAAAGUGUUUAAAACACUGUGCUAUUGACAAUGACUAGUUUGUUUUCCAGAGAGCAUUGGGAUACUUAUAAAUCUAAAACAAAAGCAACGUGGGUUAUUCUGAUGACAUUCCCAAGGAAAAGUAAGAAUGAAAUAAGUGAUUUUACUUGUGUGGCUUGUCCAAGGGCCUUGCUAUGACAAUCCUGUUGAUAAAAAUUUAACCUAGUCAGCAAGAUCCUUUAUUUACUACAAUAGUUGGUUUAGUCAGACAUUACCCCCACAGGUAUCAUAAUUAUGACAUUUUAAGAAGCUUUUUAUAAAUUAAGUCAACAGGCCAGUUUUUAGCCAAACAUAAGUACAAAAUCCACAGUGAAUAGGCUCACUAUUGAAUUCUCUUAUCUACUGAAAAUUAUAUUUAAAGGAGAGCACAUAGGAACUGAUGGAUGGUGAAGGCGCAUGUUUUUGGUAGCAUGCUGAAGGUAGGUAUCUGAUACCUUUGUUCAGGUCAUGCGUUCAAAAUUAAAGAACAAAUAUAAAGCCGUGAAAUAGCUGAUACUUUUGUCUGUCAUUGUUCUUGGAAUCUCCACCACAUGCAUCAUUGGGUGUUUUAAGUUUUUACUUAUUUAUUCAACUUGGGCAAGAGACCUGGAUUUUUCAUAAAAGGCAUUUUCAACUUGCAUUUCACCAUAUUCAUCAGGCUGCUUUAGAAUUAUCCUCUUAGAUAUUAGGUUGAAUUACAAUUGGAUGUGAAUUUCCUCAAGGAUCUAGUGGUCAGGAGUUUGAUGUUUCCCCGCAGGAAAACUCUUUUUAUAUGCAGAGGUUUUUUGUUGUUGUUGUUGUUUGUUUGUUUCCCCCACCCUUUGUUUUUGGUGAAGCUGCUGUCUUGGGGCCAAGAGUUUAUUUGGAAGGUCCUCCCUGUAAGACCUUAUGGUUGAGUCUGGCCGACAUUUGGGUACUGAUGACCAAGGAACGAGAAAGCCAGUUGUGCGGCUGGGAUUGUGCUAGUUUUGAUCCACAGCGACAAAAGGGAUUCUGUGUUGUGUGUUCACACAUGGCCCCCUAUUUUCAACAUGCACACCAACAGUAUUACUGGUGGGCAGUGGCCCUUGGACAAUUUGUCCACUAUGUAUUUUCCCUGAGGCUGUUGAGAUUUUCACACAAGAGGAGUGUUUGGUGGCCUUUGUGUACUUUCUUUCAUUCUGGUGGGCUCAGUGUGUUGUGAUGUUACUUGUUGUGCUGGCACCUGUUCGUGCUUUCCCAACUAAAGAAAAGUUCUAUUUGUUAUUUUCAGCAGAUUUAGGGUCGUGGUAAAUGGUAUAAGUGCCUUGAGAGAAGUGAAUUUAAAAAGGUCAAUUUUCAAUACUAUAAUCCAAAAUUAGAUAAAAUAAUUGACUUUGAGACAAACAGAGGGUCUCAGUUCAAGUUCUUGCUUCGUCAAUUUCUAACUGUAAAAUUGAACAAGGUAUAUCAGGCUCUGAAGUUUCCAUUCUUUAUCUGUAAAAUGUAAUAAUCAUACUAUCAAUUUCUUAGGUUUGUUGUGGAGAUGGAAGUUGAUUAAUGCACAGCAGUUAGAAGAGUGCUUGGCAGGUACUACACAAUAUAGUAAGGUUAGUUAUUAUUAUUAAAAGUAUUCUUAAACUACUUCUAAUACAUAACUUGCUACUUUAGAAUUUAAAGGGUUAAUACCUAAUUUUACUGUUACUUUCUGUGAUUCAAAACUGGGUAACAUAAUUUGUUUGUUUGUAAUAAAAAUAUAACGCAGGCAAAGGAAAUAAAUACUUUUGAAUUCCGUAGCUAAUAGUUCAUUUCAACAAACAUUCAGCUGUUAAAUAUUUACUUCAACACCAGAAGAGUUACAAAAUGUAGGAUAUAAUCCUGGUCUUCAAUGGACUUAAAGUCCAAUAGUGUUUACAUUCUAGUAAAGUAAAGGAGGAAGACUGAGAAAAAGAGAAACAGAGAGAGAGAGAGAAAGGGAGGGUGGUAGGGAGAGAGAUAGUGAAGGGGGGAGAGAGAGGGAGAGAACAAAGUGUUACAUUUAGUUGGUUAAGAACUGUAGCUGUGGCACAUAACUCCAGUUAACCAAAUUGAUUUAUGUAUUUAUUUACUUAGUGUUUUGAUUAUUCAUUCAUUAUUUUAUGCAUUCUUUUAAAUGGCAUUAAUUAAUUUCCUUAUUAUUUAUAAUAGAUAAAUACUAAUUUUCAUAAAAGUAAAAUAUAAAUACACUAUAUGCCUUCGAGGAUAGUACAAUUUUUUUGGUCUUAAGCCAAAAAAAAAAAAAAACUAAAUUAGAAAAAGAGAGAUUCUAGGUAUCCCGGGAUAUGGAAAAAAGUACAUUGUCUCAAACAAAUGAGUUUCCUUAAAAUAAUGUCAGUAGAGACUAAAGGUUAUUUAUAUAGUCAAAGAAAAUUUGCACCAGACGGAGUUAAACAGACAAGGAAGACUUUAUUCAAGACUAUUGUAAUAGGGGUCAAGAUUAUUACAAAUUGGGAAAGAAAAUAAAUGCAACUACACCAACACAGAGGGGAGGAGAGUUUCUAAGAACUGGGGUGAGCUGGUGGAAUAGUACUGGAGGAGGUUGAUCAAUGUGAUUGGGUCAACCGAUGAUCCCUGUAAGAGGUGAUGGAAGUUGGGCUCCUAACCCCCCACAGAAACUGGGAGACAUAGGUGCUAUUAUUCCUGAAGAUUAUGUUCAAAGACAUAGUUCUCUGAUCCAUAGGACAGGUGUUCUAGGGUUGUAAAACUAGCAAGAAAUUAGGAGAAGAUUUAUAUCUCAUUCAAAAAAUGAAUUUAUACUUGGACAUUUUCUAAAUUAAGUUUUCUAGAAAACCUUUUUCUAGAAGGGGCCUACAGUCAGGAAGAGUCUUGCUAAAGUAUAAUCAAACUGAGGGUUGCAGUAAGACGGUCUUGGUCAAUGUCCAGCUUCAAAAUACAUAUUUACAGUAAUUUUUUAGACUAGCAAACAAAACAGAAAGUGAAAAUAAAAAGCCAUUAACAAAAACCAAAAUGAAGAGUUCCAUAAUAAGUACAUACCCAAAUAUGUGAGAAGAAAGUUCCAAUAUGUGACCAUGCUGCUAAUUUAGUAUUGCUAUUUAAUGUUUAACAAGACUCACAAAUAGUGAUACUGAGACAUCACAAAAGACCAGAUAGAUAAGCAUGUAACAUAGACCAGCAGUUGUAAAGAAAAUUGCCUAUAUGCCAGUUUUUGCAUCUUCAACUUGAACUUAAACCUAGUGCUGUGUGAAUGAACAGCAUAAUGAUUCAAAGGCUGCCCCUAUUUUCCAGAUUAUAUUUCAUUCAAUAUGAACAGAUGGUCUCCCAUUUAGACAAAUUGUACCUCAAAACUUAAGAUUCAAUUCUCUGCUUAUAGAAGAUACAUAUUCUGCCAGGUAUUUUUCUAAGUAAGCAUGAUAUUAGAUAAAUAAGAAAAACAGUUGUAAUUAUAGUGAAGUUACCUGUCAGCACUGGUGAUUUCCUGUGGAGCACAUUUUUAUUUCUAGUCUUGUAAGCAGAAUAUAUUUUAAAUUCUAUCUCAUGGAUGAAACACAUUUUUAAUGCCAGUGACACUGACAUUUCAAAUUUUAAAUGAUUAUUGCUGAAUUACAGAGACUUGCAAUUAAAUUAUAAAAGGGACCAGAGAACUAUAUAAAAGCUGUACUCAUUAACUUCCUAAAUAGCUCUAAAAUAUUUAAAAAUACAAUUCUCGUUAAUUUUUAAACAGUUGCUGGUAAUUACUUAGUGGAGGUGAAGGACGUGAAGGACAAGAUUCCCUCAAGAGGUAGAAAAUAAGGGUUUGACACAGAUUAUAUGUUGUUUUUUUAACUUAAAUGAGAGAAACUACCAUCUCAGUAUGUGAACAAUUACAUAAUCACAGUCAUCACAUUACCAUCACCGUCACCACCAUUAUAAUCAUCAUCACUAUCCUAUCUCCCUCAUCACAUACUAACCUGGGAGGGGAAAAAACUAAAAACACUUCCCUCAGCUCCAAAUACUCCUCCAACUACUAAGCUGUUUGUUUCUCAUGAUCAGCUUAAGAGCUCCCUACCUCUGCUUCUCCUCUGUCCGUCCACCUUUGCUGCAAUCCUCCACAGAAACUGCUUUUGUUAACAGCCUGGAACAAACAGUGCGUUUCCAGAAGAGAUGUUUGCUACUUUUCUCAACCAUUCAACACGAGCGACUUUAAUAUCAUCAUUUGUCCCACCCUCUUUGUAAAUGAUACCACGAUCCCAGCCAAAACACUGAGAUUAUGCUUGGUUCCAUGCUCUCCAUUUCUCUACGCACAAUCUCUAGGGAAGUUGUGUAAUGUGUGAUGGUAUCUAUCCACUUCUCCAAAUGUCCACACCAUUAAACUUGUAUAAGUCAGUCAGUAUUGUUUUGAUUACUGCAGUCUCCCCUAAUUUGUCAUCCUUUUUCUCCUGUACUCUCCAAUCCAAUUGCUACAUGAUACUCAGAAUUACCUUAAAAAAAAAAAAAAAAAAAGAGCACUGCAUCACUCCACUUAAAAGUUUUUAGUUACUUUUCAGUGUACGUUGAUUAAAACUAAAACUUAUUUAAAUGACCCUUUCUGUAAGAGCCUACAAUUUUAUCAUUCUUCUUGCCCAUUUAGUUCUAGAUGGCCUGGUCGCUUUCCAUUUUCUCACACAUAAACCUUGCUGUCUUAAGGCCUUCACACCUGAGAUUGUUCCUUCCUGGCUGUUUUCUAUCCUUGUGUUUGCUUAUGUCCAAACUCAUGACAUGGAAUACAUUAGAUAUGCACAGUACAUUUACGUCAAUUACAUGUUCCUAAAGAUGUUAAAAUUAAAGAAUUGGUCUUAAAGUUAUUUUUCCAGGAUUACUUUAUCUCAUCUCUCAGUCUUAAUUUUCUUCAAUUGUUCCCCAUCUCUUUACCCCAUUCAUUUACGUAUAUCCCAUAUUUUAAUUUGCAAUUGAAUAUUUGCUUUCUUACUUUUUUGUUGUAAUCAUAGUGACAUUAUCUAUCAGGUCUGGUGAUUUCCUAGGGGAUACAUGUCUAUUUAAAUGAGUGAGUCAGAAUAUAGUUUUUUUUUUUUAAUUUUUUUUAACGUUUAUUUAUUUUUGAGACAGAGAGAGACAGAGCAUGAGCAGGGGAGGGGCAGAGAGAGAGGGAGACACAGAAUCCGAAGCAGGCUCCAGGCUCUGAGCAGUCAGCACAGAGCCCGACGCGGGGCUCGAACUCACGGACCGCGAGAUCAUGACCUGAGCCUAAGUCAGACGCUUAACUGACCGAGCCACCCAGGCGCCCCAGAAGAUAGUUUUUUAAAUUCUAUUUCAUAAAUGAGACUCAACUUAUGCUCACUAGUGUAAUGCUGACCAGAGAAUGUGUCCUGGAUGGCAGGAAUCAUGUAUAUACUGUUUACUGCUUUAUAUUCACUGGCCCAUAAGGCUGUAAGUUAUAUAUAAACACAUAACUUUUAAAUAAAUUAAUGAAGUAGGGUUACUCUUUCUCCACUAAGAAAAUUUUCUAAAUUCCCAUUUUAACCACAGUCUAGACUUUCUUUUAUGUUUUUAUUACUACGAAAACAAGAAAAUAUUCUAAACCAGAGUCUGCAUUUCAUUAAGCCAUGUAUAAUAGAAACCCAAAUGUAGAAAUCCAUAUUGGGGCACCAUGGUGGCUCAAUCAGUUAAGCCUCCAACUCUUGGUUUUGGCUCAGGUUAUGAUCUCACAGUUUGUGGGUUUGAGCCCAGCGUCAGUCUCUGAACUGACGGUGUGGAGCCUGCUUGGGAUUCUCUGUCUCCCUCUUUUUCUGUCCCUUGCGUGUGCCCUCUUUCUUUCUCUCAAAAAUAGACAAAUAAGCAUUUAAAAAAAGAAAUCCAUUAUCAACUUUUAUUAUAUAAAACACUAUUUUCUGACGGUGACUUUUUUUUUUUUUUUUUGACAAACCUGUUCCUUGGUGGAAUAGGUAUUUAGCCUAAUCUACCAAGGAGAAAAUUUAAAUUACAAAAAUCAAAUGAAAAGCUCCUGUGCAUUAUAUCUGAGGUUGCUGCUUUGAUUUCAUAGAUGCUAAAUUGUCCUCUAGGUUUGGAAGGAACAUGAUAUAACUGAAUACUAUUGAUGAAAAUUUCUGAAUAUCAUCAGUUAGAUGUUAUCAAGAGAAAAAUACUUUAUAGCAACUGCCCGUAUCCUCUUUUCCUUUGAGGAAAGAAAUAAUAAAUAAAUAAAGAACUUUGAAAAGAGGUUUGUACUGGGAGUCCUCAUCUGAAAGAGCAGGAACAUCUACUGCACUAUACUUGAGCACAGCUGGGGGCCUUAAUGAAUAAGAACAUUGAGUUCUCCUUCAAGCAAGGUUAAUUUAGAGCUUUUCUGCCUUCAGAAUCAUCCAUAAAUUAAUUUCUACAACCUAUAACAUUUUUAUUAGUUCUUUCAGGAGAAAAUUUGAAUGUAAUGUGCAUAAAAAUCCUAUAAUCUCAUAUUUCCUGCCUAAGAAUGAGAAGAAACACCAAAUAGAAAUGUUUAGUGCUGUACCUUACGCUCGUCAAUUAGCAGUGUUAUCAAAAUACACGUAUUUUAGGAAUGUACAAAAAACUAAACUGUGUGCUGAUUAGAAAUUUCUUUUCUGCUCUGAUAAUUUUUCCAAUGUAUCUUCCGGUGCUUAUUUUUAAUAUAAGGUUGUUUUCUUGCUUACCAAUUUUGCUAUAAUCCAUUGUUGAAUUACUACUUGUCAAGAAAUUGAUUUUUUUCACUCCCUGUUUUCUAGUGCCUGAUUAUAUGAACUUUAUCAUUUAUUUAACCACUUUUCCUAAAUUAACCAGGUUUCCUAAGCAACAAAAUGGGUUUUGGGCUAAAAAUAAUUGCUGACAGACCAUCUAUCAUUAACAAAUUAGGAUUGGCCUACUUUAUUAUUAAAUAACUUAUGACUAGCCUUUUCUAACCUUAUCCAAUUACACAGUGGUAUUUAGUCAAAAAGGCAUUCCUUUUAUGGAACUGGUUAAUAAUACACUCCAAGUUGCUUAAGUUGUUUGACUAGUGACAGUGUGGAAUCCUGCAAUUUCUAAAUUGUUAAAGCUUGUGAAAUUACUAUACAUCAUAGUGCCUCUAAGUUGAUAACUCUGAAUGGUAUACUUAAUAUUUACUAAGAAGGCAGAUCUCAAAUCAAGUAUUCUUACCAUACACAUGCAAAUAAUAAUAAAAGGGGUGAGGAGAUACUUUGCAAGGUGAUGGAUGUGUUUAUUACCUUGAUAGUGGUGAUGAUUUCAUGGGUGUGUACUGAUCCCCAAACUCAUUGAGUUGUAUACAUUAAAUAUGCACAGUUUUUUAUACAUCAAUCAUACUUCAAUAAAAUGGUUUAAAAAUAAAUUACUUCCAAAAAGAGUCAAAUGUCAUGCUAUACCAACUCAUACUCAUACUAUAUUCAAGGAAUUAAGAUAGGAACUUGAACAAUUGUGCUUUUAGGCGUGCCUGAGUGGCUCAGUUGGGUAAGUGCUUGACUUUGACUCAAGUCAUGAUCUCACGGUUGGUGAGUUUGAGCCCCCCAUCUGGCUCUGUGCUGACAGGUCUGAGUCUGGAUCCUGCUUUGGAUUCUGUGUCUCCUUCUCUCACUGCCUCUCCCCUGCUCACGCUCUGUGUUUCUCUCUCUCAAAAAUAAAUAAACAUUGAAAAAAACAUAAUUGUGCUUUUAAGUUUUCUUUUAUGAUAUAUUUAAAUAUAACACACACACAAAAUUUGUAUAUACAUAUACACACACUAUUCUAUCAUUAUCUAAUACAUACAUAUAUAUACAUGUAUGAAUGUUAGUAAAAAAUAUUGAACUGUUUAUUGAAUGAUUAAAAUAUUGAAUUAAGAAAUAAAAUAUUAGAAGUAAUUUAGAAACUUUCUUUCCAACAAGACCAACAUUUCCCUCUGUCCUUUCCAGAAUCAAACUUUCUCUUGAAUUUUAUGUGAAAAAUUUUACUGCUUUUUCCUUCCUAUAUAUAUAUAUAUAUAUCCCUAAACAAUAUAUCAUCUUGUAUUUAGCAUUAUGAUGUAGAGAAUCAUUCAUGGUGAAGCCUUUGCUUAUAAUAUUCUUGAUUUUUACCGCAUAGUAAUCUAUUGCAGUAUCACAACACAAUAUAUUUAUCCUUUGUGCUAUGGAUGUAUCCAAUACUUAAGUUACACAAAUAUAAUGCUAUGAAUAUUAUUGUGCAAGUCUCCUGGAUACAUAUAGAAGUGUUUUCAGGGGGUGUUACCUUGAACAGGCAUCUCUGGGUCAUAGAGUUUGUCCAUCUUCAAAUCUGCUAUAGAAGACUAAACACUUUAAAAAUGGCUCAUGAAUCAAUGUACCCUUGUACAGAAAAUGACAACAUUUUAAUUCAAAAUUUGAUAUUGCACAUGUAUUUUUCCCAAUAAUAUAGAAUAUUAUUAUUUUAAUGUACAUUUUUAAAUUUGGCAUUUUCCCCUAUAUUCACAAGACGCUUGUAUUUUCUCUUCUGUAAGAUGUUUGGCAGAUUUUGAUUAUGUUUUUACUUGGCUGUUUCUCCUUUCUCUUAAAUGAUUGUUAGGAGCUCUUUAUAUAUUUCAGGGUUUAAUUCUUCAGCAAACAAUUAUGUUGAAAUACUAUUUCCUAAUUUGUGCCCCUCCCUUUUUUUCCUCUCACACUUUUUCAUGUGUGUUAUUAGGAGCACACUUCCUAAAUUUAAUAAUAUAGCUCUAUUUUUUAUUUUAGUCAAUUUUCUUUAAGUCUUAUUAAAUAAUCAUUUUCCUUACAGAGGAACAGGAAUAUCUAAAGGGUAAUUUGUAUUAUCACCAAUAUUUAUUCUAAAGGAUACUUCAAAUUCUAUACAAUACAUAUUAUUUAUCAAAUCAUAUUCAUUAAUUUCUGUUAAUCUAUAUUAUUUCACUUGAGAGUUAAAUCACUUUGACUAUGAUAUGUGAUAAGAAUUCCAUUUCCUUUCAUUCUCAUAGAAAAGGCCAGUCUUUCCAGAGUCAUUUCUUAAAUCGUCCAUCCUCUCCCCACUGACCGUCAGUGUCCACUCUGCUUUAUAUCACGUUUCAGUAGGUGUGAGUGCAUUUCAGGCUUUAUGUUCUGCCCCCUCACAUGGACGCCUUCCUGCCCACGUUUGGACUCUGACACCCCAUGCCCGAGGGGAUGAUAUCCCAUGCCUCACUCAUGCCAGAGCAUGCAGAAGUCCUUCUCACUUGGCCUGGCUCUGAUAGGGCCCCACACAGCAUCUGUCUCUGUACCUGGGCAUCCUCUUUAUUGUUCUUUGGAUCUGACAAUGCAGACCUCUAUGCAUAACCUUCUCACACUGAUUGGGCUCCCACAUUUCACACCAGGCUCUCCUUCAGCCUGUUUGGGCUCUUCUACCUUGACCAGACCUUCUCCCAACUUGGAACCUUCCAUACCCAAUUAAGCCCUGACAUCCACACUAUGUUAGCCCCAUGUGUGAAUGCUCUCCUUAUUUUGCUUAUGGUCUGACCCCCAAGCUGGGACAUUUGUCUCCAUGACUGUGCUCAGCUAUCUCUUCAGAAUGAACACAACAGUAAAACUGCUGCUCAGCUAAAAGGGUGGGGUUCAAAGAACAGAGUAAAAACAGCAGGGCCCAAAAGUGUCCUUAUGUACUCCAGCAAAUAGUUACUGCAUUAAGGACUACUUCCCAACUUUUAAGCAGAGGAAAAACAAACAAACGAAAACUAUACAUAUAUUCCGGAAUCUAGUGGAUAAAUUACUGUUAAGUAAUUUUUGUGAAUAACUGAGUGAAUACUUUUUAAUGAAUGAUUAAAUGAAUAAAUGAUUAAGUAAAAUAUUAAAAAUAUUAGAAAACAUCAUAAAUUGUAGCUAUAACACUGAGUGAAAUUUAGUCUAUUUCCAUGAUGGUAAUUUAGUUUGUGUUUAAUUUAAUGAUCUCACUUAGGAUUUCUUACAGAUGGAUACAUUCUUCAGAUACAUAUUUACUUUUUUGGCAUCUCUACUCUUCUGUUAGGGAAUAGAUAAUCCUAAGAGAACAAGUCUUAAUAGAAACUAGGAGCCUAAGACAGGUAGGAAAGUGGUUUGGCUAAGUACAAAAGAAUAUUUAAAUAAUGUGGGGGGAAGAGUAGGAAAAAAUUGUUAAAGAUGGGCCUCAGUAAGAAAAAUGGCCUCUUUGAAUAGAGUUUUAGUUGGUAAGUAAUAAAAGCACAAAGUGAGAAUGGGUACAAGAUUUGGAAGGUGGAAAACCUGAGGAGGAACGCAGAUUUAAUCUUCUAUGAAGUAGGGAGUAUUCACUUGAGCAAGAAGAUGGUACACUAAGGAGUAACAUGAAGGGCACACCAAACCAGAGUAAACAUCACAUAGACAAACUUUGGGAGAGAGUCAGAUAACUAGGCACAAGAUAUUCGCAACAUAUUAUGGUGGCAGAAGAAUAGAACGAGGGUUGACAAAUAGUUCUAUGUAAAUUUAAGAUUCUAAUUGUUUUACAAAGUCCUCAGAUAUUCAAGAGUAUUACCAAAUUAAAAUGUAGUAAAAUUGGUUGUUUUUUUCUUCUUCUUCUUCUUUGGGAUCUUCUCAUUCUUCCAAAGUUACCCGCCAGGGGAUAAGUAAUGUAUGCUGAGAUGUCUGUUUAAUGUGAAUUUGAAGUUCAAAAUGAGAUUUCAGAAGCUCAAAAAUAAAAUUAGCAAGUAAAAUAAGUGCAUUUCUAAUGGAACUCUGGAGACCUAAUACUCCAUAAUGGAAUAUGAUGAUAAUUGGUUUUUUGAAUAAUUUUAUGCUUUUAUGUCUAUUUUGAGUGUUCUAUUGGAAUCAUACAAUUUUAUUUUCAUGUUAUCAGGCUACUUCUGCUUAAUAGUAUAACGAUAUGAAUACAUUCUAUUAUUUUAUUAGUCUGGUCAAAAAGUACAAUUAGACCACUUUCUCGAAUGUGCUGAACUGCUUUCAUUACUUUAUCUCUAUAUAUCUUCUAUCACUUAUUUUUCAAAAUAAUAUAAAUUCUCAGUCAUUAGUUCAUGCUUAAACAAGUUAGUGAAAAAGACUUAUGCAAAUUUGUAGAUUUUAUCUGUCACAUUUCAUCUAAUUCUCAGUGCUGUUAAGAUAAAAAUAACACUAAUAAUGUUAAAAAUAAAACCCAUUGCUUAUAUAUGAUCUCAAAACCCUUAUGUAAAAAUCUCUCCUAUCUACUGCACAUUUAUGAUGACAACAGCAUUUAAGUGACAACGGCAACAUUUCAUCUUCACAUUGGAUUAAGAAUGGACAACUCAGUGUAUGCAUGAACCUAAAAGAUUUGAGAACACAAAUGUGAUAAAACACAGAAGUCUAGUUGAUAAAUGACUUUUCUUGAUCACAGGAUAGAUAUUUGUUACUUAUUUGUAGCAGAUCUUCCAGGUAUCAUGUUGAUUUAACUUGUUACAAUAUCAUAAUAACUUGGCAGAAUUAUUAAAAUUUUCAGUUAUAUAUUAGAAAUAUUAAUAAUAUACACUGUGAUAGAGUGUAUUUUACAAUCUAAAUACACAAAACAUUAAACAAACAUAAAUAUGUGUAUGUAUGUAUAUAAAAAUAAUUGUCAAAAUUUUUUUCGAUAUUAAUCAGGUCAUGUUUGUCAAUUUCGAGUAGCUAUUUAUACUCUACCACAAUCCUGUAAGGUGGAUAUUUUAAUAUAUAAUUUGAUUCAGGUUACAUAUCUUAGAUAUUCUAGCGCUAUCAAUUGGAGGAGGUGAUAUUCAAAUGCAAAUCUGGAUGUUAUAAAUUUUGAUGUGAAAAUCAUCAUAAAUAAAUUUAUUAUUAUAUAUUUAUUAUAAUUAAAUACUAUUUUAUUGUGUAAACAACUUGUCUAAAACACUUUUGAUCAAUAUUAAUUUAUUCAUUUUAGCUAUAUCUCAAUUCCAAUAGAAAUCUUAACGUGUUUUAAUGAAGCUUCCUUAAUAAUCAUUUUUUUUAAUGUUUAUUUAUUUUUGAGACAGAGAGAGACAGAACAUGAACGGGGAAGGGUCAGAGAGAGAGGGAGACACAGAAUCCGAAGCAGGCUCCAGGCCCCCAGCUGUCAGUACAGAGCCCCACGCGGGGCUCGAACUCACGGACUGUGAGAUCAUGACCUGAGCCGAAGUCGGACGCUUAACCGACUGAGCCACCCAGGUGCCCCAACUUCCUUAAUAAUCAAACAAUAUUGAAAGUAUCCUCCCCUCAGCAUUCUUUAUUCCCUACACUCCUUUUUUUCCACCCUACCAUUUGUUAUUAUCUGAAGUAGGAUGCUGGUGUGAAUGGUAACACUUAAUGGCAACUGCUAGUAGUUUGACAGCUGCCAUUUAUGCAGGGCUUACCACAUGCCAGGCACUGUUCUUAGUGUUUUCUGUAUAAUUAAGUACUCAUUUAAUCUGCAAGACAAUCCAGUGAGGUAAAAAGUAAAAUUAUUCCCAACUUACAGAGGGGGAAAGUGGAAUGCAGAAAGGUGAAGCAAGAUCUUGCCCAGAUUCACACACUACUGAAAAAGCAUAGCCUGAAUUUAGCCCUUAACUAAGUCCUAGAAUUCUAUUCUAUACUCACUAUUCUAUACUGACUCUCAAGAUAUUAUUUUAAAUUAAACAGCAGUGAUGUGCUUCUACAAAUAUAUAUAAUGUUUUAAUUAUGUAUGUAUAUACUUAUAGGUAUAUAUAAUGUUUUAAUUAUAUAUAUGUAUAUGUAUAAAAAUCAUUUAAUUAUCAGUUACUUUUUGUUCAUUCACAGUUUAACAUAAAUGAAAUUUCUGAAGUCAUUUCUCCCUCUGAAAUAUUUAACAUGCAGUGGAAUGUAAAGAACAGAUAGCACAUUUCCCCCUUUCUCUUGAAAGUAUUAUUUGAAAUAAUGCAUCCUUAACAAAUGACUUGGCAACUUUUUAAUAAGUCUUUUUAUUUCCUACUGAAAAGGAAUUUAUUUCUUGAUAGAAAAUUUGAAAAUUGCAGUUGGAUCAUCUAUUGAAGUCAUUUUAUAGUUGAAUGUAAUUAGAAAAAUAUUUUUAAAGAGAACUUUUUGAAAGUAAUUUUAAUAUAUGUGUUGCAUUCUCAUUGUAAUAUCUAACAUAGAAGAUAUUUAAAGUAACAUAUAUUAUUAAGGAUGAAUUUAUAAAGAAUUGGAAAUAGACUUAGUUCAUUGUUUCACUUUACACAAUUUGAUUUUGAGCCAAGAGGCAUCUUGUCAGUUAAAUAUUUUUUGAGAUGUAGGAAGUUGACCUUAAAAAUAGAAAUUUAACUAAAAAAUGUAUAAUAGUGUAUUAUGUAUCUCAGUGAUAUAUAUAUAUAUAUAUAUGUGAAUUCAAUACUUUUUUGUAAGUUGUUAUACCAGGAGAUACAACUCCUUGUCUGUAUGAGCCAUGUUAUAAAUAAUGUUAAGAUUCUCAGAAAACACAAAAGAGUAUUGUUUUCAUGCAUUAAACAAUGUAUUCAUUCAUUCAACUAGCAUUUAUUGAGAAGUUACUCUGUUCCAAGGAAUUCCUCCAAAAGCUGUCAAAACAAUGGGGAACGAAGCAAAGAAGAUUUCUGUCCUGUGUUUAUCUUUUCAUUGUAGGAGACAGAGAAGAAAUCUAAUUAAUGUAUACAUAGAUUUAAAAGUCCAGAAAAUGAAAAUAGAUACAAUGACAGUUAAAAUGAUAACACUUUACUAAGAAGUGUUAUUUGGGCUGAGGCCUGACUGAUAAGAAAGAAUCAUACAUGCACCCUAUUUAUCUGGGAAACAGAACAUUAUAGAUAGAACAGAUAAUGAGGCACAGGACAGGGUGUGGAAAGGAAAGCCUUUAAUGUAAUCACAAGUGUUUUUACAAGAGGGAGGAAGAAUGAGAUUUGAUUAGAGAUGAUAAGGCAGUAUGACAAUACAAAGAUUGGAGUGAUGCGGGAGGAGGAGGAGGAAGAAAAGGAGGAGGUGGAGGAGGGGGAGGUGGCCACAAACCAAGGAAUACAGGCAGUCACAAGAAGCUAAAAAAUGUAAGGAAAUGGAUUUUUCUCUCACUGCCUCUGCAAGAAAAUGACCCUGCCAAUAACUUGCUUUUGUCCUGGUGAAACUGAUUUCAGAUUUCUGACCUUUAGAACUCUAAUACUUUAAAGUUGUGUUGUUCUAAUUGAAAGAAAGAAAGAAAGAAAGAAAGAAAGAAAGAAAGAAAGAAAGAAAGAAAGAAAGAAAGAAAGAAAGGGAAAAAAUGCUGCGGCUAACUUAAUGGGGUGUUGGAGAGUGCAAGUUCAAAUCAAAAGAUUUGUUUCUUGCAUACUAUGAGUACAAGUUUGAAUUGUAUUCUAAUUACAAUGACAAACUUUGGAGAAUUUUAAAGUAGGGAAGGGAUAUAAUGAGAUUUAUAUUAAAAGGCGAGAGAGUGAGAAACACAUCAACCAAGAUGCAGUGAGACAUAUUAUUCAAGUGCAAUUCUAUAUUGCAUUCAAACAAGCCAAUGAAAUAAGCCAACUAAAUAGUGUAAGCCAAUUGGAAUAGUGUAAGCCAAUUGGGUAUUUGAUGGCUUAAUUAAAAGGAGGAACAUUAUUUUUUUUUUAACAUGCUAGAGGUUUUGCAGUUUUAUUUUCAAUGAGUUGUUAUUUUUAGUGAUGUAUGUUGAAAUAAAAUGGUGUAGUGACUGUUACUUUCAUACUGUGGGAAGAAGCUAAGUGAAAACUAAAUUUAAUAAAAUGUUCAUAAAUUUGUAUGUUUGGAAGUUGGUUUAUGAGUAUGUGAUGAUUCAGCUCAUCUAGGAAGGGUCAUCUCUCUCUCGAGUAUUAGUUACUCUAGUACUUUGCUACCACAGUUCUCCCAGGUCCUCAAAAGUAUGAGGUACACAACUUACCUCUUUUUAUUUUGGUACAAGGAGGAUUGAUGGCAUAGUUUUACCUAUUCUAUCCUAUGUGGAUAAGGGCAAAUCCUAUGCAAAACUUUUCAUUCUUCUUUUUUCUAAUGUAUAAUUUCUAGGGAUGUCAGAGACUCUGGAUGACCUCACCUACAUAGGGAUAUAUUUUCAGGAGGUUUAUAAUUCCAGGAGAUUUAGAAGUACUGUGCCAUCUAUUUGCUGCUGGAACACUGAGUGAUAUGGCAUUUUUAGUGGAGAGAUCAUAUGAAGCUAGCCCUCAAAAGAAGAAUCCAAGACUGAGUUUUUUCAUAGAUUUAAGGAGUACAGAUUUAUAAAUCCAAGAUUUCAUUGAUCAACAAACACCCCCUCUUGUCUGAAGGUAGCUAGAAAUGAUCACUACUCAUUGCCCUAACAAUCAAAUACCAUAUACAUUUGUUCUCCUAAUGCCUUUCAUUGCCUCUUUGCUACUUCCUAUGCCAAAGUAGUGAUAAUCUGACCUACUACGAUACUACUAAAUGCAAUGGAUCACCCAUUUCUCAUUUUUCUCUGUCAAGGAAGUUAUCCCAGGGAUCUUUAAUAUGCAAGCAGUCCAAUGUCAGAUUCCUACUUUGUGGGUCUAUUUUCCAUAAACUUUCCCAGUACCUAUUAAUACAUCAGCCAAUGAUUAAUUAGAGAACAGAUAGAACUCUCAAAUUAGGGUAAUUCCAGUAGAAUUUAAAGGAGCACAGAUCUUCAGUAGAGGGCAAUGCCACAAGAAGGAAACCAUAGGAAUAAAUAUUUCAAAUUUACAUUUAUCCCUUUCAUCUGUUUUAUGCUGGGGCUCCUCUUUGGAAACAAAAAGGGCCAGAGCAUUCAUUGAUUUAGGACAUAGUUGUCAGCCUUUUGGCUAUCGGAUUCAUAAACCAAUCACUAGUGAUUAUAAUAUAAUGUAUUCAUUUUAAAGAAGCCUGGUCAACUUGAGGUACAUGAAUCAUUUGCAGGCUUAAAUAAUGAGAAGUAGAGAACAAGAUCUUUGAUUGUAAUAAUUUCACUGAGAAAUUAUCUAUCCAUCCAUCCAUCCAUCUCCCCUUGAAAAUAUCAAUUCCUUUUUGCAUCCCAAUAUACUAACUAUACAGAUUUUGUUUUAUUAAUUUUCUCCCCCAGCUUUUUAACAAUAAUCAGAUGAACAUUAGGAUAAUAUGAAAGAGUAAACAGAUUCUUUUUUUCAUCUGUCCCCUAUGCCAAAUAUGGAAGGAAGCUUCAUGUGGCUAAAACCAAACAACCAAAUCCAAAUACAAGCAACAACCCAAACACUCAAUAUAUAAAACAAAAAUCUAUGUAGCUUGUCAUUUAUUAUUUGAUGCAUGUCUUCUGCUAGUAGUGAAAUAAGCCUUCACAUGGGUAUAAUUCAGGGGGGGCGGGGAAUUACACUUCUUAACCAUUCUUUUCUUCCACACAUAGAUGUUGGUCCUUGAAAUGGAUUUAGUUCAAGAGUAUUAAAGUUAAUCAUAUUGGAACAUAACAUUAAUGUAUCAAAUUCUAUUUAAACAUAAUUUUAAGGAAAAUUUUUAAAGAAAUCUAACCACUUAAUUUGAUGAAGAUGUAUAAUUUGAUUUGAAAUCAAAUUUGUAAAAGUUGUUUUAGUCUUUAUGAAUUUAAAGUAGUAUUUAAGAAAUCGGUGUAUGAAUACUUCAUCUCAUGAAUUGUAAUAAAUUUCAAUAGGGUUUAAAUUCACAUUUACAGAAUAUGUGAAUUAACUGAAUGAUUUUGGAUACAUGAAAACAUCAAUUAAAUGCUUUUAAUGACUACAUAAUUUCUAACAAUGUAAGUUAUUUGUAUUAUAGAUGUUUUAGUAAUAUACAAAUAAAGCAAUUGUUCAGCACCAUUCUUUUGUGACUACAUCCCAACCUCUUGUCUUAUAUGGAUGAGGUAAGCUACCUGAGCAUCUCAGUUUCAUUCAAAAUUAUUUCUCCUCUUCUCCACUCUUGAUGACAAGUUGUGUAGAAUCAAUCAUCUGCAUAAUUCACAUUACUCCUCUUUUGCACCACCAAUUCCACUAAGCUUUCUUCAGUCCCUCCUAUAUAGUGAUCAAUUCCUACCUUGUUCCAUUGCAUCCAGUUUUUAUCCACAAAUGUAUCACUUACUUUGUCACAAGAUAUAGUUCCCCAAUUCACAAUUCCGAUGAUUUUCUUCCCUUACAAAAGACUGAAAUUUUCCCUCAUGCCAAUAGAACAAUAUUAUUUACCAUGGAUCUUCAGGUGCUCCAAAACCUAGCUGCAAAAACAUAUUAUUUAACUUCUUCUUAUGUGCAAUUUACCUCCAACCUUACUGGAAUGUAAUGUCAGCCACUAUUUCUAAUUCCUCUGCCUUUGAAUCUCCAAGCUUUACACUAAUUAGAGGCAACAGAAUUUCCCUAUCAGAAACAUCAGAAUUUCCCUAUCAGAAAUCCCUAUCAGAAUUUCCCUAUCAGGUCUAAGAUCUGGAAGUAAAGGGAAUAGCAUAGAUUUAAAGUGGAGUUUUCAGGGAUGUCUGGGUGACUCAGUUGGUUGAGCUUCAAGUCAGGUCAAGAUCUCAUAGUUCGUGAGUUUGAGCCCCCACAUUGGGUUCGACGCUGCCGCAGAGUCUGCUUCCGAUCAUCUGUUCCCCCUCUUUCUGCCCCUCCCCCUCUCAAAAAUAAACAAAUAUUUAAAAAAUAAAUAAAUAAAGUGGAGUUUUCAGCAUUGGCACAUGGCUCUUCAGAUAAGCAAAAUAACAAUGUUUUAGAACAUACUUCUGUUCACAAUGUAUGUAAGAAGGAGAAAAUAUCAGUGCUGUAUAUCAAAAAAAAUAUGGUAGGGGCGCCUGGGUGGCGCAGUCGGUUAAGCGUCCGACUUCAGCCAGGUCACGAUCUCGCGGUCCGUGAGUUCGAGCCCCGCGUCGGGCUCUGGGCUGAUGGCUCGGAGCCUGGAGCCUGUUUCCGAUUCUGUGUCUCCCUCUCUCUCUGCCCCUCCCCCGUUCAUGCUCUGUCUCUCUCUGUCCCAAAAAUAAAUAAAUGUUGAAAAAAAAAAUUAAAAAAAAAUAUGGUAGGUGUUAGGAGGGGGGAUGCUAAUGCCCUCCAAAUUACCAGUUGUGCUUACAUGAGUACUUCCAAUGCAGGGAUGAUCCGUCUCCCUGGAAGGUUUUUUUUCUGCUCAGGCUCCUCAGUCCAUCCUAAUUGAAACAGGAAGUCUCAACUCAGUGCUAUCACCUAAUGUGCCUUAUUUCAACUUAGGCUUUAAGAAGAAAACUUAUUUAUUUAAUAUAUCAUUUGAAUAUAUUUUAGGUAUGAGAUCUAAAUGCAACCAGUGCAAAAUUUAGAUAGGGUAUAAAUGAGACUAUUGUGUUGAUGGACCCUUUCACAUGAAGUAAGUUAGAACUUAUUUCCAUAAGAAAUAAAACAAUUUCUAUUCAGAUAAAAAAUUUUUGCAGAUGGAAGUUAUAACAGUAUCUAAUAUUUCCAAAAAUGAACACUGUAAGCCAAUUCUAGAAAUAAUUCUACCACAGUCUCCAUCUGUUACAAUGCUCUGUUAAAUUGUAGGAUCCAUACUUCUGUAUCAUAAAUAAGCUAUGGUAAGUACAUUUUUCCUAUGUAAUUUUACUGUGGUCCACAAACUUAAGCUAACAAUUUUCAUAUAAUCCUAAUGAUGCUAUAACUUAAAUAAAUAACCAUGAUUUUAAAUAACAAAUAAAUUAAUUCAUUAAAAUGAUAAUAAUGUAUUUUCCAUCACAUUAUAUUCUUUAAAGGAAAUAUUAUACCCCCACAAAAGAGAUAAAUAAAGAUAGUGGAACAUAACAAAAUAAAUAAUUAAGAGUUUAAUCCAGGAGUUCUUAGGCAUUAUCCUAGUUUCACAAUUGACUAUAUUACACUUCAUGGAGAAAAAAAUCUUCUUUAGGUUAAAUAAUAAUAAUUCUGUGUAACAAACCACCCCAAACAUCAGUGGUUUCUAUUGCAAACAUUUCCCCCCCUCCUUGUUCACUGUGUACAGCGGUUUCCUUGGAGAAGCUCUGCUCCAGACUGUGAUCUAGUUGGUUUGGCUGGGCUGCUCAGGGUUUGGUGCCAGUUAACCUGACUUUGCAUAGGAGUCAAGUCCUUUUCAAGUGUGCUUAGGCGGAAGGGGUCAAAGCCACAUGGAACAUGCAAGUUUUAUGGUAGAUCAGAGGAGCAAAAGAUAUCAGCCCAAACUGCAAACUUCAUUUAUAAUUUCUGCUCAUAUCACUUCUAUAUGUACAUGAAUGUUCAAAUCAAAUUACCUGGCUAAAUGGAAAAUAAUACUCUCGGGAAAACGGAUUCUUCUGGAAGAGGGAGGGGAAUGGACAAUUGUAGAAAGGAAAUUCACUCUGCUACAGUCUAACCUCUUGUUCAUAACAUCUGAUUUCCUUGUGUAUGCAAAAUUUAUAGGCAUCUGCCCAUGACACACUAAAAGGCUCAUCUAUUUACAUCAGUGGGCUGGACUUCCAGAAUCUGUGGUCAUCAACAAUGUGAAUUUAGCUUUUUCUUUUUUCUUUUCUUUUCUUUUCUUUUCUUUUCUUUUCUUUUCUUUUCUUUUUUUCUUUUUUCUUUUCUCUUCUCUUCUUUUGUACAGACACCUAUGAACUAAAAAUACACUAAACAAUAGAGACAAGAAGAGGGGUGGAAUAAAUGGAAGAUUGUAACAGGUGAAAAUAGAAAGAGCUGAGCCUCACAGAACUCAGUGGUCUCUAGCAACUAUGAAACGUUGCUGGGUGGAUGUUUCCAGUUCCUUCUACCCUGUGUUUAGAGACUGUACUAGCUUAGGUUUCUUUUUUCAUGUUUAAAAGCAGUUGGCUAGUUCAAUAAUAUUUAGUCUUUGGCUCCACUUUCUAGGAGCCACUUCCUUUUCCAAGAUCUUCUUUAGCCAUGACUGAGGAGGAAAUUGGGGAACUGAGUAACUAAUGAAGUGGGGAUAAUGAAUUGAUAUGAAUGUUGAAGUACUGGCUUUCUUUUCAUGCAUUGUGAGUCCAGUUAAAUGAUUGAGUGAUAAUAAUCUUGUCCUUUUUUGUACUCUUGCAUCUCAUUCCAAGGGAAGUAUAUUCUCCUGAUGUGUUUUUUUUUGAUAUUUGGGUAAGUGAUUUGAUGAUUUCCUAACUAGAUAUUGGCCCAAAUAAUGCAUGUUAUUUAAUUUAAGUGGUUGGUUGAUACAACAAAAAUAUUUGAAUAUAAUUUUUGUAAAAUUAUUUACUGGAUUUUCAUAAAGGAAUUUUGAAUAUAUAUGAAACAUUUCAUGGUUUUCUUAUUGUAAAAUAACUUUUGUAAAUACACCUUUUAAUAGCAAUACAACUUUGUAACAUUGUUGUUAUGUUUUAUAAGUUUAAUAUGCAGUCAUAUAAAAUGCAUACAUGUGAUGUUGCAUAGUAAAUGACAUCGUGUAAUAUUAUUUUUCUAAAUAUCUCAUUAAAUUGGAAGGACCAUUAUACAUUGCUAAUGUUUCCUUUCUUAUCCAAUUCAAGAAAAUGUUGAACAUUUGCCAAAUAUAUGCUUGCAAUUAUUAUCAAGGACUCCUGCACCACAGUCAAAUGUCCACAGUAGAAGCUUAAAAUAAUUUCACAAAAAUUUGUUAAUAUGAUUAAUGUCAUGUGAUUAAUAUGCAAAUAGAAUAAAAUUUAUGAUUACAAAAACUGACAUAACGCUCUUGUUUUUAUAAUAUGUACUUUUAUUUAUUGCUAUUAACUAUAGUAAAAUUUUAAAUUUUAGUUUGUUUUCUACUAUUUCAUAUGUUCUCAGUUUAUUAUCUAUUGGAAUACAGACAACUUACUUCUAUUAACCAGCCAUAAGUCAAUAAAGAGCUAUUAACCAAAUGUAGGAGUUAAAAUAAUCAAUACAUUUAACUCAAACAAAUGUUUAGCCAUUAUUUAUCAGUUAUUAAAGAUUGAUUUAAAUUUGCAUAGAAGCAUUAUUUAUCAAUAUUUGUAAAAUAGGUUAGCCACCACACCAGGUUUUUUGUGUUGUAUAUAUCAAAUUGUUUUUUUAAAAUGUUUUUAAUGUUUAUUUCUGAGACAGAGAGACACAGAGCAUGAGUGGGGGAGGGACAGAGAGAGAGGGAGACACAGAAUCAGAAGCAGGCUCCAGGCUCUGAGCUGUCAGCACAGAGCCUGAUGCGGGGCUCAAACUCACAAACCGUGAGAUCAUGACCUGAGCUGAAGUCGGUCGCUCAAGCGACUGAGCCACUCAGGCGGCCCGCAUAUAUUAAAUUGUAAUCACACACACACACACACACAUGAUAGUAAUUUGUUGAACAUCUCAAAGUAUUGUCAUUUUCUACAUAAAAGCCAAGUGAUGCUUUGGUAUGAAAUAGCUUAUAAAAUCUAUUGCCUACAAAAUGUAUAAAGGGACUAAGCAGGUGAAAAUGUUUUGUUACCAAAAGAUUUGUUACCAGGUAACAAGGUUAAUCAACAAAAUAAAUGAAGUAUUUAUACAUCAUUUAUUUUUCUACAUGGUAAUAACAGCAGAUAAGUAAUAGCUGAUGCAUACUUCAAUUGCACUGAUUCAGGAAAUAUUUUAAAAUAUUUUUUAUGUAUCAGAAUGGAUAUCUAUACUAGUAUCUAUCUAUCAAUCUAUCAAUUAAGAUUACAUUUUGCUUCAUAUAACAGAGAAACCUGACCAAAAGAAAAAGAAUGGCUUAAAUAAGCCUAUAGGUCAGAGGUUUAUUUAUUUCAUGCACCAAGAUGUUUUGAGUCUGCAGCUCAGGUUUGGUGGAAAGAACAUAAAGGUCAUUCAGGACUUAGACUCCUCUCUCUCCUUUAGUUUGUGGCUUUUAUCCUCAUUGUAGCAGUAAGAGUAAUGAUAGAUGAUGUGUAACAAGUCUCUCUCUAUAUUAGCGUCUUUAAUAUGGUAAAAUUUCAUUUCCUACUCUUCUAAAGUCUCAUGCCCUACCUUAAAAUUUAACAAAACAUGAUUAAAUUAUUAGUAUAACAUUUGACUUUUUAAAGAAAAAGUAUCAUGCCUUACUUAUCUUUAUAGAUCACCAUUUAUCACGGUGCUUAAGAAAUUUUAUAUGCGCAAAAAUGAGUGUUGGACUACUCUACUAUGGUAACAGUAACUGUUGUGUUUCUUACGCUUCUUCUUAUGCACCAUUGCCUACACAUAGCAGAAAAGCAUGAGGGCCAGAGCACUGAACGCAAUCAUUUUGUGAUCUAUUAAUACUUCUGAAUUCUUUAGAAACCUAUUCCCUGUAACUUGUAAUGAAAAUGGGCUUAAAGUGACACAAAAAGGCAGAGGGACAGAAAAGGGAAUUUUUUUCCUGUUUUGACAAAUUUCAAAUAUACCUUUUAGGUGCUAUGUUUUCCUCACAAGAUUCAAGCUGGGGGAGAAAAAAGUAAAAGAACAAUUUGAAAAAAGAACUUGUUACAAUAAGGAAAAAAAUACUAAUUGAAUGUUCUUUAACAGAUUAAUUUAAUAAUAUACAUUUAUUUCUUAUGUGCUCGCAUGAGUCUGUGUGUGUGUGUGUGUGUGUGUGUGUAUGUGUGUGUAUAAGAGAGAGAUAUUAUACAGUUCCCUGGUAUGAUUGGUAGUGAACAACGUCUGGGAACACUAAUAAAAACACCUGGUUUUACCUUUGUAUUUAAAGUAGAAAAUUCUUGGAAUUGCAGAAAUUCAUUGCUUUUCUGCUAAAUCAUUAGGUAUCAAAUGUGGUGGACAUAAAUGCAUAAAUAGUGGAUUCUAUUGUUCUAGGACGUUCAAACUAUGUAACUGAUUUUUUUUUUCUUUCAUUUCAGGCAUAUUGACAUAGGCAUCGAAAAAACCACAAACUAAUUCUUUUCCAGUGUCCUCAACUACCUCCAUCUUUACUUCAUGAAAUGAUUAAAUAUUGUAAAUAAAUACCUUUCUUCUCUAUCAAAAUUAAAAUUCUAGAGGAUUUCCUCUAAGCCAUUAAUGUGAAUAACACUAAUAGAGUUAUUUGUACAUCAUUUGUGUGUUAUUAGAAAUAAUGUCAGGUUAUGUAUCUCAAAUAUUUAUUUAGCUAAAAUUUUCUUAGCCUUUAUUCAUUUUUGAGAGACAGAGAGAGGGCAUGAGCCGGGGAGGGGCAGCAAGAGAGGAGACACAGAAUCCGAAGCAGGCUCCAGGCUCCCAGCUUUAAGCACAGAGCCCGUCGCCGGGUUUGAACCCAAGAACUAUGAGAUCAUGACCUGAACCAAAGUCAGACCCUUAACCGGCUGAGCCAUCCAGAAGCCCCUUGAAUGUUUAUUUAUAUGAAGACAUGAUCUUUUGAUUUUCACUUUGCUCACUAGUGUAUAGUAUACAUUUGAAUAUGAAGGUGAAAAAGAAUACAUUUAAUAUAUUUUUUAAUUAUGUUUUUUUACUACUAAACCUACACGUUGAAUUCUUUAUUUAAUAUUGGAAAGAAAUUGUGUGUGUGUACUCUUUUUAGUAUUUAAAUAGAAAUCUAAGGCAUACCAUCUUGAAAAUGUUUAUUUUUGGAGGAAUCCUUUGAUAAGACUAAUUUACCCUUAACACAUAUGGAAAUAAUUGCAAACUUUGAAUAUUUGCAUAUUUUUGAUGAUAUUAAAUUAUAACUAUAUAUAUUACUCUAUGUAGUUCUCCCAAGCAGAUAUGACUCAUUAUUCUUUCCUCCUGUUUUUAAUACCAAACAAUAAACAGAAAAUAUUUCAAGACUUUCAAAACCAGACAUAUUUAAUAAUUUGGACUGGAAACAAAACCAUAUCACAAAAUCUACUGCAAAAAAAGAAUCAUCCUAGAGUAAAUACAUUUUAAAAGAAAUGACAAAUUUAAAACUUAUUUAACCUAGAUUGAUAAUUAAUGAAAUCCAGACAUUGUCACCAUUAUGAUGCUAUUGGCCCUAUUAUAUAUAUUUUUAAGUUUUAUUUAUUUAUUUUGAGAGAGAGAGUGUACACAUGUGGAAGGGAGGAGGGGCAGAGAGAGAGGGAGAGAGAAUUGUAAGCAGACUCUACAUUGUCAGCUCGUUAUUGGCUCUAUUUUAAAAUAAAUGAGUUAGUCACACAACUUUUAAUCCAGCAUAUAGAUUUUAUGUGAGGUGAACUAUUAUAAAAUAAGUAAAAAUUAUACUUAUAUAUGAAUAUAUAUACAUGACAUGUUUAAUUAAUAUACAUUAAUAUUAAUAAACAUAUGAAUGAAUAACUCAUAAGAUUUGCUGGAAUUGAAUUGAAAAGAUUGAGCAUCUUCUAAACCAUCUUUAUUUAAACUGCAGGAAUUCUG